UUUUUUUUUUUUUUUUUUUGGUUCAUCCUUCUUUAUACAUUUCUUAUUUUCAACUGUCGUCACAUGAUUCGAACCCUGAAACUAAUAGGGAAAAAGACUCUAAGAGUCCUCAAAUGAGUGAAUUUCAAAUUUACUCAAAAGCCUAACAUGUCAUUUCAAAUCUCUUUUACUUAUUUCUGUCUACAUUAACGAAUCCAUCCUUUCAUGCAUAUAGAUCGAAGAGUUAAAUGCUGAUUGUUGCUUGUCGCUAUCAAUUACUAACAACUACUCCCUCCGUCCCACUUUGAUAGUCCUGGUUGUUUUUUCACACAGUUUAAGAAAAAGCAGUUAACUUUGUUAGAACAAUCAAUUUAGGUAGUAAACCUAAAUUGAUUACUAACAACUAUUAGUUAUCGCCGUUGGUCAAAGUUAAAGAAAAAAAAAUGACCUUGAUUCAAAAAAACCUGUACGUAUAUUGACAGUUAAUUUGCCCAAAAAAACACUAGUGACCAAAGGUGGAGCGGUCGAUCUGAAAUAGUAGGAGGGAUGUAAACACACGAACGGAGGAGAAAGGGAAAAUGGAAAUCUAACUAUUAACCCCUAAAGUUUACAGGGGGUAUUCAAUCUUUACCCCUCAUGCUUACCUUAAAUAUAAAUUCCUUUCGUAAUGUAACAACUCUUAGCCAAACAAUAAUGACUUUGGAUUAAAUAUGAAUUUUAAAACCACUCAUUUCAAAUCCAUUCAUGUUAAAUACUUGGACAGCGAGCCUCGAUUUUUUGCACCAUUCAGGAAACAAGACUUAUAAACUGGGUGCUUUGGCAUUUAAAAGUUUAUGAUUAUUUUAUCUAAAAUCUCAAUUUUAGUUUCUUGGUGUAUUAUGAUAAUUAUAUUUAUGAUUACUCAUCUACAAAUUUGAUAUCGAUUUGAAAGUCACCAUGUUACGUAUAAGAUUACUUAUAUAAUUUCUAAAUUUAAAUUGAAAUCUAUCAGGUCAAUUAUGUAACGAUUCUUGUUUUUUGUAACACUAUAUUAAAUCCAUCAAAUUACUAAUUUAUUUAUCAGAUAAAAUAAGAGUAAAAUUUUUAAUGAAUAAGUGGGUUACCAUCUCUCUAUGGCUUUGUUCCAUAAAGUACUCCAGAGAUUCUUUGACCAAAGUAAUUGUGAUUACUUUAGAGUGGGUUGAAUGGGUAAUACCAAUUAUGGGUUGAAUGGGUAAUGCCAUAAAUUACUAUCUAUUUAUGGUUUUCCUCCAUAAAGUACCCAUUUUCUCAUAAACUAAUUUAUUAAUUGGAUAAAAUCAAAAUAACAUUAUUACUAGUGUACAAGCAUGCUUUGACACCCUCUUUAAAGAAUCGUAAACUAGAAGGUAAUCGCAAUUACUUUGCAGAAGCAUUCUUUUUGACAAACUACAAGUAAUCAAACCCAAGUGUUAUGAAGUUACCAAAGAUUGCUGAUAAAACAAAUUGAAAUUUACCGAAGAACAAAAACGAGGCCCUUUAGAGGACAGGGGAAGCUCGUCUAGAAAAAUUGGGAACUAUCAGAAAUUUUGUCGCCUGGGAGCUGCUUCCCAGUUGAUACGAAUUUUUGGGUGCAAACAAGUGCCCAUAAAUUGUUGAGGGGUUUGCAUUUUAUUUCUUCUAGAAAUAUAAUGGACCCAUAAACAACCGCUUCUACCCGAUAUCCAGUAGCUCAUUUAAUAGCUACAUCGUGCCCGGCCCCACAAUGAUGUCUUGGCCAAAUUUCUUUUUGCUCUUCCCACCAUGCACAGUUGAGUCAGCUUUCCACCGUAGAUGAAACCCUUAAAUAUGCCCUUGAAGUGCAAAACUUAAAAACUUACAAGAUUAGGACAGUUUCAUAAUUCAAUUCAUUAUUUAAAUUUAAAAGAAUCAGAUCUUAAUAUAUUUAAUUCAUUCGAUAACUAAAAAUUGAAUAUCUGAAAUAAUUAAAUGACACUAAAUUUUCUAGAUAAAAUUUACUUUCAAAAUUAAGUAAUAAACUAUUCAUUUAUAAUUGAAUGUGAUAUACACUCAAAUAUAUUAUAUAAUUUAUAAUAUACUCAAUUUUCAUACUUCAAUUUUAUCAAACACACCCUAGGUUUAUCUAAUUAUUCAAACUUCAAUUUUCAUACUUCAGUUUUAUCAUUUAAUAAAUUCAAACUUCAAUUUUCAUAUUUCAAUUUUAUCAAACACACCGUAGAUUUAUCUAAUUAUUCUUUUCUGGUCCAGUUCAUUCAUUUUUUCACUAGGGAGCGGGCAAAGAAGAGAAAGGGUAAAAAAAAAAUAAAAAAAAAAUUGUUGACCAGCUAAUUCGUUGAACCCACCCCAAUUAUUUUCGAAAAAUAAUAUAAUUCGCAUUUUUUGACCUUGGCAGAGGAGGGUCGACCAGUCACCACUACGGGACCGAGCUAAGGUUAGAGGUUUGAGAACUCGUGAAUACUCGAUCUGUCCUGCAUAUUCCUUAAUUUUAUACCUACACAUGACAAAAUAUAUAAUUAUCUAGAGACAACUAAUUGUGAAAGUCUUUAAUUAUUUUACAAGAUUUAUUUGUAGAAGUCAUGACUUUUUUUUUUCUUGGAUUAAGCUUAGUUGAUUUAAAAUUUGUUAAAAAGGGUAAUACACAUCACAUUUAGGUUUUGGUUGAAAUUCUUAUCUUAUUGAAUUCAUUACGCCUGAUGUUUAAACUUCAUAUUUGGCUCAUAAAUAUUUGACUAAGAAUAUUGAAAUUGAGGAACAAUUUUAACUCUUUAUCGAGUUGUAAUGGAGAUUGUAUAAUGAACUGUGAUUUAAUUUUAUUAGUUUUAGAUGCUUCUUGUUUUCUUAAAAAAAUUAGAUACUUGUUUGCAGGCACGAUUUUUAAAAAAAAAAACACUAAAAUCUGUGUUGAUUGUUAAAUGAAUAUAUGAAAUACAAGAUGAAAUUGAUAAUUAUGUUUUUUUUUUUAAAUUAAAUGAUGGCCCCGGCCACCUAUAAGAAGCCAACCUGCCUCCAGAUAUUGUUGGGAAAGCUAACUGGCAAUUCUUAGUACUUACCACAUCAGUGAAAAAAAUAAUACUAGUAAUAGUAGUAAAAAAGAAAUUUAGUGCAAAGAAAGAGAAGUCGGAAAUGGCGAUCGGAACCAAAGUGAGCGUGGGUGUCAUGGUCGCCGCCUCCUCCCUCGCCAAUUGCAGAACCACUUUAUCCUUGGUUCAGUUCCACCUUCCACUACUCCGACCCCGCCUGCCGUCGGCUGGGCCCUUACACAACCUCCCUCUAGCUCACGUUUCCAAUCUUAUCAAGUCUGGUUAUUGCAUUCAAACUUCUCAGGAGAAAAAUAACUAUACUCGUUCGUGUAAGCAACGCGCUUUUUUCGGAGACGGCGGCUUGGAGCUGCACGAUGCCGGAGCCACGGCUUUGGUUGUCGCCGGAGCUUACACUCUCGUCUCGACUUUUGAUAAACUCACCUCCGCAAAUCUCAUCCAACAGGUUUCUUUUCUUUUUUGUGGUCAAGGAAAAUAAUUGCCAGUAUAUAUAUAUAUAUAUAUAUAUUUUUUAUGUCUUCGUAGUUAUUCUGUACACAGUUUGUUUGUUGUUUGUACGCUGGAAAAAAAAAUCAAAUUUUGGAUAAUGACGAUAACAAACUUGUCAUUACAAAGUUUUAGUACGAGCAAAUUACCCGAAAAGCCAUUAAGCUUUUUAAAUAAUUGAGUUUUGAUCACCCAGUCUUUACGAAUAUGUAUUUAUCCAUUAACCUAUUAGAAGUGUGAAUAUUGAAUCACUCCGUAUAUUUAUAUAUUUUUACCGUUAAGUCUUAGAUCUGGUAGACGGUGAAUAUGUAAAAAGCCACGGAUUGGAAAGUGCUAGAUCUAAGACUUAACAGUGGUUUCCACCCCUUAUCAAAAAAAAAAAAAAAAACAGUGGUUUCCACAGACAAAAUGGCGAAAUUUUAUACUUUUAAUGGUUCAGUGAGUAAACACGAUCUCUGAAAAAUUGAGUGGUCAAAGCUCUAUUAUUGGAAAAGUUUAAUAACCGCCGGGAUAAUUUGCUCUUUUAGUAUUGAUAUCAUCGUAUCAGGCUGUGUGUCCCGUGAACCCAAAAAAGCGCGACAGGAAGUGCACUUGAGGCAGCGACUGGUUGACCCAGAAGAAUACAUAAAAAGCAGUGAAUGAUAUUUGGGUAAAGGUCACGAACGAUUGAAUGAGGAUGGCUCGAGGAGUCAUCCGAUGCACUUUAGUUUAGGAGGCUAAAAUGAGUGCUAGAUAGCUUUUGCAAUUUCACCUGGCUAAGAAAAUGGUGGAACCUACUCCUCCAAGUUUUGAAUAAUAAUAAGUAGACACUAUAGAUGAUGAUCACAGUUUUGUUUAUGUCUUUCAAACGUUGCCUAUUUUCAUCAGAAAUUAUGUAGACUAUUGUUGGUUUUAAUUGAAUUGCAGGAGUAUAGAAGUUGACUGCUCAGAGGUCGACUACCAUUGAUGACAGAUUUUCUUCUUCCUGUAAUUUCUUCUUAUUCCCGUGAGAAAACACGUGAAAGAAACAAUUUAGAUCCGAGAUAACCACAACGAGGGCCAUAAUUAUCGCUCUAUUCAGAAAUUAAAGACAAAAAAUUACAAGGAAACAACGGUUCACGAACUCAAAAUCUUCGGGAACAUAAUGCUGUGUCAGAGUCACAAACUCAAAACACAUUGCUCAUUGUAUAUCUACAAGGACAAAUCAGUUUACAAAUGUGAGGCAAAAACCAUCUUAUGAGGCCUCGUCUUCAAAAUUUUCCCCUGAAGGCUAGUAGAGCAGCAAAUGUAGAACUGAAAUUGAUUAGAAACGGGCACAUAGGGAAAACUGAAAGAACAGGGAGAAGAUCGUGGUUUCUUGAAGAAGGAAGGGAAAGAGAGAUGGUUUGAGGUUUGUUGAAGGAAGAGGUGUGGGGAUGACUUUUGUGGUGAAGGGAAAUUUCAUGUUUUAGGAAACUCAAUAGCUACUGAGGGAGUGUAUAUGAGCAUUAGUUUAUUUGAAUAAAAGGCAUUCCUGCAUUAUUGGCCACAAUCAUCGGAGUCAAGAACGUGUCUUAUUUCUUCCAUUAGACAUGGGGCAGUUUGGAUAAUGGUUUAUUUAAUUUCCAACUGUUUAUUGUAAUACUCGAAAUUACUUGCAGACUUCAUAUAAUGAAAUGAAAGAAUAUGAACUGCAAUUGGCUGCAUUUGUUUGCCGGUUUUAUAUCGUUUCCAUCUUUCUGACAGAAUUUGAGCCGAAAACUGGUCCACAUACUGUCUGGAUUGCUCUUCAUGGCUUCCUGGCCAAUGUUCAGGUUCUGACAUUCCUCACAAUACUAAUUACAUUAUAUAAUGUUCUCCACAGUCAACUCCUGUUAUUGUUGAAUACUUCUGCUGAUUAUUUACAUCUUAGAUUAGCACAUCCACAGGAGCUCGUUACUUUGCUUCGCUGGUGCCCCUCAUAAACUGCUUAAGGCUUAUUGUCUAUGGCCUUUCAUUGGCUAAAGAUGAGGGACUCGUAAACUCUGUCACUCGAGAGGGGAAGCCUGAGUAAUUUUGCAGCCUUGUUUCUGUAUUCCUUCUGAGACACAUUACGAGUAAAUAAUCAGACCUUAUUUACAUAUUUCUAGUUUCCAUGCAGGGAAUUGCUUCGAGGUCCCCUUUAUUAUGUUAUGAUACUAAUUUUAAGUGCAAUAUUUUUCUGGCGUGACUCUCCCGUUGGAGUGGUUUCAGUGUCAAUGAUGUGUGGUGGGGAUGGUAUGAGCCAAACCUAUAUCUAAUCUAGAUCCUCAGUACUUCUGGUGUCUUCCAUCUGACAAUGUGAUUUGUAGGCAUUGCCGAUAUCAUGGGAAGGAGAUUUGGAUCCUUAAAACUACCUUACAAUCAACAGAAGAGUUGGGCUGGUAGCCUCUCCAUGUUUGUAUUUGGUUUCUUGAUUUCUAUUGGGUGAGUUGCAGCAUAUCUUUUGGUAAUGUGGAUUUGCAUUGCAAGCUAUCUUGCAUUUAUGGUUUUGACUGAUGACUUUCUAUUCCCUUGUCUUUGUAGGAUGCUGUACUACUUUUCAGCCCUUGGAUGCUUUCAGUUGGAUUGGAGCUGCACGGUACAAAGAGUUGCCUUGGUAUCCUUGGUAGCAACACUGGUGGAGUCCCUCCCAACUACAGGAAUAGUAGAUGAUAAUAUCUCUGUUCCUAUAGCAAGCAUGGUAACUGCGUUUUUGAGUUUUGGUUACUAGCUGGUCAGAGAGAAUACUGUGUUACAUGCGUGUCAUAAUUUUUCUGUUGGCACUUCAAAUACUUCCCUUUUCAAUAUUUCCUGUUUCGUUUUUUUACUUUCUGGUGCAUAUUUUUCUUAUGUUUUAACCUCGAAAUUUCCUUAGCUCAUUGUAUUUGGGAACAAUAAAGAAGAAAAGGAGUAAUGGUUGGUACCUCCUUAUUUGAAGAUUGCUAUGCUGAAAGCUAAGCAAGGUGCAUCUAAUAUAGCAACAAUCAUAACAUUGGAUUAACCGAAUCAAACAAAGCACUUGCUUCACUCUUCUAUUUGAUACUGGAUGCUAAGAUAGUAUCGCAGUAUGCACAAACUAGUAAGCCGUUUGGAUUGCAAGUUUAUGGGGGGUUUUUGUUAAAAAAAAAAUACUGUAAUAAUGUGAUGUAAGUGAGGCAAAAAGGCGAUUGAAAGUUUUUCGCAAUCCAAACGAGGCAUUAUAUGAGGAUCUUGAGGGUACAUUGCGCCUAGGGUAAUUACGUGCUUCUAGCGUUCUUGCCAAGAAAAACUCUCGACUCCAGAUUUGUGCCUACUGGUAGGACUGGAGGCCAAAAACACGAAGAAAACAACAAAUGGAUGAAACAAGUUUAGACCGAUCAAAUUUCAUUGAGUAACUGGUCACCUGGGCAAGAAAUAAAACCAAUUGGAGUCUUUUAAAAAUCUGAUGGAUGGACUCCAAGCACACCUAUUUCAAUUUUGUUCAUGUGUUUUCAUGUAUGGAUGGACUCCAAUUAUCGUUCAUCUGUUUUCAUGCAAUAAAAUUGGCAAUUUAAUUGCAAACUUGUGACUUUUUUAGAAAUUUUUUUUUUCGCUAACAUUAAUACUACAAGUAGCCCUUUAUUUUUUGGAGAACAAAUCCUUGAGUCAAGACUUAAGAGGACUGGUAGAAAUGAGAAGGCAGGCGGGGCCUAGCAAUCGCCACCAGGGGAAUGGCCUUGGGCAUGGUCAUGCCAUAAACCUCACUGGUAUCAAUGUCUUGAGGUCUCAAUCCAUCAGCUGGCCUCCAAUCGAAGCAAUGAAACAGCCGAGCCAAUGCCAUUAGCACCAGCGUCACCCCCAGCGGCGCCCCGGGGCACUUCCUUUUCCCAGCACUAAAAGGCAAUAUCUUGAAGUCGGAUCCGUGGCUUAUUUCCACUCGGCUCCCAUCUCCUGUUAAAUGCCUCUCCGGCCUGAAUUCUUCCACAUCGUCCCAUAUCUUGGUGUUCCGUCCUAGGCCGUGCGUGUUGAUGAAAACCCGUGUCUUGGCAGGGAUGUGGUAUCCGUUGAUCGUGGUGGCUCGAACUGACUCAUGCGGAAUGAGAAAUGGACCGGCCGGGUGCAUUCGAAAAGUUUCACGUACAACGCAUCGUAGGUAAUUUAGGUGGGCUAAAUCAGAUUCUGUGACCAUCCGAUCACGUCCGACUACGGUAUCAAGCUCUUCUUGGAUCUUCUCGAGGACGGUUGGAUGUUUGAUGACUUCUGCCAUUGCCCAUUCAUUGGUGACAGCAGAAGUAUCGGUAGCAGCAGCUAUCAUAUCCUAAGCAUUCAAAACCGUUUUGACUUAGAAAUCAUGUAUAUAUAUAUAUAUAUAAAGAUUGUCAUGGCGGUCAUAUAACUUGGAAUGGAAAGAAUUUGUAGCAGGGAAACAUUUGAUUAAUUUUCAGUGGAUUGCUGAUAAUAUUCAAUUACCAAACAAGAUUUGUAGAAAGAAUGCCUUUACUAUUUGUGCAACGUAAAAAGAGGGUGGCGAUAGUAGAUUUCUAUACGAUCAUGAAGUAUUUGUGAUGGAUGAUCAAAGGAUAUUAGUACUCAACCUGAAUCAGUGCUUUGAUGUCCUUAUCAUCUAGGUGUGCUUCUCCAUCUUCACCUGCCAAAGACAAUAGCACGUCAACAAAGUCAAUCUCUGCCUCAUCUUUUACUCCUUCAGUUUGCAAUUUCUUUCUAUGUUCUUGAAUGAUCUUUGAGUGAAAAUCAUCCACCCUCUUUUCUACUUCCCUCAUUUUCCUCUCACAACCAUAAGGGUCUAUCCACCUCCAAAACGGCAGAUAAUCUCCCAAAUAAAUCAAGCCCAAGAGCCAAAACAAUUCGUGCGUUAUGUGCAUGAACUCCAUUGCCUCUUGUGGUCCAGCUGAUUCUUCCCCAAAAUAUUGCUUUCCGAGCAGCAUUCUAGUCACGUUAUUCAUGGAAAAAGCACCCAGAACUUCCCUCAGAUUUAUUGGUUCUUCCUUGCGGGCCUUGCUCCAAACAUCUUCAACUAGAUGCUGAGCUUCAUCGGCCCGAUGCCUUGAAAAUGACUCGAGUCUUUUUGUUGUCAGUAGAUGUUCCAUGCAAAUCCUCCUCAUUCUCUUCCAUUUCGGGCCUAGCGGAGCCAAUGCCACGUCUCCACAGCCAUAGGCCAGGUGAACAGCUGCAAGAGUCCUCGGCCGAGAGGCGAAUACAUCGUCCUGAUGGACAAGGAUUUCGCGUAUAAUAUCGGGAUCGUUGGUGGUGAUGGCAUCAAUGCUCCCUAGUCGAAGGUACACUAGAGGUCCGUAUUUCUGACACAAAGAAGCCAAGUCCCUAUGUGGUAAUUGACUCAACUGAAGAAGGUUGCCGAUAAUCGGCCAACCGGGAGGGCCUGGUGGAAGCCUUCUAGAAUUGUUUGAUAUUCUGAACCAAGACUGAAAUACAUAUGCAAGAAAAUGUAGGCACAGAAUAAUGUAAAUUAAGGUGAUUAGAUCCAUCGGUGUUCUCAGGGAAGGUACCUCAAGGGGCAAUUUCCCAGAAGUUGAAUAAGUACGAGUGGUACAUGAUGUAAGGUUUAAUGAGACAAAAUGAAGUUAAAAGCGUUGUUGGUUUCUACAUGUUCUUUCUGCCUGAUGAGGCAUGUUGAUAUUAGGAAGAUGACACAGGCGGAUUAGUUAGACCAUCACAUUGGCAUGGCCUGAUCAUUUCUUGGUAUUUAAUUGAAUGACGAGGCAAAUUAACGAGUUAAAAAUCAAGUUUUCGUAAUGUUUACUCCUAAUUCGGAAGCAAUAACAUUUGCAUGGUUCCUUAACCGCUUAGAUAUAGGUAGUUUUCUUGCAGGAAUAAGAAGUUUGGACUGUCAUACAAGUUUCUUUUCCCACGUUCACAGCGUAUAGAUUAUAGACAUGAACUCUUCUGACAGAAUUACAUAUAGCGCACAUUUUGCUUAAAAGCAGCUGGGCUUUCGCUUCCUCUUCUAUCUCUGCUCACCUAAGUCGAUCAACUUUUGAGGGUUCCUCAGCCAGAUGCUGGGAAGAGAAGAAAUCCUAAAGGGCAGCAACUGGAUGGGACAGGCCAAAAAAGGAAGAAAAAACAUUUCAAAGAACGAUAUGUAAAGUUGGGCCGAUGGGAUGGGAGGUCAAGAAUUCAAGCACAAUCUCUUUGAUCAUGAUAAAUGGACCAUCUACAUGUUCUAUUUCGCCAGUCCAACUUAAGUAAUUUUCUUUGUUACUUUGAAGCCUUUUCCAAGCAUUGAAAAGUUUUGUGCUUAGUGAAAAUUUAAUUAAACAUUUGUAAAUCCAAAAAUAAAAUGGACAUUUUGGAUUUUGGACUAAUCCUUGUAACAUUUAGCCUGUUAACUGGUUAAGACCUCGUUUGAAAUUGCGGUGAUUUAUAAAGAAACACUUCUGACACAAGUAUUUUUAACAAAAGUACUUUUAAAUUACUAAACACUGAACAAUUGAAGUUACAAAAAAUUAGUUAUGAAACACUUUAAAAAUACUUUUAAUACUUAAAAGUGCUUUUUUUUUUCUUUUUUCUUUUUUAAAUGCACCGCAAACUCAAACAACAUGGCCUAAGACUUAAGACACCCAAGACCGACCAAGCCAAAAUUCAAUUAAUUACUACUAGAGAGUUACACAGUUCUGAAACUUUGUUGGAUCCCAAAGCAAUAAGAUGAAAAAAGUGGGGCCGUAAACGAAUGUUGACGAUCGUGUCUCCUGAUCAGCACGUGCGAUUGGCAUUUUCGAGAAUCUCAGAAAAGGGGUGACCCCUUUUUGGCCUUUUCUCCGCCACGUAUAAAAACCCCAAAAUAUCACUUACUUUGUCAAAAAAAAAAAAAAACCAUUACUGGUUGCUCAUCAAAACUAGCUCUCCUUCAUCAGAAACUAGAAUCUCCAUCUCACUUCACUGUACUGGAAUUCUGGAAAGUGAACUCUACUAGACAUGAACUGUCUCCAGAAUCUUCUAAGGUUCCACUUCAUUUCCACGCUUUCUUUCAGUUCAUAAUUAUUUCGUAAUUCCGGUCUGAUCAAUUCUCACUCGUUUGAGAUUUUUUUUUAUUUCGUUAAUUUUUGGGCAGAUUUUCUGCUUUGCCUUUGCAAAGCUUUAAUAGAGGUCAUACCGGAAAAUCUUCGUGCUCAGUUAGCAUCACUGUAAGAUUAGUCUGCCACUAACGAAGCAAGUAGGAAUAUAUAGAAAUUUAGAUUGAUAUAUGUACAGUUGCAUUCUCAGUUUGAAUUUAUUGCUUUCUUGUGUGCAGAUGGUGCCGACAGCUCCGCAGUUUCGGCAUAAUAUUGUGGGAAAGGUAAUUUUUGAAUGAGCAGAUUAAAGAAUUGUGCGGUUUGUUUGUUGGUGAUUAAGCUCAAGUAAUUGUAAACUUUUAAAUGUAGAUCAUGUAAUUUAGAUUCAUUGGUGUAUAAAUUAGAGUAUGGAUUUCGACGUGUAUUAUUGUAUCCUCUUCAGUCAUAGGAAGGACUGUAUGUUAAAUUGUAGAUUCUUCUUUGCAAACGUAAAAGAAACUUUUCUUGAGCUGAAAAUGUUCCUAUGAAUCUUGCCUUUAUAGUUAACAUCUGGUUUUUCACUUCUUUUUUCUGCAACUUGUGUGGAUGAACGGAAGUGGCACUGGGUAUUUGUUGUUUCAGCUAUUACAUCUAAGUUGUGUUCAGCGUACUUUUGCACCUUUUUUAGGUUCGUGAAAUUUGACAUGUUCAUCUGCUACUUAUAAUUCUUAGUUGUGGUUUCAGUUUUAAGUUUUCUUUGGUGCCUCUCCAUUCUAUUAUGUGACCUACCUUGAAUUUUUAUUUUUCUUAAUCUUUCAGGUAAAAAAAAAAAAAAGAAAUUUUUUGUGUCAUAUACUCAUUACUUGGAGUAACUUUGACACGGUUUUGUGGCCUCAUCAAAUACUGUGCUUGAUAAGCUCUAUACCCUGCCCUUAUUGUACUGAAAUUGGGGAUAAUGUGCUUUAAGUUUCAUUAUGUACCAAGUUAAACUACCAGAAGAUUGUCCCCUCUCAAUGAGAUUUCAUUUAAAGGAUAUGUACUAAUUGAGCAAAAUACCACCUUCCAUGUUAAGUCCUACUAGGUGGUCAAUAAUGAAGAAUACCUUAAUGAGCAAUUUAUUAGCUGUGCAUGUGUGAAAUUACAGCUUCCUGGAUACUUUAAUAAACUACUUUUCUUCUUUUCACUAUUUCUUGGCAUUAUGAUGGGUACUUUAAUGACAAUAGUCUGUUACUUAUUUUAAGGCUAUAUCUGGUUCUACAUCUAGUGCUGAGAUGGAUGGUGCUAAAGUGGACGAGGAAAAAUCUGAUGUAUAUACCCACAACAUGACCAAGGCCAUGGGCGCCGGUAAUCUCAGUUUUCAUGUGAUUUAUGUGAUCUGACUUUAGUAAACUGAAUGGAAAACAUUAUAUGGGAGGGUGCUUUGGAGGUGAUCUGUGUUUAAAGAUGAUAAUAGAAAAGAUUUAUUUGCAAUUUCCUUCUUACUGUGAGAAUUGUCUAAGGUUUACUGAAACUACACAAACUGGCACUUCAUUGUUGUUCUGUUAGCAGUUGCAUUCUUUAACAAUGAAAAGACAACUAUACUUUCUUUCCCAGUCUAUCUGUUGUAAACUUAAGCAAUGUGAGUGGCCACAGAUUUUGAUCUUUCCGAUUCACUUUGUCAGGCUUAUUUUGCCUUUCUUCCAUAUUAUUGUUUUCUCUGGGAUCAACAGUUUUGUCUUACUUUGUUAAAAUGUUUAUGUCAAUACAGUCUUGACUUACAGACAUGAACUAGGAAUGAACUACAAUUUCAUUUGUCCAGAUUUGAUUGUGGGGUCAUGCCUGCAGGUGAUAAGGACUUCUUUGCAGCUUUUAGUUAUCUCCUGUAUUAUUGUUUAACUCUUGUUUCUGCUCAAUAAAAUUCAGUCUCCUGAAGAUGUUGACAAGCUUCGCAGCAUAGGGGUCAAAACGAUUUUUUGUUUGCAACAAGACCCUGAUCUUGAGUAUCCUCAAAAGUGGUUCAUAUAUCUAAUUUGUCCUGUAUCAAUGAAGAGCUUAGUUAUUUUCAUAACACAUGGGUUUAUAUGCUACAUAAAAUGUUAAAUCAAAUUCCAAACAUCUUCUCAGUGAGAUGUUCUGUUUGACGCCUUAAUCAGUACACUUAAGAUAUUUUGGGGUCGAUAUUAAAGCCAUUCGCGAGUAUGCUAGCUCAUGUGUUGACAUUGAACACUUGCGAGCUCAAAUAAGGUUGGUAAAGAAAAAAGGUUACAGAUUGUUCUGAAAAUGGUACUUUCUUGCUUGGAGGUUAUUCACUUUUCUCUAGGACUUUCUAAAUACUUGUUCUAGAAUUUUUUUUGCUCCAUGAUAAGGAACUUUCAGAUAUUUGUUGCAUUAUUUUCUUAGCAAGUAAAAGAAAGAUAUUGUUUAAUAUGCAAGCAAAGUAGCUUACUAAAGCUUAGGAAGCUCACGGUAUUAUUUCGCCCUUCUCUGGCUGGUUAUAAGAAAUCUUUCAUAAGGAAAAACUUGCUUUUUUGCAUUUUGGUGAACUGGCUUACUUCUAUCAAUUAUAUCUAUCUAUCAUGUUCCAUUUUCUGUCAUAUCAAAUAGCAACUUAUUGGCCAGUAUGGAGAGUAUAUAUGUGUAGAGCAGAGAGAGUCUGGCCACACAUAAAAGUUUCUCUGGAGUGUGGUCUUCUGAUACACUCUUUUACUCUGUCAAGUAGAAGCAACAAAAGAAAAACCAUUUCCAUCCUGUAAAUAUGUUCAGGAGUUUUCACUAUGUGUGGUCUAGGUUCAUGGGAGGUUUUGCAAGGCUGGGCUGGGAAAUUUGUCAAGUUCCUUUAAGAAUUUGAACAAAACUAGAUAAAGGGUGUGAAGUAUAUAGAAAGCACUAUCUCAUCCAAGAUGUCUCAAAGUGAGGAGUAGUGUUAGAAGUGUAUUCUAGGUAUCUAGGUGUUCAUACAUCUUAAGAGAAUAUAUAGUGUAUAAUAUGCCACUUUCAUGGUUUGUUACUGCAAAUAGAACAUUCCUACACUAGAUAUCAUGAUAUAAUGAAUAGCAGGGAUUUUGAUGGGUUUGAUUUACGGAUGCGGCUUCCAGCAGUGGUGAGCAAAUUACACAAGGCCAUUAAUUCUAAUGGCGGUGUAACUUAUAUACAUUGCACAGCUGGGAUGGGAAGAGCUCCUGCAGUCGCUGUAAGUCUGCUUAUUUAGAAAAUUACGCUAGUUUGUUGUGUCAAAAUGGUGUAAAAUUUUGGGUGCUAAAAUCCAUGUUUUUGUGUCUAAAUUUCAUAGUGACUUUUUCAGCCUGUCAUUUCUACCAUAUGCUAGAUGAUAGCGUCGAAGACUACAGCUAUAGAAAAUAUUGCAUAUAGUUCUAGCUUCAGGUAAGAAGUUAUUUGUCACAGGCUGGGUGGCUGCUGGCAUUGUUCUAACAAAUAUUUUUGCUCAUAUUUUGAACUUUUUGGUGUUAUUAUCAAUAUCAAACUAGUUAGAUAGCCUGUAAUGUUUAUUGUUUCUCUUCCCUAACUCUAUAUACAUGCUUGUAAAUAUGUAUGUAUGUAUGUAUGUGAUGUGAUCUGGAAUUAACUACCCAAUUCCAUAUGCGUUUCUCUUGACAAUAUACAUUAACUAUUUGUGGCCUUGUUUUCCUGUUACCCAGUGUUUCUAUACAAAGUGAAUGAUUUGGAUGUUUUGUUUUAUACUCACAAAAUCACCCAUAUAAAUUGCCCCACUUUGUUGAUGUGGAGUGAAAAGAAGAAGGAAAGACAAAUCCAAAACAAGCACUUGAAUCAAAACCCCAUACAGAAAAUUAAAAUGUUUAAGCCCUUGUUAUUGGUGACACAAAACAACAAAUCUUAUUAGUCCUCUAAACUUUACCCACAUAUCUGGUAACAAACUUUAGGUCUUCCAAAUUCUGAGAAUGAAGCAUGGCUGCAAUUUCCUUGGUUUGGAAGCAACUUUUAGAUGGUUUUGUAAUCUUCUUUUCUAUGUGUUGAUUUCCAGAGUCUAGGCUGUGCCUUCACUUGCAUUAUAUUGAGUUCAUUUUUCUGGGGAUGCAAUACUAGGUUGCUAUCUCACACUAUUCUUUUGUUUCCACCUUAAUUCUGUGGAUCCGGCUGAACUUCCAUUGUAAGUGUUGCGUUUUCUGAUGACAUGACCACUGUUUUUCCUUUGGAUGGCAGCUAGCUUACAUGUUCUGGGUUCAAGGCUAUAAACUUGGCGAAGCCUAUCAAUUGCUCAUGGUAUAUCUUAUUGUUCUAUGAUUAAGGAAAUUCUAAUGAAUAAUGGACCAAUUCUUGUAUGAUAUCAUGAUGACUUCAAAAUAUGGUGAUAUCUUGCAACAGAUUUGUCCAAAUGUUCAUGCCAUGAUGGUAUUUGAACUUCCUAAUGGAUAGGAUAAUUGUGCUAAUUAAGAAUCAUUUCUCAUGUAUAAUGUUGAAUAAUUUGACUUGUAUUUGUGAUUAUGAAAUAGGGUAAUUGGGAUGUAAAAUGGACUAUAGUUUGGGCUCAUCUUAGUGCUGAAAUAGCCCUGUUUCUCUGUAUUGGCAGAAUAAACGCUCUUGCUUCCCAAAGUUGGAUGCUAUCAAAAGUGCAACUGCUGACCUUGUGAGUUGGAUUUUUCCUUCUACACUUGUCAUUCCCAUGUAUGGGUGCAAUGUGGAAUGAUCAUUUCUACAGUUCUAUAAUUUGUCACAAAAUGGUUAUCACAUUUGUCCAUUUUUUGAAAACUUCAAUUUGCCAGAGUAAUAGCAAUGCUAGUGUUCUUCCAUCUUUAGAAAGGACUGAGUGUCUAGUUAAAACAUCCUGGAAGAAAGAAUAAGUCUAGCAGCUAACCAAUGUCCAUUGAGGAGGUUUACUACUUUAAUUAGUCACUUCAGUAUGCCAUAUAUUAUUGGAGUUCAUUGAAUAUCAUGUCUUUUCACAACAAGAAAAGCAUUAGGCAAGUUGCUGUAACAUGUUGGUGUUCUAACUUCGUGAUAUACUGCUGCUUAUUGGGAGAAAUCGGGGCAAGUCAGGAGUUGUGACAGAAGACUGUUGAAGUCAAAACAGAGAAAUUUUAUCACUUUGCCAGAACAAUAUCUGAAACAUGGGAUGAAUAUACUUUUAAGAGUUGCUUAUUGAAUCUUACAUCUAUCCUAGUAGAUAGAUCGCAAAAUUUCUAGUCACUUCUUAUUUUCUUGACGCAUUAUAUUCCUGUUUAAAGCUUACAGGCUUCAAAAAGAAGCUUGUCACGCUGAGGUGGUAUAGUAGCAAUUGUUCCACAGUGGAAAUCUCUGGACUUGAUAUUGGAUGGGGUCAGGUAAUGAUUAAAUCUUCAUAUUGUUAUCAUUGUCUCCUGGAAAUGUUGUUGCACCAGAAGUCUCUCCUUUUACAUGGACUUAAGUGAAGGAUGUUUAAGAUGAAUAUACGUCUAGACUUGGAUUCUGAGCAUUGUCAGACUUCUGAAAUACAAGAUAUUGAAUUUUUGUUUUGCCUGAAACUUGUGGUAACUGUGCUGUUUCAGUAUUAAUAUUUUGUGAAUAUCUCUCUCUCUCAAAAAAGGCAAAAAAAGAAAAAAAAAAACUUUUUAGCUAGUUAUAUCAUGUUGCAAGCUGUUCCAUUUCUUUGUAUUGAUCUUUUAACCGGAAAUGCAACUUUGAGCUUGGAUGAUCUUGUCCCUUGACCUGAACCAGAGACUCAGAGUGCUAAAAUCCUGAGUACUUAGAACUUUUAUCAUGUGCUUCUUGGCAUUCGGGAAUCCUAGUUCACAUACACAACUUAAUGUAUGAAGCUUCAAUUCACUGCAGAGAAUGCCAUUGAAUUUUGACGAGGAACAAGGUUCAUGGAUACUGCAGAGGGAAUUACCAGUAAGUGGAUAGUAUUUAUCUAUCUCGAGUUCUAUAUUGAUUUGCCAUACUUGGGAAUGUGAUUUUUAGCUGUGAAAGGAAUGUAAAAGCACAUCUAAACUGUAAAGGGAUCAAGUCUCUGAUUCUGUCCUCUUGCAGGAAGGACAUUAUGAGUACAAAUACAUUGUUGAUGGUGAAUGGAUGUGCAAUAAGUACGAACUUGUUACUUCUCCCAACAAAGAUGGCCACGUGAACAAUUAUAUCAGAGUAUGGCCUACAACUAUUUCUGAACAAUUUGUUCAUAAAUAGGCACGCAUUGAGUAUUUGUGAUUUUAUGCACUCAACAGUCAGCAAUCGGCAUAGACAAUAAAGAUUUUGUAACGAUUUGACUUGUGUGGGGAGUCCAGAUUCUUUGAGUAAUCGUAGUAUAAAUGUUAUGAGAACUUAGUUGGGGCUUCCUGCGCUCCCUAUGCCAUUGGAAGAAAUGGAGUUUGUGACCUCAUAAAGGUAGAUAGGAAAGUAAUUGAGAACCUUAAGAAUUGAAUAGAGUUUGAUAUAAGCAUUAAGAAUCAGAUCAAACUCAUAAUUUACCGACUCACUCUGAGCCUCGGCGGAGAUUCACUGAAGGUGCUCUCUCCCUUUUUAUCCAACAGGCUCGUUUCAACGUGAAUAUUAGGGGUACUGACCGCAUUUUGACUGCCCAGCUUUUGUGCAAUGAUUAUUUUUGUAACUUUUUUAGUGCUUAGUGGAUGAUGAUAUGCUUAUGAUGAAGACUCCAGCAGAAUGAGUGUUUCAAUUUUUGAAGGGACUGAAAAUUCUUCGAUCCUGGAAUUCUUUCAUGGUCUAGUUAAUCUUCUGUAGCCUCUCAUUUACGACUCUUCUUCUGCUCUUCAUUUGUGCAGGUUGCAGACAGUAACCCCAAUGGCAUUAGUUCGAGGAUAAGAAAAAGGCUAAGCGGUGAAGACCCCAACCUCACGAAGAACGAAAGAACCAUAAUUAGACAAUUUCUUGAGGCCUGCCCUGAUGAGGAGUGACUUGUACCUGCCAACACAGUUCCUACUUAUGUAAGUGUACCAUAUUCAUUAUUGCAUAAAACAUGGCAAUUAUGUAACGAGCCUCAGUCUUCUUUAGGGACAAAUAGGGGGUCGAGUGGGGGAUAGGAUGUCGGUGAAGAAGGGUAGGGGAAUUUACUUAAACAGGCACUUUGCUUUGUUGUCAGUGACGUUGAUGGAGCUGAAAGUGGAAAUAUCCACUCACCGACAAGACUGGGCCAAUCGAAUGUAAUCCAUUUCUUAAAGUUCCUUGGUCUUUGUGCCAAUCGAAUGUAAUCUAUGUCCUAAAGCUCCACCGUCUCCGCGUAGUUUCAAGUUCCAACUUCCACUCAGCUUCCCAUUUUGCUCCUAAAGUCAAACGGAUUAGAGGAUUGACUACUCUGUAUUUUCACAAUGAAUUGUAUCGUAAUCGUAACGGUCAGAUAUCUUCCUAGUACAUAUCUUGGCUAAAGGUCCUGGUUAUGGAACUGUUCUCGAGUCUUGUAUUUGUUGCUUUAGCUGUUUUAUAGCUUGUCCACAAUAGCAAAAGGGUGAUUCAUGAAAUGCUCUUCGGAAUAAUAGAAUGGUGAUUUUUAAGAUUUUCAAACGCAAUGUAAAUACGUGUUUCUUGAAAUAAUUGCUGUUGAAAUAUGCAAAGUUCUAUAGAAUGAUGAAAGAAUAAUUUGCUUUUGCUCAUCUCAAUAAUGUUGUUGUCAUCAGCUUAUUCACCAAAAGGGAAUCCAUGUAUACUGCUGUCUGCUGUCACCAGUUCUGGACAGGCUAGGCAAUUUUUGGAGUUUUAUCAUUCAUAUUAUGACCAAAUUAGCUGUUGGAUUUCUAUAUGGGACUUUGUGAGAAGUAUUGUUCAAUUUUUUAAGAAACCAAAUCAAUAUGAAUUAUUGACAAGAAAUGAAGUUUUUGUUUCAUCGCAACCUACAUGGUGAUCAUUAUUAUAAUGGCGAUUCCAUUAAUAGAACAUUAUUAUUAGUGCUUCUUUAAAAUCUAUAAUAAUUUCUUGUUCUUUUGUAUGAAGUACUGAAUAUUGAAGAAGAUAACUUAAUGAUUUUGCAUGGUCGAUAACAUGUAAAACACUUGGCUGUACCUAUACAGGUAGAUUAAGGGAAGGAAAUCGACAAUUACUUCCUAGUAAUUGCAGGUUGAAGCAUUGUAUUAAGAGGAUGGAGUUUUGGAUAUCAUACGUGCACAUGUAGAAUCAAUAGCGUUUUAAUUCUUCAUCACCAUUAAUAUCCACAGUAUGUGAGCCCCAUGCGUCUUGGUUUCUUUUCCUUGCAGCAUAAAUUGUCAUGUCUUUUUUUUGUUUUUUUUGGUGUGUCAAUAAUUUCAUAUGCAUUUAUGGCACAAUUAUUAUGCUGAGGGGAAUAAAAGGAUCGUUUGCAUUUAAUUUGAUGUUGAGGGAUUGUUAUCCACUGUACUGUCUUCAUAAUUUUGCAAACAAAAGGAGUAAUGAUCAUAGUUUUAAGCUAUUUUGCUACCAGGUUGUUGCCGGUCACUCUCCAUACCUUAAGAAAUGUAAUUGAUUUUUCAUUUUUUUGACCAAAUAUAGCCUGACCGGCCCUCGUGUUCCUUCGAUGGGACAGACAUCCCUUUCCUAUUUUUAUCAAUUUGACAAAAGAAAUAGUACCAAAACGCAAUUUGUAGCUUGAAUAAUUUCAAUGACUCAAAUGGCCCCCUACGCUGAAAGAAACAAGGCCAACGAGCACUCCUAUUCUUUUAUGCUAAUCAAAUCAACUGAUUAAGCGCACUCAUUCAAUCACGAUUAAGGCGAUUUUGCCCUUAAAAAACUAAAAUUACGUGAAUCCAAGAAAAGAAAAUAUCAUUUUGUUAUAUUGUUUACGAGAAUUAUACGAUUUAGAGUUUGAAAAUAUCAUGGAAUUGAUCAUUGGAAACAAAAAAUUAAGCUAAGUUAAUCUGAAAAAUUGAUCAUUGGUGGACAUAGCUAGACAUGAAAAGAAAACCCCGAACCAAAAGAAAAAAAAAAGGAAGGAAAACUACUAGUUAUAUUGUAGGGAUAAUUUUAGAAACGUUCGCUAAGAUUUUUGACGGUUUCACUGAUAUUCUCUAAGGUUUUAAAAAUACCAUUAACCUCCUUUAAACUAAUUAUCUUAUAUCAAAUUAGCCCAAUUAAAAAAAAAAAAAACAACAACAAUAAAAAAAUAUUUUCAAGAGUAAGAAGAAUAUUGCAUAUCAAAAAUACCUCAAGGGUAAUAAUGUCUAACUAUCAAUGAGGUAAGUGUUGAGUCUCAAAUAAUUGAUAGGGAAGGCAAGUGAUAUUUCUAAAAUCUUGAGAGAGGACAAUGAAAUUGUAAAAAAACCUCAGGGGAAGUUUCUGAAAUUAUCUAUAUCCUACAAGUCAUUUUUCUUAUUUUUUUUCUUUCUUGCUAGUUGCUGCAUAGCUUUAAAUAGUCAUUUCUUCUCGACGUUGACGUAUAUUGCGUUUACAACUGGAAUUAAUUUGGGCCCAAAAAAUGUAGCAGAAAAUGUAUUUUAUCCGCUUCCCUUUCCAUUCCGUCGACUUCAUUGAAUUUUCUCACCAAAUUAAAUAAACAAAAACCAGAAUCUAAAUGCCAAAAAAAAAAAAAAAAAUCAGAAACAGACUUCCAAACUGGUUCUACUCUGUCUAAAUCGCAACAGAAGAAAGAACGCGCAGUCACACACCACCCCGCAGCAACACGCAAUACAAAUUGAAUUCGACUGACAAAUGCAGUGUGAGUAACCAGACAAACAUAAAGGAAGCUCCGAAUUUCUCCUUCCUUAAUCGCACUGAGUCAACUCGAAUAGCUUCACUCGACUCACCACCCAACAUAUGGAACACCUCUCCGAAGACGACAAUGCCGUCACCGGCGUGGGAAAUGGAAGCGGCGGCUUCCGUUCGAUCCGAGACCGUUUCCGCUUCAAACGAAACCCUAACUCUGCUGCCUCUUACCUUCCGUCCACGUCAACAGCGACGACUUCGCCUCUGGAUCGGCAAUACAAGCAAGGCCGAUCUCAUUCUCACCAUCACCACCACCACCACCACCAUUACAAUAGAUCAGCGGCUAAAAAGAUGUUAUUGUUUCCGUUUAGGGAGAGAUCGUGGUUUUAUUUGUGCAUUUUUUUAGUGAUAUUUGUGUUUGCUUUGGCGUCGAUGGUGCUUCAGAGCUCAAUCAUGCCCGUGUUUAGGCAAGGUGGAGGAGGGAGUGAGAGAGGCAAACGGCUGUGGCCUGUUAGAGAUGACUUGAAGUUGGGCAGCUCUUUGCAUUUUGAGCCGCAAAGGAGAUUUCAGCUUCACGACGGGCUUGAUCGGCUGCGGAGUCAGCCGAGAAUUGGGGUUCGACCUCCACGAAUUGGUCUUGUGAGUGAGUUUUUUUGUAUACAUGUUUUUAGUUGUAGUUAUAUUUUGGAUAAUUCUUCUGGAGCUAUUGUAUUUUAAUAGAUGCUCAUUCUGGGAAUGACUAGCUUUCUUAAGAUUGAUUCCGAAGUUUUUUACUUUUUGCGUUGGUUCGAAACUCUUUUUAAGUGAAGCUAUGAACUUUAAGCUGGCUUUGAUAUGCUUAUUGCCAUUAAUAUCAGAAACUUUCAAAAAACCAUUUUCUGCAGAGUUCUAGUUUUCUUGGUGAUAUCAAUGUCUGUUGCUUGAGAUGGACGUCACUGAAUGGGCAACGUGAAAUGGGAAUUGUGCAUGUCCCGCUGUACAUCUUUGAAUUGCAAACCAAAGCUUCAGUUGAAAGUCAUUUUCUUAGCCAAGUCUUUGAUAAAAAUUUGUCUUAACAAGUAGUUGAGUCAUACAACUUCAAGUACUGAUACUUUUGGUGGAUAUGAUUGCAGCUUGAGUAUAUGUGUGUUUCUUUUAUAGGAAUGCUGACUGGAAAUUCAAGAAACUUUUGGCCACCUGGCUGAACUGUGUUCACAUAUUUCAGAAAGAAGUCUUGUGCCAAAAGAAACAGGAAAACUGAAAAAUAUUUUGUUAUGACUUAUAACACAUCACUGAGAGUAGAUGGUAAGGAUGCAAACAUGACUAAAACUGUUGAUCUUGUAAGUUCAUGACAGACUUGAGGUGGAACAUAGGAUGAAUUUGGGCAUCAUCUAAUUCAUCUGUUUAUACUAUUUGUUAAGUAUUAAGGUCCAUGUAUGCAUGCUUUUCAUUUAUCAUGAUUUCUUGAAUUUCACAGACUUGAGCUUUGCAUUUUAUAUUUUUCAGAUCUUAGGAAACAUGAACAAGGAUCCUUCAUCAUUGAUGCUAUCUACGGUGAUGAAGAAUUUGAAGGGACUUGGCUAUUUGUUCAAGGUAAUUUUAUAGGAAUUAUAUCUUAUAUCCUUGGUUAGAAGAUGGAUGAAAGUUGGUUAGGUUCGGGUGGACAUGUAAAUGCAUUAUGAAUUUUGGCUUUUUCCUUCCUGAGUAGUUUUAAGUUUAUCACCUUUGACUUUUAGAUGCCAUCAAGGAAAUAGAGCAAGAGCCCUGUUGUUUCCUCAUUAAGUAGAAAAUUAAGAGUUUUUACGAAGCUUUUAAAAGCUUUUACAUGGGUUCUACUGGCCAAGUUCUCCCUGCAUUCACAUAUAAUCACUUGUGGGUCAUAGCAACAGUUUAAUUUUCCAAGUGAGUUCCAUCUUAGCAAUUGUGUAAAACUAGCUUCUUAACCAGUUUGUUUAUUGUUUAGGUUUCCUGAAAUAUGUAUUGUCUUAGUUUUUUUAAAAAUAAUUGCUUUAUAAUUUCUCUCCCUUAUCAAGUUCCUGAAAAUAAGAAUCAAAUUUUCUUUGCCUUACUAACAAAUGAAUGCAAUCAACUAAAGGAAAUUUCAGAGGGCUUCGGUGUCUCUGGCGCAAAUCUCAAGAGAAUUAUGUGAUCAAAGCAAUGAAUUUUACUAUUUGCAUCCUUUGAUAGAACACUUGUUAAAAGUCCUUUGAGGGAUAUUAGUUAGUCAAAGACUAUACAACUGGUCAGUUUGAGGGUUUAGGUGUGGUUUAUAUGGUUUGGUAUUUACGACCUGUCCUUCGUCUGUUUUCUGUUAUCCCCUCAAUCCAGUUAGUGAUCAGACUGACUUUUUCUCCACCUAUAAUCUGCUCAAUCCUGGAGGAUCUUUGUCAAUUUGAAGUUUUGUCUGAUUAAUCAAUAUGUUUUAGUGCAAAUUGUCGUGUGAUUGUGAUAUAAUCUUUUUGGGCCCAAUGCAUGCUUCUUUGCAGAUAUAUGCACUACAAGAUGGUGAUGCUCGAGAAAUUUGGGAGGAAAUAGGAGGUGAAAUCUUGAAUUUAAGUCCUGAAAGACAUGGUCAUAUUGAUUGGUCAAUGUAUGUUUUAUUCUUUCAUCUAGUUUACUCAUGAAUCCAAUAGUAAUUCUCUUAAGAUAGUAAGAACUUCUCCAUGAAAUAGUUAGUCAAUUAGUCCUUAAAUUGGUACUAAUAAAUAAAAUUCCUCAUUGCUGCAGUUUUGAAGGUAUAAUAGCAGAUUCUCUUGAAGUGAAGGAUGCCAUUUCAAGGUAUAGACAUUCUUGACAUAUGAAAUUAAUGAACUAAUUUUACUUCUCAUCACUUUCUCAAAAUUUACCAUAUGUUCUCAUUAGAAAAAUUGAUGCAUAAUUGGUUCUUAGUGCUAACCUUGUGCCUGAGUUAUCAAAUGAAAAGAGGAAUCUGUCCCUAAACUUUAGCUUCCAAAAUUGAAUUAAUUAUAAAGAGAUGGUUUCCCUCUAAUUUGAAACAAGUUCCUGUUAUUUGUCUAAUUAUUUAUUUAGUUUGCUCGAUUGGGGAGGGGAGAUAGACCUUAACUAUAGUAAGUGCUACCUUGCUGACUAGACAUUUUAGCUAGGUUCUAACUUUGCUUUAUAACAAACAAGGUGCUAAAUGAUACAAAUAUAAGGAAAAGGUUUGCAUAAUUAAUUUUUCAGAUACAUAAAUAGCCUUAAGAAGAUGGUAGGGCUACUGCUGUUUGAUUCAUUUUUCUAAUUUUAGUAUUCUCUUAAUCACCGGAUUCUUUUGUGCCACUGGAGCCUUCUUCUAUUCACUGCACAGUUGAUUGGAGAAAAAUCGUAGUUCUGUAAUAUUUUGCUUCGUGUUAACAUCCCGUCGAUCUCUUUGGUACUUGUAAACCAUUUUUAUUAUUUUGCAUUAUCAUUUAUCUUUCCACUUUGGAUACUAACCAAAGAAGUGAUUUGUGGAGUGGACUGAAAUUGUGAAGCUUAUUGACCAUUUCUGCAUUUGUCUAUUCCUCGUGGAGAUGUAGUUGGGCAAAAUGUCUCACUUUGUAAUUGUAAGUUUACGAACCCUGAGUAUAAUCCACUAGUCCUGAAGUAAAACUCAGAUUUAGUCCCUUAGGUCUUAAUGAUUUUUUUGACAUUGUCUACAGUCGACAAGUUUUUCAGAAAACAUCAUUAACUUUGUCUAGCUGAUCGUAAAAUGGUAUUCCACUAGGUAUCAAAAUGAAAGCGCUAUAAAAAGGAUAAUGACGAAUUUCAGUUUGUUGAGUGAAAGUAGGAAAUUCUGGUAUGUUAGUGAGAUCAGUAUUCUUUGCUCCUGUGGUGCUUGAAUGUGCAUUCAGAUGAAAAAUGCAAGCAUGGCUUUGGGAGGGAUGUUUACUGGUUUAUUCAACAAUAUGCCUUUUGUUUGAGAUGCUGUUUGUGAGUUUUAUAUUUUUGCAGCCUUAUGCAGGAGCCUUUCUGCUCUAUUCCACUCGUUUGGAUAAUUCAAGAGGAUACCCUUGCAAAUCGCCUUCAGAUGUAUGAAAGGAAUCAAUGGAACCAUAUCAUAUCUCACUGGAAGAGUGCUUUUUGCAGGGCUAAUGUUGUUGUCUUUCCUGAUUAUUCUUUGCCGGUAACUUCAUCCUUCUGUUGUUAUUACAUGCAUUACAAAGUCAAUCCAUAGGAAUUAUUUUAGGUUUUCUUAUGCUUACUUAUCAAAUUCUAUAUGAUGUGCUUCUCCUGCUCAAUUAAGAUUAUCUUCCUGUAUCAGAUGUUAUAUAGUGUGCUUGACACUGGAAACUUCUUUGUGAUUCCUGGAUCACCAGUAGAUGUUUGGGCUGCAGAAAGCUACACUAAGACACACUCCAAAUUGGUAUUACGGAAGGAAAAUGGUUUCUGUGAAGAUGAUGUGGUGGUUUUGGUUAUUGGAAGCUCAUUUUUCUUUGCUGAGCUGUCAUGGGAUUAUGCUGUGGCAAUGCAUGAUUUGGAGCCACUCUUACUCAAUUAUGCUGGGAGAGAAGAAGGCAAGGAGACCUUCAAGUUUGUCUUCUUAUGUGGAAACUCCAGCAGUCAGUAUGAUGAUGCUUUGCAGGUAUAAUCAAUUAUCCAAGGUAUAUAGUUCUUUAGGUAUAUCUGUCUGCAUGCAAAUCCAGGCUUUGGGAAAACGUAAUGCAUGUUGUUACAUGAAGGAUUAUCCUUGAUAUCUUCUAUUGAUAUAUUAUUCAUGGCUAUGGAUAAUAGCGUCUUUAUGAAUUUUUCUUGAUCUGAAAAGUGUUCCACUACAGGAUUAAUUUUUCCCUAUUUGUGUGGAAAUCCCUUUUCCUUGUUUUAUUGAUUUGAUUCUAUUCAAGUGAAAAGUUCUUACAAGGUUUGUCUUGCUUUCCUAGCCAGACAAUCCUAAGAUUUAUCAGGACUUCUUAUUUAGCAUUACUACCCCCUCCCCGGGUCAAAACAAGGGAAAAAAGAAGUGGUAGUUAAAGAGCUGUGAGAUCUGAGUUACACCUAUUUGUUUGUAUUUUUUAGGACAUUGCCACUCGUUUGGGACUUUAUCAAGGAUCUCUAAGACAUUUUGGCGUUCAUGGUGAUCCUAAUGGGUUGAUAUUGAUGGCUGACAUUGUACUGUAUGCUUCUCCACAAGAUGAGCAGGGUUUUCCACCAUUACUGACACGAGCAAUGUCCUUUGGAAUGCCUAUUGUUGCAUUAGAAAAUCCUGUCAUAAAGAGACAUGUGGGUUUUACACAUUUAUCUUGUAUAGACAAUUGAGUUCCGUUGUGGAUAUUAUGAUUGUUGCUCUUUACUUCUCUUAUUAAGCUUCUAAAUCUCCAGGUUGCUGAUCAGGUCCAAGGGAUGAUCGUUGCCAAACAUAACCCUGAUGCGCUAAUCAAAGCUUUCUCACUUCUGAUAUCGGAAGCAAAAUUACUGAAGCUUGCCCAUUCUAUUGCUUCCUCUGGCAGGCUUCUAGCAAAGAAUAUGCUAGCAUCAGAAUGUGUAAUGAGUUAUGCAAAGUUGCUUGAGAAUAUCCUCAAUUUUCCAUCAGAUGUCUUGCUUCCUGGUAACACUUCUCAGCUUAAGCAGACUUCAUGGGAGUGGAACUUCUUCCAGGAAGAAAUUGAUAAAAAAGCUGGUGACCUUGCAAAUCCACAUAGCAGAGGUUAUGGAUUAAGUUUGGGUGUUGUAUACAAUAUUGAAGAAGACAUGGCCAAUCUAUUGCCCUUAAAGAAUGUCUCUGGCAAUGAUUUAGAAGCUCUGGACGGGGAUUUUCCUACACAUUUAGAUUGGGAUAUUUUGAGGGAAAUGGAAAGUUCUGAGGAACUGGAGUCUUUGGAAAUGGAGGAGGUAUGACCGUGCUUCUGUUAUGCAUUGCAAAUUUCUUUUUGCCCUGUUUUGUUUUUUCCCAGGUUGUUGGAAUUACUGUUGGGUAGAACAUUAUUGUAAUACUCGCAGAUUGAAGAAAGAAUGGAGAAAGCGAUUGGUGAUUGGGAUGAAUUAUAUCGUAAUGCUCGAAAAUCUGAAAAGCUUAAGUUUGAAAUGAAUGAAAGAGAUGAAGGAGAGCUGGAAAGGACUGGGCAACCUUUGUGCAUCUAUGAGAUUUACCAUGGAGCUGGAGCUUGGCAAUUUCUACAUCAUGGUUCUUUGUACCGUGGGUUGAGUCUCGUAAGUUUUUUUGAUCCAGGAACACUGGCUUAUAUUAAGUCAUCUGUUGCAACAUGAACUAAGAAGAAACUAUCUUUCUGGAGCAAGUUCAGUAAUCUAUUCUAUUACCUCGUCUGUGUUGCUGACACUUGUGUGUUUCUUCUAGUAGAAAUUGCUGGUUUUCUUACUUUGAAUAAUUGUUAUCCUCUUUUUCUAGGCUGUGUUUUGCAUGUAAGUUUUGUAGUUUGUCAGUGCUAAUACUGGUAAAUCUCCCCAGUCUACUCGGGCCAGAAGAUUGAGGUCAGAUGAUGUUGAUGCAGUUGCUCGGCUUCCUGUCCUGAAUGACACAUAUUACCGAGACGUACUUUGUGAGAUUGGAGGCAUGUUUUCAGUUGCGAAUGGUGUUGAUAAUAUCCAUAAGCGACCUUGGAUCGGUUUUCAGUCUUGGCGUGCUGCUGGGAGGAAGGUGUGCCCUAAUUUUCUCAUGUAUUUCAGAGGAAUUGUCUUUCUGGCUAACCUUGCUUCUUUUUUAUUCUAGAUAAUGAAAUAUCAUAUAUUAAAAUUGAGGUUCUAAUGCCUGUAAUGGGAUUGCAAGAUAGUGUUGUCAAAAUAGUUUUCCUUUACCAUUAAUUGUUAUUUUUGUAAUCAAGCAAAAGAAUAUUUUUCAUCUGAACGUCUUCUGGCCUACAAUAUAUGACAGGCAAGUCUCUCUACAAAAGCUGAGCAGGUUCUGGAAGAAGUAGUACAAAAAAAUACUAAAGGAGAUGUGAUAUACUUUUGGGCGAUGUUGGACAUGGAUGGUGGAUUUAUGGGGAGGAAUGACGUGCUUACUUUUUGGUCCAUGUGUGACAUCUUAAAUGGAGGAAACUGCAGGUUAGAGUGUUUUGGGAGACACAUGACCUACGCUGUUUUUAUAGCUUUUCUUAGUUUUACAUAUCAUUUAAAGACUACAGGCAUCUAAAUUUUUCUCCCCUUUUAAAGAUGCUAAAUUACAUAGAAUAUGAGAGAAUCUUCUCUCUUCAAAUUUGCUUCUAAAGUCGUAAUAACCAUUUAGCAUUUUUUUUUGACUUAUUAAGCUAGUGUUUGAAGAUUGUGUUGCUAAAUUUUUUUCAUUCAAAUAAUUCAAAUUUGCAGAAGUGCCUUUGAAGAUGCAUUCCGUAUAAUGUAUGCCCUACCGUCACAUGUAGAAGCCCUUCCACCCAUGCCUGAAGAUGGAGGGCGCUGGUCAGCCCUACAUAGCUGGGUCAUGCCAACCUCUUCUUUUCUGGAGUUCAUUAUGUUUUCCAGGUAAUUUCCCUGGAGUAACACAUUGCUUAACCUUUUGGCAAUUUAAUAUCAUGAUUAAGAUGCCACGGCUGAGGUCGUUGUUUGCUUUACCUGCAUUUUGUCAUCUGACUGAAAAUUCCUUUGCAUAUUAGGAUUUUUGUGGAUUCUCUCGAUUAUUUGCGUGUAAAUUCAAGCAACAUGACUUCUUGUUUGUUGGGGUCUUCAGUGUUGGAGGUAAGCAUAGACCAAAAGUUAUCUGUAAUCAAGAAAAUGACAAAAUGAAAGAUUCUGAUGUUGAAAUUGUGACACUUCUACCAGAAGCAGCAUUGUUACUGUCGGGUGAUGGAACUUCUGGUCAACGUAUGGGCAUAUCAUAGUGCACGUAGGAUGGUUUACAUUGAUCCCCACUCAGGUUUGCUGGAGGAACAACAUCCGAUAGAACAACGGAAAGGAUUUAUGUGGGCGAAGUACUUCAACACCUCAUUAUUGAAAAGUAUGGAUGAAGACCUUGCUGAAGCAGCAGAUGACAAUGACCAUCCAUAUGAAAUGUGGUUAUGGCCAUUAACAGGGGAAGUUUACUGGCAAGGUGUAUAUGAGCGUGAGAGGGAAGAAAGAUAUAGGUUGAAGAUGGACAAGAAGAGAAAAACAAGAGAGAAACUACUCGACAGGAUGAAACAUGGAUAUGUGCAGAAGGCACUUGGAAGAUUGAAGCUGUAGAUCUCAGCAGGAAGAGUUGAAAGUUUUGUUGGAAUUUCCUAUUCCUAUUGUCGUCGAGGAGGUGAGGUGAUAAUUUUUCUAAGCUUGAGCAUUCGAAGAGCCUCAUGCUGAUAAUGGAGUAAAGUGAUUGUUCCUUAACAGCAUCAAAGGUAGUUGGAACUGACUUAUUCUUCUGACGUUACUCAAUACAUUGAACGGGGGUCGCAGGUGCCAAGAUACACUUGAAAAAAAGCAAGCAAAGCUAGAAUGACAUACCAACAAUUUUGUAGCCAACAUAGCAUACAGGUAUAAAUUGCACGGCCUUCAACACUACUCCAGAUCUAACUGAUUUUGACUGGAAUUCUUUAGACAUACAAUUGUAUUCUUUUCACAUGUACAUAUCCUUUGAAAUAACGAUCCAAUUCUUCUGAAAAGCCCCUUUUUGGCUCUCUGACUUGUAACUACUAAAACCAUGACACCCUCGAGUAGAGGUUUACAAUUUUGACUAACUUAUGGGCUGCUAUUGCUUGAGGGGCAGAUUUCGUACUCGUACUAUUUAUAGGAAAAUGGGUUUACCGCAUUAUUCUUCCAAAUUUGUAACUGCUUGCAACCCACUAUUGGUGCGAUGUUCUUUCAUACAAUUUGACAGGAUUAUAGUAACUGGCACCUUAUGUGCACAGUUAACUUGUGACAAUAUCAAGGGAUACUCUGUUCCUAGUUUCGUGUUCCUAUUUCCUAGUACUUUGAUGAUUUUCAAGGCGAAACCAAAAGGCAAACCCAAUAACAUUUUAACGAACACAUUCUAAAAUCCUUAAAUGCAAAUAGGAUUGGAACACCAAGCUCUGGUUUUCUUUUUCUUUCAUCUUCUUACGAAGUCACAAGAAUUUCGCAAAUAAACCUAAUCCCCGAAUAAUCCUCAAAAGCCCUGGUUUUCUUACUGGUGUCAAAUUUGUACAUAUUGGUCACAUUUAUUAGCCCAAUUUCCCCUGUUUCAAAUGGGUUUGGGCCACCUAAAUUGUCAAGCUGAUCCGUGUAACUCAUUUGCAUGCACUUGGACAAAUAGCUCUAUUUCCACUCGUCCCUUUUUGCCAAAUUUGCUUGAAAUUUUCAGCGUUUUUUUCUCACAGAAAGUGUGACGUUUGCAAUUUCAAUUGCGCACUUCUAAUUGCAAUGCCUGAUUUGGGGAAAUUUUGGAGCAAUGUCAGUAGAGUGCCCGGUUUCACUGACUGCUUCAUCGGAAACUUCUCUUAAAAACUAAUCAAUAUUUUAAAAAGAUGUAGCAAAUUUUAUUCUCCUAAAAUAGGCUUAUGAGAAACGGAGUUGAAAGUGCACGACGAUGAAUGGUCCAUAAAUUUUCAAUUGAACCAUUAAUAUAGAAUAUGUUUGGAUAGAAUAUUAUUUGGGAUAAUUUUUUGAAUAAAUAUUAUAACACUUUUUUAAUAUGAUGUAUAUAAAAUAAAAUUUUUUUGAAAAUAUGUUUGUAGUAUAACAAAUAAUAAGUUGUCCAAACAAACUUACAGAUAAAAAAAAAAUUGUAGUAGCAGCAAGAUCCUGAUUGAUGUUUGAACACAUUGCACUGUAUGAACUGAUUAAAUCAGUUCACUAACCAAAACCUGCAAGCAAAAGAUUUAGAAAACAUCCAAAAUCAAACACAUAGAGACAAAAAAAAAAAAUUGGGACGAAGAAGGAUUCGACCAGGAUAAUAUAGUCAUUUCAACAUUCAACGGACAUUUUUUUUUCCUUUCCUUUCGUUUUAUUUUUUGUCUCUUGAAAUAUUAAUUUAAUGUAUAGUAAUAAUUUAAAAAUAAUCCCCCCAUGCCAGCCAGUACUAAAAUCCUGCCCUCCCUCAUCGUACGCCUAAUUAGACUCAAUUGGGAAUGUUGGGCUGAGCAGCAAAAACCGUGUAGGGUUUUCGGCUCCCACUCCAAACCCCUACUGUUCCCUGUUCACACCUUGAAGACUCAUCUUACGCAUCUGCUUCUUCUUUCAGGUGACACCCAUUUCUUGCAUUUCUAGUUAUCAAAUCACUGACUUCUUUAUGGACUUUAGCUUAUCUUACUUUUUUUUUAUCGGUUUUUUGUUGACAAAAUGAACUGGUCGUUCAUUCUCUGCUGUUUCCCAUUUUGGUUUUCUUUUGAGGAGCAACACUGUAUGCUGAAGUUCUUGUAAUUUUCUUCUGAAUCAUUUGUUGUUUUCGUUUCAAAUUGGGAUGGGCUUGCAAAGUUGAUGUCCCACUGCAUUUCUUGGUUGCUGGAAUGUGGAGGAAUUAGUAACCCAAGUUAUUUUGUUCUCUUUUUUCUAUUUAGACAUGAAUGCUGGAAUGCUAGUGGAAAAUUUUCAAUUCAGCUAAUUUUUUUGGUUGGGCAUUAUGUGGGCCAGCCAAUUUUCUUUUUUUUUUUUGGGGUUACAAAAAAUUUGUCUAGUCUAUAUGCUUAAUUGUUUUUUCCUUUUGUGUUGGGGUUUGAGCAGAAUGCUGGCAGAAAUAUGAUUAGUUUUGUGUCAAAUCAGUUGACAUUCUUCGAAAGAACCAAAGAGACACUCCCUUAGAAUACUAAUGAAUCUUAUUCUCUCUUAAUGUAUAUGCAUAUAAGGAGGCCGGUCUUUUGUCUAUCUUACAGAGAAAUAGAGUCUGGAAAGUGAUGAGAUAAACUCUGCAGUUCAUAGGUCUUUGAAUGUGUGACAUGACAUAUACAUGCGGCUAAGAAACCUAUCUUUUAUGUUGCUUGUUUACCCCACGAAAGGCAUCAACUGAAAAUUAUUCUAAUCACCUGAAAUUCAUAUCUGUGGUUGAUGUGUAAACAUACGUUGUACAGUCACUGACUUGCAACGAUCCUAAACUAUCGAAGAAGUAAGCAGUAGCACCCUGUUUUUGUAUUGCCUUUUUUUAUGUUCUUGGAGCUCAUAACCAAAAUUUCACAUAACCAAAAUUUUCAGAUGAUGCAUGCAAUCAAAGGUGGAUGGGUUGGGCAAACAUUUGCCCUUGCUGCAUAUAGUGACUCUGGAGGGAGGAAGGCAAGGAUUAGGCGUUCAAAGGAGGAGAGGAAGGCAAUGGUUGAGUCUUUUAUAAAGAAGUAACCUUUUCAAACUUGCUCUUUUUAUAAAGAGAAUUUGUAUAUUAUUUACAUUACAAUGGUGAUCUAUUUUGUGCAUGUGUCUGUGUAUUUCUUUUUUAAUCAUCACUAUUAAAUUUUCACUUUUUGCAUAAGGAUGAUUGUGUUAGCAUGUAAACUUUUGUCAUCUGGUCCUUGAGAGUAAUAUAGAUUGUGCUUUACCCAAAAUGAGAAAUCUCUUUGUUUGUUGUUUAGGACUAGAAUUCAUCUAUUUUAGUUUCCUUGACCAUCCACAUAAAUAGGAAGAAGAACUUAUUUCAUUUAGUUUCUUAAAUUGUUCCUUUUUUACUAAAUAUACUCGCUGACGUCUUCACAUUUCUUGGGUCGAUUUCUUACAGAUAUCAGAACUCAAAUAAUGGAAAUUUUCCAUCUUUGAAUCUUACACACAAGGAAGUUGGUGGUUCUUUUUACACAGUUCGGGAAAUUGUUCGAGAAAUUAUUCAAGAAAACAAAGUAUUAGGUCCAGCUAAGUUUUCAGAAGAGCAGAGCUAUGAUAAUGUUUUGGAGCAUUAUCCAUUAGGAUCCAUUUCCAUUGAAGCUCAGAGAAGUUCAUUACCAUCAGAUGAACUGAAAAGUGUACUCCAUAUUUCAUCCAAACAAAGACAGGGAACCGGUGAAGAACUUGUUGCAAAUUCUAAUGGACUAUUCUUUGGGUAUGAGCAUCAAAAUCUAGAUAGUGAUCAAGUAGUUAAUGGUGUAAUUGAGACAAUUAAAGAUGACAUGGGAUCAGAUGGACCAAAAAGCGUAGCUCAUACUUCAUCCAAACAAAGUCUGGAUAGUGGUGAAGAACUUGUUGCAAACUCUAGUGGACAAUCCUUUGUGUCUGAGCAUCAGAAACUACACAAUGAUCAAGUAGUUAAUGGUGCAGUUGAGACAAUUAAAGAUGAUUUGGGAUCUGAUGAAUGCAGUUUAAUUGAAGCUGCAAUCCAUACUCAUGAAGGCACAAGUGAUGAAAUCCUUGAAAAUUUGAGUGGGCAGUUGACAGGACCUGAUUGUCAGGAGUUUGACAGCAAACCAAUUGGCAAUGUUAGUGAGCCAACUGACGAGGAUGAAGAAUCUAAUGAACCAGUUAUACGUAGUCCUUUGUCUAUACCUAAUCCCAGAGUUAUUCAAGAACAUCACCAGGAAAGUAGGGGAGAACAAGUUGUACAUUCUACUAGAGAUUUUCCUGGAGAUGUCCAUCUGAAAGCAGACACGGAAGAUGUCAAUGGGAUUAGUCAGGCAAUUGGAGAAACUGAAUAUGAACAACCAGUAUUGGCAGUGGCUGUAGGAGAAGAUAGCCUGGAUGUCAACAAAGGUGGUACUAAAACAGUUGAGUCAUCAAAUGCUGGUAUGACUCGUGGGCAAGCUGACAUAGUAGUUGAAAAAUUUCCACUUCAUCCCAUUGCUAGGAAAUUUGAUGACUUGGAAGGAAGAUUAGAAGAACAAAGUCAAGGAACUAGAACUCUGGAGGUAAACAAAAUUGAACAGGACAGAGUACAAGUUACAGAGCACUCUUGUAGUGUUGUGCAGGUGGAAGCUGGUGCAGACCUUGCUGUUUCAAAAAGCAAGAGUGAGCUGGUGGGUAAAACUGCCAGCCUAAAUGAUGGGAAUCCACCAUUGGAAAUGUCGAAUUGCUCUGCAACCAAAAAAGUUCCUGUAUUUGACAUGAGCAAUGCUGCAGAAAUCGGAGCAAAGGUCUCUUCCCCCACUGAAGCAAAGGUAUUUUACUUAUGAUGUAUUUAAUAUAUCUUUUGCACAUGGCUUGGGAUGUAUGUCUUUGCAUCCCUAACUUUGUGCUUAUUAAAGGGCUUAAAUCUUGUAGCUGUGAAUAAGAUGUAGAGGGACUUUGGGCUAUGUGACAUCUAUGUGCCAAUGAAAGUGGUUAUUUCCAGUUCCUAGUCCUGAUUGGUCGAAUUCAUUGGGAGGCCUUGUAAUGGAAGUAUAUAUAGAGUCAUGUUUGAAAAUCAGAUGAGUGGAGAUGCAAGUGAAACUUACACUUUGGUACUGUAACACUACGAGGUUAAAAGCGUAAUGACACUCAGAUCCCGGAUGAACUUUUCUGAUUGCAUUACGGUGAACCUGGGUACUUAUGAUGAGUCUUGCAGCCUGGAGCUAUCUUGAUCUUGCAAUUUGGUAGAACCUCCAUUUGUGGUUGUCUUGUUAAUUAUUCUUCAGCUGUCGCAACAUGGAUAUUAAUGAACUUGUCAGUACUAGUUUAUUAAGUCUAAUGAAGGUAAUUUAAAAUUUGGUUGUAACUAAAAAUUUAUUAUGUUCUGAAGAUGAAAGGUCACAAUUUGGUGGGGUUUCAUUAAAGGUGCAGCAGGUAUGGUGGCCUAUACAUAGAAAAAUUGGAAGGUGGCUACUUGUGUUUGGCUAUCACAUACUGUAGCUGUUGCACAUUUUAUUCUUUUCCUAUUGGGUGGUGCUAAUUUCUCUGACGUUAUUUUACAGCCUGCGAAUGUUCCAACGGGUACCAAUGAGAAACAUGGUGACAUAAAUACUGGUGUUUCUCAUGAACAGUCCAUUCCAGAUGAAACCAUUGGAAUAGAAGACAAACUAAAGAUCGAAGGUGAUAGCAGCUCCAAGGAGGGAAGCAAUCCUACAUUAAACAGAAUUAACCUGUAAGUAUCUUUUGUAGCAUCUCCUAGGCCCUUUUGCAUACAGUUCAAGAUGUCACUCUUUAUCAUUUCAGAGUGAAUCAGUUUCAACAUUCCCCAGUCCCCGGACUGCCCCACCUACGUACUGUUCAUUUAGCCUCACCCAAUUGAGUUUCCCCUUUGCAGUGAAACAUGGGAAAGGACAUCAGAGCUGCCCGCUGAAUCUGAAGUAAAUCCAGUUUUUGCAUUCUUCAAGGCGCUUGUUACUGCUUUUGUGAGAUUUUUGAAUGGAUGAGAGUUUACGGGGUGUUAUAAUGUAGCUUUUGAGAGUAUCUGCAGGGUGUUAAGCUUAGUGUUUGCAGCUUAUGGGAAACUUUAAUUCCAUGAUAUUAUGAUAUCUGGUAACGUACUUAAUGUAUAUGGUGGUUGCUGCGGUCAAUUACAUGAUGCUUGUAUCCCUGAAACCUAGGUAGAAGAGGAGACCUUGCUAGAUGGAUGUCAUUAAGGAGCUGGUCCAUCAUUUCAGCCUCUUGAUGACCUCCCCUCAUCUGCACCAUUAAAGUUGGAUGGAACAAGUGUAAGCAUGGUGUGGAUAAAUCUACAUUUGCUUCAUAAUAAAAAGUAAAAUAGCUUGAAGUAGUUGUAUGAUCUCCUUGUAUCCUAAGAAAUAUCGACAGCAUAAAUAAAUUGUCCAUUAAGUUGUGAUAAAUCCCAAUUUUCCAUGGGAGACACUGUUAGCAGAAAAGGACAUAGUACUGUUUAAUAAAGAGCAACCCUACUCAUUCCACAACAGAAAAUGGUCACGGCAACAGAUGAGUGGUUGCUGUUUAUUAUAUUUAGAAGAAAAAUCCCUUUCCAUCCCCUGCUCCACUGGAAAAGUGACGCAGCAGUAUUCCAGGAACAGAAUUCAGUCCACCACAUUUCAUACGAUCGCGGAUGGCUGAUAAGGUCUUGUUCUUAGUUCUUUCUUGUAGACGCUUUCCAACUGUUAACGCAAGACUAAAGCUUGACCAUUCUGGGAUCUUUUGCUUUAUAAAUACGUUGCUUGCAUCACAUGGAUAUGUUAGUCCACCUAAAAGUAAGGCAUUCCCAGUCUAGAAGGGAUUCAUUAUUACAUCUUCCUUUUUGCAAGGGUGAGAUUCUCGAACUGAGGUCUACUUUUCGUUUUCGUUCGCCAUCAAAGCAUCAUUAGGUUUGGUCCAUAGACUACUCAUUGAGGUUGUCAAUUAAGAGUCCAAACCGGGCAAUCGAUUCCAGCUCUGCUAACGUGAUUUUCAGCGUUUUGUUUGGCAUGGUGUCAUGAUUUUGCUGCCAUCAAAUCAAAGUUGUAACAAAACGAACAAUAUAUUGGUUGCAAUCAGGAUUUCAAGGUGACAAAGCACCAAAAAAGUACAUAAAUGGCUUUAGACUUUAGUUUAGUACAAUGCUCACAUUGCUGGAAUACAGCCAAUUGGGAGCAAGCAAGAGAUGCCCACAUAUUGAUUAAGCUUCCCUGGCUUUUGCAACAGAAUCUCAAGUACUAAAUAUGUUUUGUUCCAUGCGUUAAAAAAAUCAAAGGUUCACAAAUAUACAUCUCUGCACACAUGAAUAAUGGCAGGAUUUCUCUGUUCAAAUAUCAUUUCUAUAAGAACAUAAGAAACAAUUAAUAAUACUCUAUAUAUUUUGCUAUAAGAAGCAAAAUAUUGUGGGGCGGUUGGAAACCUGGUCAAAGGAUAAUUGGACUCGCCCAACUGCCUUUAGCGAGUCAGUAACAUAUAUAGUUUACUGUAAUGUAAGAUUGUGCCGACCUGUUUUGAUGUUUGUUUGAGGGUCGGUUUGUGAUUGGUUCUAAAGAUUGUGUGACAAAAGGCAAAGGAUAUUAAAAAGAAAGAGAGAAAGGUCUGAAGCAAUCUCGAAGCAAGGAAUAAAGCGGAAAAUAUAAACUAAGAAAAAAAAAAUCCAAUAAUCUGUAAUUCAUCAAGACUCAAGAGCAAGACUAAAUUAAAACCCCCAAAACCUCCACAAACUAAAAAAAAAUAUAAGAACAACGGCAAAACUAUCUUACUAUAUUAAUUUUCUUCAAACUAUUGAAAUACUAGAAUUCAAUGCAUUGUACACAAAUAAAUUUAACAAAGCUAUAUAGUAGUAACAAUUUUUCUACUAUUCCUAGUUGGAGUAUAUGGUAGGAUUGGCAGACUCCUUGCGGCUUCUAUGACUAAAAACAAAUUCUUGAAAUGAUAUAAAAAAAAAAACAAAAUUCGAGGAAGAUUCAAAAAGUUGCACAGGAUCAUUAUUGCAUGGGAUGGCAACAUGCAAUGAUAGUGGGGUGGCAUGGAAUUCCCCCAAGCAAUUAUUAGUUAUUAAGAACACUUCACACAUAAGGCCAAUAUCCCUUAAGCAGGGGUAGGGGGGACAAGGAGGGUGUCCAAAAACACGUAAUGAUGAUCCGUCUUCAUUCCUAUCUAAUCAGCAUGCAAUUGGAUAUGAAUCUCAGGUCAAAUGGCCUAAUAAUACAAAUCAGAUGACGGUGUCAAGGAUUCGGAGAAAUGAAAUUGUUGCCCGUAUAGAGCGGUCAGAGAAAUUACGCCAUCAUUUUCUAGGAUUUUUUUUUUUUGGGUAUCUUUGUACUAUGUAUCAAUAAACAAGGACGUCCUAAUUAUACGUAAUGAAGUUGGGGUAAUGCAUGGUGAAAACCAAGCAAAAUAGAAAGGCUGAGGGGACAGUUCACAUGGAAAGAUUCAUUCGUGAGGUGGAGACCAUGGAGAGGGUAUUUGGUAAACCCGACCAAAACAUAUAUUAUUCAAAGCUCAAUUUCUUUGUUCUUUUAUUUGUAUAAUAAUAAUAAUAAUAAUGAGGGAGAGAGAGAUAUGGCAGAUAGGGCGUAUUGAAGGCUCUACGAUGGAAUCCUAUGCUAGUUUAUAAAUUAGAGUGAAAGAGACAGAAAUGAGUACAAAAAUUGCCAACGAAGGUCUUAGGCUAAAUGCAUUGUACUACAAUUAUAGUUGACUGCGAGCCAAGCUGGUCGCGAGUAGUUUGGUCAAUUGCUCGGCUCGAAUUCAGGUUGAUUAAGUUUGAGUCCGAACUUGAACUAUUCGAUUGGAAAGCAAGUCAAAUUUCGAGCCCAUAUAUAUGCUACUUGAGCUCGACAAGUUACUUGUCGAGUGCUUUUUAAUUUAAACAAUAUAUAUAUUUUUAAAUACAAAAUUAUCACCAAGGGUUUAUGCUUUCAGACAAUUUACAAGCUGAUUUGCAUACUUAAUAAAACUCUUGAAUGGCAAAAAAGUAAUAGAAUUUGAAGUAAACACAAUAUAAUUUCAUUCGCCAAGAUUUGAACUUAAAGGCUAAAAAAUGAGGUCUGAUUGAGUUUCUAUACUUGAAAGCAUCAUCGAGUACUCGAACUUGAUAUGGCUUGAUCUUGAAUCAACCCAUAUCGAGUCGAGUUUGAGUUUUAUGCUCUCUAUUCUCAAACUCGAGUCAAGUAGGGUACUAAUAGUGUUUGAGUUAAGCUGAGUAUAGAACUACUCGAGCUUGACUCAACUUAUAUACACCUAUUACUACAAAUUUUCGCUUGAAAUUUUGUCAAGUAGAGAUCAAAAUGAAAUAUUAAAAAUACUAAGCACUUAUGGCAAUUUGCAUCAUGUGAGACGAUUCCAAAUAUGCCAUCAUACUAAAAACGGAAUUGAUUUAAGAAAUAUGGAUCUUUAUGGACGGAAAAAAAGAGUAAGUGUAUUUAGUGUUAUCCGUAGAUAAGGCGUUACUCAUAGGUCAAAAAAGACACCGACUCAAGUUUAUCAGCUUUUUUUUUAGUUUUAUUUUUUUUUCUUUUUGGGGGAAAAUGUUUCUAGUUAGCCACAAGUGCCACAUUCUUGCCCCGAAGAGGAGAAGGAAUAGAAAGAAAUGGAAGUAAAAUAUCCAGGGCUCAUUAUAUGGUUGCAUUUUAGCUUUUCAUACAUCCAACAAACAUAUAUUAGCAUCUUACAGACACAACUAUUCAAUUUUGGGAUCAUCAGCCAACUUUUACAUUUACAAGACACCGACGAAGAUUCGUGUAAACAUGGAGAGGAAGACAAAAUUUGGUCGAAUUCUUAGGAACAAACAAUGAGAUAUCCUGCCAGAUAAUUUUUAAUGAGAUGCUUCUUAAGUUCACUGGGAAUAAGAAAAUCUAAUGGAAUUAUUUACUGCAGGCAGGCUUUCUUAGAGCGCAUGUGGUAGUGGUGGUGUCCAUGCAGGUUGCUCUCACCUUUUUGAGCAAUUCUUUGUCGGACAAACUCCAUAUCGCACCUUCGAAUUCGUAUGAUUUUUUCACUUUACAUUCUAAACUUCAAAUUUAAAUACUUUGCUCAUUAAAUUCUUAAUUUUAAACACUUUACAUUCUAAACUAUUAAUUUUGUUCUAUUUAAAUCUAGUCAACGACAACUUCAGCAAAAUUAACGACAUGUACGACUUAACAAAUUAAUGAUAAUAUGCUGAAAGUUGUUAAAGGUAGCAAGGUAUCAUAGCAAAAAUAAAACAGUAUAUUGGCAUUAAUUUGUACCAUCUUUUAUCUCAUUGAUUUUGCUAGUAAUAUUCGUAAUUGAAACUAUAUAAAUCAAUAAUAAUGUGCUAAAAUGGUCAAAAAAGCUAAGAGAUCGCACUGAAUGAUACAUUGUUAUUGAUUUUCACUACACCCCUUUACCUCAUACAUUUUGCAAGCAACACAAUCAUUGACUGUAUCUAAACACGACAAACUUGAGAGUUUAGGGUGCAAAGUGUUCAAAAUUAAAAUUUUGGAGUGCAAAGUGAAAAGGUGGUAUAAGUUUGGGAGUGUAAAGUGAAGUUAGUCCUUCUUUCUUAACUUAACGUAAGUUAUAAGCUUGGAUUCACAUGCCAAUUCCAAAAAAGUUGAAACCAUGAAUUUCAGAUCCAAGAUUGAUCAGCGUCCUUUCCUUCCUUGCAUUGUCAAGUAUCUAAGUCCUGCGAUGCACAAUGUACAAUGUGGGCUAUUUAAUUAAUGAGUUGCAGCUUGUCAUUUUCUAGUACUCAUCAUGCAAAUUGGUAAAUGUAUCUCACCCUCUUCACCGUUUACAACCCAAGUUUACCUUAAAAAAAGAAGAAAAAAAAAUUGGUACUGCAAUGGAGAACAUAUAUAUUAUCUAGGCAGCAUGGAAACAAACUUGUCGCAGUAGUACUUUUAAGCAAUUAAAUUCCUUCUACUUUCAUGAGCCUCUAGUACAGUUACAGGACAUGUCAUUAUAAAAACUGAUCAAAAUAGUAGUGACGAUCCAGAUGACAAAAAUCUCACAAGUAAAUGCCUCUAACAUGCAUUCACAAUCUUGACUGCAGAACCGCAGGAACAUCUCCUCUUCAUCCUUUUUGUACUUCUUAAAAACUAAAAUGAAACGAAGAAAAGAAAAGAAUAGAGAGAUUUGGAGGAGGUAAAAAACAAUUGCCAAUGAAGAAAAGAUGAAAAAGGUUUGUGAGUAAAGAUGGAGAAGACAGGUAGUUACAUCUGGAGCCAAGUGACGACAGCCUGAGAUGGACAUGUUAGAAAAGUUGUUCUACUACUGUAGUCUGUGCUGCCACCAACCUAUCUAUCUUAAUCUAGUUUUUGUGAGAAUAAAAAGAAUGCCCCUACGACCUUUUCUCUACUCAAUUACCUUCCAAUGCACGCCUCUCUUCCAAACUCUUCUUUUUCAACCCGUAUAUAUUCCCUGCCCAUUCCUACACUUCUAUCUCUUACAAUUUCCUGUUUACAGGUUUCCACCUCCUUAUCAGCUUUCCCUCCAGUUCCUCGACCAACCCUCCACCCACCAGAAAAAACCAAAAGAACGGACAAAAAACCCAUGUCUACGGAUCUAGAAUUACGCCAAGAAUUGGUGGAAAUCCGAUUACCAGCUCUAAACAUCAAGGUUUCACAGUCUUCAGAUAGUACGGAUGAUGGCGGUGCUGUAAUUCAGUCACAAGAAAGCACCACCGGCACGGGCAGCUGCAUCAAUGAAGAAGAAGAGUGCCAUACGCCAAAAUCGCCUCAGCAUAUGAUCCCAGAAAUUCUUAGCUGCCCACCUGCCCCAAAGAAGCCUACGAGGCCUGCUUCCUCCUCAUGCAAGAGAAAAUUAUCUGAAUUUUUCGAGUUUGUGGGACGGGAAGAGAUUGAGUCUUUUUUCAGGCAGCUUGACGGGCCGAAUUCUACAACUGGUGUCAUCAAAAAGAGGUGUCUUGUAUAAAAUUUAUUCCACAUUCAGAAAUUUUCUAAGGCCGCCCCAUUUUCUUACAUUGCCUUGUUAAUUGGAAUCAAUUGACAAAGCCACAGCAAAGCGAAUUACGAUCAAUUGUGUAUGUACUACACCUUUUUAUAUGUUAAAGAAAAUUUAUUAUUUGAUUCAAAAUUCUUGUUAUUACUACAACUAUUAUUGUCUUCUUUUCAUUUCUUUUUGUGUAAGUUGGAUGUGAACUGAAGGCUGACAUGAUUGAGAAUUUACUCAAAUUAAUUUGAGUAAUUAACUUGCACUACCUUCUUCCUCUCUCUUUCUUCUUUUUUUGUUUAUUGAAAUUAAUUUGGUUGGGAAGGUUGGUUCACUUGGUUUUAAACAUGGAUGACGAUAGUUAAUUAAGGCUGCUAAAGCAUAGAUUAGUGAUGAGUUUUGUGAGGGAGAUGAGUGGUUGGUUGGUUGGUUUUGUCCGAAGGAAGGAAGAUGUGAAUAAUAGAUGGAAUCAAUCCACCAAAUAAUCAAUGAAUGAAAUACAGCUACGACUAAUUCAGUUGGUGCAAGUUUUUUCUUGAGAAAGAUUUGAAUUAGGUUUGAUGAUGCAGCGUGAUCAUGUUUGACGUUAUCGUUGAGUGACAGACACGGUUUUGGGAUUGACAUCCUUUGAUUAUCAUUUUUUUGGGCAUUCCUCAUCUCUGUAUUGCCAAUCCAGAAAGAGAUAGAGAAUUUGACAGGUAUUUGUCCUUUUUUUUGCUUUUGUCCUUAUUAAUGCAAACAAAAUUCGGCACUGUAAUAUGUUAUAUAUAGCGUAUUCCAUGCUUCUGCCUGCUUUGGAUUGCCAUUUUUAGAGCAAAAUUUUUACAUUUUUUGUGAAUAUUUUUUCUCCCUCACACACAUCACAUCCUUAAAAAAAAAAUUUAAGAAAUUUUUCCGAAAAACUUUCGAGGACUAAAACUUGUCGUCCCGCACCCCCCUCCCUCUUUUGUCGUUAUUCGUUGAGCAAUUUGUUUUUUUUUUCAAGUGUAAACGAGUGGACUCGGGGCUUAAAGACGAAAUCUCUCACUUCCACUCCCUUUUCCCUUACCAUCCAAUCCAUCCAUUUUCUCGUUGAGUAAUUUGCUAAAACAACAUACAAAUACAAAUACGUGAUCGCUUGCUUUUGUGUCCAAGAAAAACAUAUACCACUAGUUUUUUUUGGAGGUUUUAUAGAAAAUAUAUUGUAAUGAUUUGAUAUAUAAAUAAGAUAGAAAGGUGAUUGAAAAAUGUGUUUAUGAAAAAUAUAAAAAAAAAAAAUUUUUUUGAGAGAAACGGCAAUGCAAGCUCAACAAUGAAACUGGUACAACAAGAAUAAAAAAAAUGCGAGGAUAAUAGUGCUAGGAUGGGUUGAAUAAGUGGGAUAACUGGCUUUAAUUACGCCACAUAGGAAGUGUACGAGUUCACAUGCCGGCCUACAACUUUUGUUGCUAUUUCAAUUAUUUUCAAUGUAGGGCUGGCAGUCUUCGUUAACAAACUUGGAAUUCAUUUAUAAAAGGACGAAAAAAAAAGGGGGAAAAAGAUAGUCUUACAUGACCUCGCAUUCACUUGACUUCUAAAUUUUUGAAUUUCAGAAGUGUUUCCACGGAAUCAAACCGAUUUUCUUAUUAGUUAGCAGUUGAAUUUGUUAAGCAGAUUGAUAACCAUACACCUGGCCAUUUGAAUUUGAUUCAGACUCCAUCUAUACAAUAAGAGAGAAAAAAAAUGCCGAACCAGACGUGACUAUUCUUCUAAGUUGUUGUGGUUGCAUCAGCAUUCAAUAUUCAGAUUAUAACGAUGGUCCUUACUAACAGGUGCUCAUUAGUUACUCAUUAACAUAUUUAAAAUUUACUUAACUUAUAAUUUAUAUACGCAUACUAAUAAUUAUUAAUUUUUCUUAUAUUUAUAUACUUUUUCUAUUUAAUCUUAUCUACUCUCUUUUAUAUUUACUUACUUUUUCUAGUCAAUCUUAAACUUCUAAAAAUAUAUUUUAACGAGUACUCAAUAGGUACCCAUUAGAUAGACACUUUAGUUAUCUUACCUUUUAAUUUGACACCUUUUAUAAGAGAAAUGACCUAGAGUUAAAAAGGACCCGAUUAACAAUUCGAUUGUAUUUUUUUUAUUAUUAUCUUUCAUCCCUUUCCCAUCCUUAAAUUGUGAGGACUCAAAUCCUAAACAUGACAGGAGGAGAGUUCUUCCCUGAUCACCGACCAACCCCAGUGAUUUAAUAAUUUGAAUGUACUAUAAGAUUACUGUGUGUUAGAAGGUGAAAACGAAGGAGUAACUGACAAAAAUUGCAAGAUUAUAGCGCAAUAUACUUCAAAAAAUAUGUUCAUGCAGCGAGCCAAUAUCCCCUGACAGACAGGACAGUUAAUAUGAUCUCGAUCUGGCUAAUAACAAUAAUAAUAAUUCUGGGCCAUAUCAAUAUGUCUCUACUCUCUCCUCUGCUGUUCGAUAUGCCCCCGUGAGAUACUAACGCCAGAUCCAGAAUAUUAAAUCACAUAAAACAAAACGGAGCAAAGUAAAAACUAGAAUUCACUUUCUGUACUCCGUUGAAGGAAUAUCUUAACCCUCAGUUACCUGUUGCACUUUAAAUUUUUCCCCUCUUUCUACAUACUCUGUAUUUGUAUUUAACCAAAUUCAAACUGACAAAAGGCUGUAUGUGGACAAUGUCGUAUUAAUCACGCCACUUUUGAUGGAUACGUAUAUAUAUGUAUAUAUAAUUAAAGCUUUGAGUGAGCUUCAAUCUUACGUGUCCUUUCCUGCGGAUAUUAGCAAGAAGAAAAAGUUGGAUUACGUACAAUUAAAGACAUGAUUUAGACAGAUUACGUAUUUGAGUCAAGACCAGAUCAGAAGCACAAAAGUAAAGAAGAAGCCGGCAGGCGCUUUUAUGGUAGAGCUUAAACCAUAAGUUACUUUUCCGUCUCAUAAUUUUGACGGAAUAAUUAAAGAGGCAGCAGCAGCAGCAGCCCACCACCAGCGGCAACUCGCAGACAGAGAGGUAUAAAGAUGGCGAAAUUAAUAUCCAUUAAUUGAUGAAUUAAUUAUAUAGUUCAUGGAUACAACAUUCACGUGGUCAGGAAUAUUAGAGUUCAUUAAAGGGGACACAUGCAUAUGUGUACAAAAAGUGAUAACGGCGGCAGAAAUUCUUGAAAAUCAUUAUUUAUUCCCCUGUAUGUGUGCUGUAUAUUCAGCUUGAUUAUAAACUUUUUUUAGUGUUACAGUUUGGAUCCUCAGAAUACCAUGCAUCACAAUUAUACGUCUAUAUAUAUAGAUAUGAAUAUCUUAUUUAGCUGAGCAACACAAUGUAAUUGACAUCAAAAGCAGCUAUAUUUCGAAGAGUAGCGUGUCGGUUGCAGAUGAAACGUCUUACCGACUAGAUUAUGUUUCGUUGUUAGAUGGUAUUCAUUCAGUAUAAUUUUUUCUUAUAUGAGACGUAAAGAGGACGCAUUGCUAGUUGGAGCCUUUUAGCUCCGGCAUCAACAAGAUCCUCAAAACCUACCAAACGGUAGGUGUAUGUUUGGUAGGUUUAAACAAAAAGUUAUAACGAUGGUUUUGAUCUGAUUCCAUCUGAUUGAUCAAUCAUGUGAAACUAAUUUUUCAUUUUUAUUGCUAGUCGGUGGCCAUGUGACCGAGACAUGUUUAUCGUGCAUUUUUCUAAUCAAACAUUUCAAGAAAUUCAUGAUCUUGUCGAAGAAUAUUCGCAAAUUACUGAAAUAGGAGUUUUAGCUAGGAUCAAAGAACAUCUGUAAAGUUGCUAAAGCAAGUGUAAAGAAACCACAUUGAUCUAAACUAAAGCAAAUGCAAAUCAGGUUAUAUAUAUGGACAACAAACAUAAAAAGAAAACCCCAGGAUGUGUAUAAAAUUUACUGAGUACAUAUUUACUGCUAAUUACCCAACUAGAAAAUUAUUCAAAAACCUCUUCCAAAGCAACAAAAAGAAAUGCAAAACUACGGGACAUAUUUCAAUUAUAGAAGUCCAAAAGUUGCCCCUCUAUCUUUGCAAGUGUAAAAUCCGAACGCAAGCGACACAAAUUACGCAUUGGAUAAAACACAGAUUAACCGUCUAUCACAGGAAGUAUUUCCUCCUUGUGGGCCGAAAGGGAAAAAAACAACUGCAGACAUAGAACUGGAAAAAGUGAAAGCUAAGAUCUGAUAAAAGUGAAGAAAAAGUGGAGUUAAAACCCUGGAUUUUGUAGUUAAAUACUAUCAUAACUGAUCCCUUUUGCCUACUGAGGUAAGACAAGUGUGUUCCCCAUAAAAGUGUCUCCUUGCACUACAAGAAUGUUCAAUACAAGUACCAAUCACCGGUGGAAAUGAGAAUCUCUCAUUUUUGCCAAAAUACGAGGUGUGGAAGUUUCUUGCUGUUUAAUACUUGGAAUUUGGGACUACAGCAUUCUACGGGAUUUGUGAUGCUGGACUUGGGAACCACAAAAUUAAGAGUUCUUAAUACAGAUUAUGAAUUAAAAUUUGCCAUUUGAAGGUCGUGCAAUUACUUAAUGCAGUCAUGGGUCUACACUUUUUCUCCACAACUACAUUACAAGUUUGUCUAUUUGACAUCAAUAAUACGUAGCAUGGCUGAUUUAAUACAUGUUGCCGGAGGAAGCUAAGACGAAGCUGCAGUGCGGUAGCCAAACAAGAAGAUUAUCUUGUUAGGAAAUACCACAGGUAAACGGAAAUGGUGAUUUCCCACAAAUUGCCAGCGAUCAGAACUUGUUUACCACUUAACUUUGAUUAAAAUGGUGAAUAUUCAGGAUUAGCCAUGAGGUGAGCCUCCUCUCUUCUAAAUUUUAUCCCCUCUCCCCUCCCCCCCCCCCCCCCCAAACACCCUAAAAAAAAGUGAAGAAAUGAGAACAGGCUAUAUAAAGGUAAGAGCAACUUGUUUACCAUUUAAAAUUACUGUAUGUCGUAGGAAAAAAAAAUCAUCUAUUUGUCAUACUUGGAGCCCGUACCAAUAUUUUAGUAAAGGUGCUAGGACAAUAAGUAAAUCAUGGAUUAUUUAAUGAGCAAAAUUAUUUGGAUGGCCAUCAAACUCUUGGAAUCGUCAAAUUUUGACCAUUGAACUAUUAAAUAUUUGGUUUUGACUACUAAACUAUCUAAAAUUUAAAUUUCGAGCCAUUCCGUUAGAUUUAAUCGUUAAACAUAACAGAUUUGAGUGCUUGUACGAUUCAUGAGACAAAAGAAAUGGGCAUAUUUAAUGAUUAAAUUUGACGGAAUAGCCCAGAAAACAGUUCAGUGGCCAAAACUCUACAAUUCCAAAAGUUCAGUGACCAUCGAAUAAUUUGAUCAUUAUUUAAUUUCUCUGUAGUGGAUUCACUUACAUUUCAGUAGCAUAUAUUCAGUCAAUCCAAUAUGGCAUCCUUUGUGAAGUGUUCAUUGUUGGCAAUUUGGCAUGAAAAUUGAUUAACGAUAACCUACAAGUUUCUCAUCAACCUUCGGUUAUAAUGACAUGUGAAUUAGGUAUCCUCUUGUAUAUGAACCAAUUGCUUUUUUGUUUUUGGGUCAACAAUAUAUGAACCGAUUACAAACAACAUACAUUUAACAUAAUGCAUUGAAAGUUUGAAACUACAUUACCGGAGGGUUACUGGAAGUUUGACAACAAUCUGUUCUUGUGAGUUUUAACAUCUAUGAAUUUUUUAUUUCCAGUUUCGACAUAGUUUUUUUUUUUUCUUUUUUAAAUUCAAGAAAGACUCUUAAGUUUUACAAACGGAGGAAACAAGGACUUGAAAAAUCAGCCAAAGACUUCACCGUUGCCUUAGCAAAUGUGCUAGUUUCCCUUCAUCCUAAGUUGGGAAUCGGUAUCAAUUUCGACCGCCUACGCGAUUGUGUUAGUACAAGAAUUAUUAUUGGACUGCUUUCUGGGUCACAUUUGUCUGUUGGUCUUGGGCCUAGCAUCAUUUGCAAUGAUGUCUAUUCAGCUUGGUUUCUCCAAACCCAACUAGUUUAUGUUUCACAUUUUACUUACAUUUACAUUUGAGUCUGGGGCUUUACAAGCAGCCUGGUUUUCGUUAAAGAGCUGAGGAAUACCAAAGAUUCAGUUCGUUGAGAUUUCCAGUGUUUCAAUAUGGGCCAAUUUUGCCACAAUUUCGGCUGUUAACAGCCCAAAUUUUCUUUUCAAGUCAAUAAAAAAAUUGACUUCUGUGUAUGUGAAAAAGUUCCGUUCAGUAACUCUUAUUUAACAGGUAUUGUGAAUAAUCUAUAACUUGUCUGUUUUCGAAGCUUGUCUUAAGUUUCAGCCAAGAAUCAAUCACACUUUGUAUGUAUAAUUUGAAAAAAAAAAUUGAAAAGAGGAAGAGUAUAUCAUGUUCAUGUGUUGUUUUCACUGCAAUAAUUUAGAUAGUUAGAUAUGUCAUUCACACGUGCAAAUCUCAUUGAGUGUCAAUUUCUUCUUCCAUUUUAUGUCAAUUAAUUUGUAGUAAUAUUGAGUUAUAAUUUUCACCAUUUAUGGGUUGAUCAGAAUUGCGAUUUAUUUGUAUUAUAAAAAAAUAUAUGUCAUUCGCCCUUAUUUAAUACAUCCCUCGGCCCGGCCUAUACGUCUUGGCUUUGCAACUUUUCAAAUGAGGGGCCAUUAGCAUCCGGUAGACGCAGCUCGAUCAUUGGCGGGUGUCAACUGUCAAUUACCACAUAGCAUUGAUUUUGGGGCUAAACCACCACACAAUCCAAAGACCAAAGUCUAAAUUUGCAUCUUGUCGCCCAAGCAAGAAGGCAAUAUAAAGCGAGGGAGGCAGGGCUAGCUACUUGACAAUCACCUCAAGAAAUUAAGGAGCAAAAAAAUGUUGAGUGAGAAGCAAGAAGCUCUGGUGAAGGAGUCAUGGGAGCUGCUGAAACAAGAUAUUCCCCUACACAGUUUUCGUUUGUUUACAUCGUGAGUAUUUUUUUAUUUUUUUUUUGUCGACAUGAUAAAUUGUAUAUUACAACUGCUGCUACUCUAUACUAGAGAAAGGGGAACCUAAAGAUAUCAAGACGGGUGCCUGCGCACCCGUUAACAAAACAUUUUCUGGAAAGCCUGAAUAUUAGAAUGCAGGCCAAGGGAUUUAAUCUCUUGAUCUACACCCAAAUAGAGUUUUUAAAACUCUUUUGGUAACCAACUACUCUAUAUCGUGAGUAUGCGCCACCGAUAUUUUGCUUUUCAUCAACUUUUUUACUGUCUUCAAUAUAUAUAUAUAUGGUGAGACUAUCAUCCUUUUUAGCAUCAUUGCAUAACACUACCUAAAUCUUUAUUUUUAUGGUGAUGGUAGCUGAAUGUUUCUUUGAUUCAUGAAUAUUGUUUCUCUUCCUCCCUUGAUUAUUAGUAGUAUUUUUUUUUGGGGGGGCUAUGUUGACGGUUUAUAUUUUAUGGGUAUAUAAUAUAUGGUUAAGGAUCCUGGAGAAAGCACCAGGGGCAAAGGACUUGUUCUCAUUUCUAAGGGACACGGAUGAAAUUCCACAGAACAAUCCCAAGCUCAGGGCACAUGCUGCCAAAGUUUUCAGGCUGGUAUGUUGGCGUAAUUCAUUGCAUGUUUUCAUAAUUGUAAUUCUUGUACACUUUGAGAAAUGGCUAUAUUUGUGUAUAUAUUAAGCUUUUCUCGUCUCUCUCUCUCCAUAGCUAUAUAUAAACGACUCAUGUUCAUCAACUUGCGUAUAUAGUAUAUACUGCCAUAAAUAAUCUAGAAUGGAAGUAUCUGCAUGGUAUUUAAUAUUAGUUGUUACAGUUCUACUUGUUAGUCACGCCAUUUGGUCCAAACGCUAGGUCGUUUUUAACCUAAAAAUUGAACAUAUUAGGUGGCUUCAAUCUUCCUUGAUUUAUUCUUUUAUACUUCAUCAUUUUCUAAUGCCCAACACUAUUAAUUAACAUUUGUCAGUGUGAAAUUUUUAUUUAAUUUGUCCCUAGACAAAUUUUUAUCACCAACAACUGUCUCUAUAUAUUCUCUCCCUAAUUAUUGACUAUACUAUUUCUCCAGUUUUUCUUUUGAUGGUCAUCAACAAAGAAUUGCGUAACUGUUGAUCCAAAUCUGACAAGAAACCCCCGAUUACACCCUCACUGUGUAAUCUCAUGCAUCUAUCUAUCAACAUCGAAAUUCAAAAGAAAGGCAUCAAGUAAUGAUUAAACGGACAUGUUACACAUUGAUCUACAAAAUUUUAAAGUAUGCCAAUCUUGAAGAGAGAUUAGAAAACCAGAAAAGCAAAACGUACUAAUCAAAUCACUCAUUGGUUUAGUUUAAGAGAGCAUAACUAGAAGAAAUGGGUGAAGAUUUCCAUUUUUGAAGCACUUGCAAUGGCUGGAAGCUAGGUCUCAACUUCCUUCCUUUAGAUUGUCAUUAAUGUUCAUUACAAGGAUGUAUUUAUCUCUAGCAAGUAGUUUAACGAAAUCUGACGAGGUUAAUUGUAUACGACAUUAGACUUGCGAAUCAGUGGUGCAGCUGCGUGAGAAGGGCGGAGUGCUGAUUGGCGAUGCUACUCUCAAGUGGCUGGGAUCGGUUCAUCUCCAGAAUGGAGUCCUUGCGCCCCAUUUCGAGGUACUACCUACUAGGCCUAGUUCUGAAGCUGUCUGCAGUCCCAUUCUUGUAUCUCUUCAUAAAUUUUCAAGAAGUUUACACUAAUUAAUCUACAUGCUUAUCUAUAAUAAAAUUUUAUUCCUUAAUUUAUUAAAUUUUGAUUUCUGCAUGAGACGUACGUAGAUGGUAAAAGAAGCACUGCUGAAAACGAUCGAAGAGGGCGUGGGAGAAAAAUGGAGCGAGGAAAUGGAGAAUGCAUGGGGCGAGGCCUAUGAUCACUUGGCAGCAGCGAUUAUAGGUGAGAUGCAAGCAGAGGCUGCUGCUUCAUCAAAGCCCGUUCCUUAACAUCGACAACGUAUAAUCUACAAAGGAUGUCUUUAGUGAAAGCCUCAUCUGUGACUCCCGGGAGAGGCUUCUGGAUAGUCCUUAAUGCGUUGUAAGAAUAAAUGAUAGUAAUAAGAAUAGAGCAUUUACCAGUGAUGAAUAAUAGCACACGGAAUCCUCAGUGCCACUUUUUCAGUGGUAAUUCAGUGUCACUCCUAUAUUUAUAUCAAGUAUCCUAUUUAUUUAAUUUGUCAUGUGUUAUUUAUUUAAAUUUCUUCUACCAUCACGUGAUAUGUGGGAUUGGCACUGGAUUUGACACCGAGUAGUGGCACAGAGGAUCUCAACUGGAAUAAUAGAAGCGAGAAGUGCUCCAAAAUAAUCAUGGAGUGUAUCGACUAAAUUUUACUACAUCAUGAAGAAAAAAUUGCAGACUGGACCACAUCUCAUUGUCAUGACUGAGUGUUCCACAAUCUACAUGAUACUAAUAUAUUUGUAAAAACGAUCCGAAGGAACCCGGUUGGAUUUCUGCACCGGCUGAAUUGAACUGCUUAUUAAAAAUGGUUUGAGGUCUGAUUAAUUCUCUGCUACUUCAAAUCUUCGUUGUCUCAUUCUCUUCAACUAGGCAACAAGAAAAAAAAAAAUCGACAUUUAAUUUGUUUUUCUCUCCUUCUACCUGUACAAAUACAAUUGUGGAUUGGAUAUGCAUCACACGUCCAGCUAGCUGACCGGUCAGCUUUGCCCCAUAAGAAAAUUAACUGAGGAUUAUUUAAUUUUUCUGUAUAAUGGCUUUACAUUUUUAUUUUUUUAGUAUGAAGUCAAUCAGAAGAGGAUGAGUUCAAUCCAAUAGGCCAUGUCCUUUAUGAAAUGGUACGUGUCUUGGCCGGAAAAUUGAGUCAAGAUAAUAAUAAUAAUGUAUUUUAUUAUGCUACUAUUAUUAUAUCGUCCAACAUUUCGUUGUGUGACAAGUGCACUGGGAUCCCAUUAAAAUUAAGCUUUUGCAUCUGAAGAAGAGACGUACGUGUCGUCGUGUGAUGCAUUGAGACUAUCAAUCACCACAAGGUUAUUAGGUGUUUGACAGCAACCCAUUCUUGGGAAAUUUACUUUAAUCGACAAGAUCAAUUUCAACGGUCAAAAAUUGUUGUGUGGACUCCUUGUGGGUGAAAAAGCAAUCAAGCUACUCAAUAAUGGAAUCGAAUUCGACUCAAUAAGAGUUUAUUCGAAUUUGAUCUUUCAACUAAUUAUGUCAUAAUUGAACAAUAUUUUGUGUUUUGUAUACUUUUAAACUUGGUUUGAAUUUGAAUUGAUUGAUAUAAAAUUAGAAUUUACAAGUAAAAAAUUCGAGCUACUUGAACUUGACAUCAUUUAAUUUCAACUCUGUAAAUAAACAAAUCAAAUUUGAAUACCAAAAAAAAAAACUAAGUUUGAACACAAUUUUAAACUUAUUAAAAUAAUCAAAUAAAUUUUAAACAUUAAAAUAUUCUAUUUAAUUGUGCUCAUUAUCACUCCUAUGUCUCCUUGCUUUGAUCCGCUUUGUCUGUUGGGCUUGGCCCUAAACUUCAUAUAAAUGUACGUCGAAACCCAAACGAUUUAUGCUUUGUGUUUUAGUUGUUACUUUCAAGUCUGGGCUUCUACAAGCAGGCUGAUUACAUAAUGGAGAUAGCCUUAAGGAAAAGUUGAAAUUUCUAAUAUUGUCUGAACAUGGGCCAAUGGUCUCCCAGAGUUUCGGCUAUUUAUUUAUUAACUUUUUUUUUUUGUCUUUGUUAUAAAGAAUUGACUUCUUCUGUAAUUAAAAAAGCAACUGAUCUCUUGAGUAACCCUAUCCAAAAAGGGAAACAGUAUACUACGUGAUAAUAGGGAGUGUGUUUGCAUUGAAGAUUAUUUGGAAUAAUUUUUUUGAAAAAAUGUUAUAGUUGUAUUUUAUAUGAUGUGAUAUAUGUGAGAUAAAAAUGUAAUUGAUUUGAUAAAAAAUAAUUAAAAACAUAUUUAUAAUGCAAUCAAAUAAUUAUAAGAACCUAUCCAAGCACACCAAAGUAAUGAUUUCCAAGCUUGCUUUAACUUUUAGCUAACAAAUCUAAGUACACUGUGUACGCAUAUGUAACCAAAAAAAAAGGGGAAAAUAUAGUAAAGUAAAUCUUAUACACAUUGACAUUGUAUAUACUAUCACGAUUGGAUACAUGACACAUAUGCAAAAUUUAAUUUUCAAAUUCAAAUUCAAAUUAUGUGUCAUAUAUUCAAAAAUGAAAAUAUAUACACUGUCAAAAAACGACGGCUGGAUCUUUUGCAGGUGUGUACCACAUAUGAUCUGGCCAACAAAUGAUGCCAACAUCAAGCUUCCGGAAACCAUCCAAAAGUCUCUUGCCCAUUGCACCUCGUAUAUCCGUGUGAAUAUGAUACCUUAUCUCUCAAAACCCAAUAUAAAGCGAGGGAGGGGCUAUUAUACAGUCUGCUCAAAAAAGUUCAGGGAGAGGAGCAAAAAUGGCGUUGACUGAGAAGCAAGAAGCUCUGGUGAAGGAGUCCUGGGAGCUGAUGAAACAAGAUAUUCCUCGACAUGGUUUUCGUUUAUUUGCAUUGUAAGUAUGCACCGAGAGUUUUCGUCCAAUUUCUGGAGUGCAUUCUUUUAAUUUUAAUUUUUUUUGGUAGCAAGAAAGUAGUGGGAUUUACGAAGUGGGGAAGGAGAUGAAAGGCAUUUGAACUUAAAAUCUCUAAUUCUUGACCUCUCAACUUGUAUAACUAAUAGACCAAAAUCUCCUCCACGGAAUUUCUAGUUUGCAUUAUUGUAACUUUGUUUCAGUGUAUAUGUACCUAAUGCAGAAGAUGUUGCUUGUACCCAGUAAGAAAAUGGUUUUAACAAGUUGAUGUUCUUCCAUAUAUAAUACUACCUAAACCACUAUUUUAGGAUCAUCAUAGCUGGAUUAUUAAUUUCUCAGAUACAUCAAUAUAGUUUCUCUUCCUCCCUUGCCUAAUUUGCUUAAUUUCUUUUCUUUUCUUUUUUUGGGUUACGGGCUAUAUGAUCAAGGAUCCUCGAGAUAGCACCAGGGGCGAAGGACUUGUUCUCAUUUCUAAGGGACACAGAUGAAAUUCCAGAGAACAAUCCCAAGCUCAAGGCACACGCUGCCAGAGUUUUCAAGCUGGUAUGUUGGCUUAAUUCAAUUUAUGCUUUCAUUUUCGUAAUUAAUUUUUGCCCACCAGCCGAAAUGGCUGAAUAGGUUCAAAAUUCAAAUGACAAACUAUUUAUCAAAAGAGACUUUCAUUACCUCGUUAUGUAUGGAUAUACUACAUAUAAUUCCCCUGUUCCUUCUGAUGGUUAAUAACCAAAAAUGAUUGAAAGGUUGAUUGAAGCUGACAAGAAUCCACCAACCACACUCUCAUAAUUUAAUUUCAGGCAUCUAUCUAUUGAUUUCGAAAUUCGAAAGAGAAGCAUCGAGCAAUGAUUAACACGGACACGUACAAGUUUAACGGGUUAUCAUUCUUGGAGAGAUUAGAAAAACAGGAGAAAUAGGUAGUAAACUAUACCGUUUAUAGUUUAGUCUACAAGUGCAGAACAAAAGUUAAAGAUAAACAUUUCAAUUGAAGACCGCUUGCAAUGGUUGGAGGGUGGAUCUCAAGUUCCCUGCAAAUUGAUCAUGCAUAUAUAGCUGUAAAUGUCCAUUACAGUAAUGAUUAUCUAUCUCUAUCAAUUAGUCAACUAGAAAUAUGACAAGGUUGUAUUAUAUACAACAUUAGACUUGCGAAUCAGCAGUGCAGCUGCGCGAGAAGGGUGAAGUGGUGGUUGCCGAUACUACUCUCAAGUGGUUGGGAUCUGUUCACCUCCGGAAAGGAGUUCUUCAACCCCAUUUUGAGGUAAUGGUUCUAAAGCUGGCUGUACUAUUUUAAUCUCCAGAACUUCAAGAAGUGUCCAGCAUUAACAUUAGUAUGUGCGUGAUUAUGACAUUCCAACCUUAGUCAUAAAUAAGUAAAAGUCUUCAAUUUAUUCAAAUUUCAUCACGAAGCAAUUGAUGAAGAGAUUUAAAGUGUGAAGUUUACGUGAGACAUAGGUCGUGAAAGAAGCAUUGCUGAAAACGAUCGAAGAGGGCGUGGGAGAAAAAUGGAGCGAGGAAAUGAAGAAUGCAUGGGGAGAAGCCUAUGAUCACUUGGCAGCAGCAAUUAUGGGUGAGAUGCAGGUUGAGGCUGCUGCUUCAUCAAAGCCCAUUGCAUAACUGCCAAAGCAAAAUCUACUGCAAGAAUCCGUGUGAAGCUUCAUCUGUGUAUGGUAACUCCUAUGUGUAGGCGCGGCUUCUGUGACAGUGCUCAUUGCUCAAUAAACGCAUGCAUGCGUUAUUGUAAAAAUUGGCAUGUCGAUUUAAUAUAUAUAUAUACAUAUAUCAAAAUGGAAAGACUACUGGUAGAGGUUUGGCCAUUAUAUACAUUAGGGAACAAGGUACAGUCUACAUUUGUUCGAUUCUUAAAAUUUGUACGAAGGUGAAACAAAUAAAACUAACAUAAUUUUUAUGCCACUGCAAAAGAAAGAACUAAAAAGCACUACAACAAGGAAAAUUUCCAAAAUCAACUCCAUUUAUUUGAACUUGUUUUUUGUAAACAUGUUUUUACAUAAUUUAGAAAACAUGUUUUACUGUCACUCUUUAACGCACAGAAUCAUGACCAUUAGCUGAUUAAUUAAUUAAUUGGUGACAUCGACAGGAUGUUGCAUUGCAAGCUCUUCCAGCUAAGUCAUUUCUUCUUCUUCUUUUUUUUAAUUAUACGAGCCGUGUCACUUCAAAAUUUAAAAAUUCAUACAAUCAAAAUUCACCAACACAAUAUCAUUUCCGUAAUGGACAUGUUUUAUUAAUUGGCUGCCAAGUGCCAAGUUGUGGCCAAGCCAAGAAAUGAAUUGACACCUAUAAUGGUAAACUCAAUCAGUCUUGAACAUUAGUCUAAAAGAACUUUAGUUGGUCAUUUUGUUAAAGAAAAAAGAAGAUAAAUUUCCGGUUUUCAGAUGAUAAGAAAUAAAAAAAAAUAUGAAACGCAAAAGUUUCGGGGUUUCGAUUAGCCACUACAAUCAAAGAUGCAUACACGGUCAAACUUUUCAAAAAGUUUUGUCACCCACUUCUAUUAACUAAAUAGGGUCCGUUGAGUAAGCAUAAUUUACAAAAAAAAUAUUAUUCAACUCACAUCAUAAACAUAAUUUUCAAACACCUUUUUAGCAGAUAUAUAUUAAAUUACAAAAAUAUUACAGUGUUAUUCGAAACAAUUUUUUCAAAUAAUCUCCUAUCCAAUCUACCAUCAUUUUCAUCGGCAUCUCGUCACUUUAUUAUUAUUAUCCAAUCAUGUAUCGUUAUAAGUUACUUAAAAGUGAUUAAAACUAGUCCUUUAGUGCGUGCAAUAGAAUUGAUUGGAGAAAAAGAAGCAUAAUAUGCAAGUCAGGAGUUAUCCAGCUAGUACCUUAUAUUAACGAAUCUCUCAAACUAAUGUGUGACGAAUAACUUCUAUUCAUGAAUUUAACAAUCUUUCCUUUUAUGAGUAACUCCUCAAUCUAAAUUCACAGACUCUUCCUUGAACCACCUUAAUUAAAGAUUCAAGAGUGUCUCUUUUACAACUCAUGGAUUCCCUUUCUUCAAUAUCUCUAAAAGAAUUAUGGACCUCUGUUAAACUCUUGGCUUCUUGACAUAGCCCUCAUGACCCCUGCCAGACUUUUGGUACUUUUUAGUCCAACACUAAAAAACAUGGAACAAUUUAUUGGUCCAUCAUUGCCAAAAAAAAGCUACUUGCCAAAGAGUAGUUUAAGCUCAUAACCAAAAGUUCUAAUUAUCACUUGUGAGGAAAAAACCUAAAAGAGCAAAUAAAAGAGGUUCAAUAUAUAAAUCAGGCAAUCACACUUGACUCAAAAGAUUAAACUAGUUAUUACGUUCUAAUUCCUUAGCAAGGUUUUGAAACCUAAAUCGUUUAUUGAACUUGAAAAGCUAUUAGGUUAAGGGUUACUAGUUCAACAGUUGAGUUAACCGUUAUCCAACUAUUAUCAAUCUGUGAUAUCAUAAAUAAAUAAAUAAUUAAUAAUUAAUAUAGUAGUGUUAAGUUAUUAGGACAAGGGUUACUGGUUCCAAUGGUUGAGCUAAUCGUUAUCAAGCAAGAAUCAAUUCGUGAUAUCAUAAAUAAAUAAAUAAUGCAAUUACUCCCUCUGUCCCAAUAAAUUUAACGCACUUUGGAGACUGUGUUUUUUUUUUUUUUUUAUCAACAGUUACCUAAUCUUGUUUGGUUUCCUUUCAUAUCCCUAUUCGUAGCUAGUUUAUGGUGAAAGAAUGAAUGCAACUAUGAACCCUUAAUUGCUUUGGUAAAAUUAAUAACCAUUUGAAGUGUAUGGAGUUUCACUCUCCAAAUUUAUCAUAGUUUCGUGCAAAGGAUGCUAUGCUAUUGGAGCAAUUUUGAUAAAGAUGAGAUGUAUCUUUUGAAACUCACAAUAAUUGUUAAAACCGCUUCAGAGUGAACAAAUUUAUUGAUCCAUUUUUAGUAAGAAACAUAAUUUUGGUACGGAUAAAAAGGAAAAUAUCAUAUUUUCAAUCACGCGUCGGGCCCGGGCCGCAGAGGAUUAGUCGGAUCUCGUAAGGAUUGACCCGGACACCCCUGUGUCGACAAAAAAAAAAAAAAAAAAAUCACGCGAAGGACUAAUAUACUAUCUAUAUCUUAUCUGCAACAUCUAUUUCCUCAGAAGGGCUGGCGGGGCCAAUUGAAUGCCAUUUAAUGGAAACAGAAAGUCUACUGGCGUUAAGAGGCUAACGUUCCGUCAACUUUGAUGUUCGGACCCUUAGCGCAUGUGCAGGUAAUUAUGUUAUGGACCAGAAACCAGAGAAGCCAGAACUAAUGCGGAAAUCAGAAGGAACAAGCUUGAAUGAAUAAAAUCAGUUAAUGAAGAAUCAAUGAAUUAGUGAACGAAUGAACUUCAACUUUCAUUAAUUGAAUCUGGAAAACCAAUUACAAGAACAGAAAUAAUGGAUUUAGCCAAGAAGGGGAAAGAUUGAAGGAAUUGAAAAAGAAAAGAGAGGGAAAUUGGCAGAGCCAAUUUCUGUUUACAAACAAUGGAAAUAAUAUGACAAAAAUCUGUCUAACUCUCGGAUUCUUCAGCCUUUUAUGGCACUUCCAGACUAACUAACUUCUAAACUAGCUAAUCAGGUGAGGCCACGUGGAAGUUCUGGAAUCAUCAGCUCCACUUGUGCCAAACAGAAGCAUAAGUCUGUUAUAACAGAUAGAAGGCGUGAUUUGUAAGUCACGCCUUACUUCCUCAAGUUGCGUGGCUGCGCCUUUCACACAAACUGGAACACGCCUCUCUCCUUCUUCCAGCUGGAACACGCCUUUCCUGUAUUCUAGAUCACGACUUCUGUAUUUUUCCUCAUACUCCAUGACAGAGCCUCCCCCUUUAAGAAUCUUGUCCUCAAGAUUGGAAAUGAGGGAAUUGCCUCCUAAUUUCGUCUGCAAAUUCCCAUGUUGCCUCUGCUGGAUCUGUUCCCCACCAAUGUACCAGCCAUUGAACAGCAGCUGCAUUCUUCCUCUUGACUGUUCUUCGUUCUAGCACUGCAACUGGUUCGAUCCUUAAGUACCCCCUUCCAUCUGUUUCGGGCAGUUGUAAGACAGGUGUGGUCUGUUCCCCAACCUUUUUCUUCAGCAGAGAGACAUGGAAAACAGGAUGAAUCUUGGAAUCUGCUGGUAAUCUGAGCUUGUAUGCAACCUCCCCCAUUCUUCCUAUUAUUUCAUAUGGUCCAUAGUAACGUGCUGAUAACUUAGUGUUCCCUCGCAUGGCUACUGAACUCUGCCUGUAAGGCUGUAACCUCAGGUACACCCAAUCACCUACAUCAAACCUUCUUUCACUCCUGCUUUCAUCUGCGUACUUUUUCAUCCUCUCCUGAGCUAGCUUGAGGUUCUGCUGCAGUAUGAUGUCAACCUUGUGUCUCUCCCUUAAGUAGUCCCCAACAACAGCUACCUUGGCCUGAGUAUAUGGCCCUAUAGCUAAUUGGGGGGGUGCCUGCCCAUAAAGAGCCUCAAAAGGGGUCAUUUGGAUGGCUGUGUGGUAGCUAGUGUUGUACCACCAUUCAGCCAUAGUCAGCCAAUGAUUCCACUUUUUUGGUUCCAAAUGUGAAAAACACCUGAGGUACAUUUCUAAUACCUGAUUGACCCUUUCAGUCUGGCCAUCAGACUGAGGAUGGUAGGCGGUACUGAGGUCCAGUGUAGCUCCCAGGAAUGUAAACAGUUCUCCCCAGAACUGACUGGUGAAGACCCUGUCUCUGUCUGAUAGCAUACUCUGAGGUACUCCAUGCAACUUGACCACUCCAUCUAGAAAAAUCCUGGCGAUCCUUGGGGCAUCAUAAGGAUGUGAGGUGCUCAGAAAGUGAGCAUACUUAGUGUACCUGUCUACUACUACCAUGAUAGUAUCCUUUCCUUCAGAGUUAGGUAAUCCUUCAAUGAAAUCCAUAGUGAUGUGGCUCCAGGGGUACUGUGGAAUUGGCAGGGGUUGUAGGAGCCCUGGAUAGGAUACAUGCUCAUCCUUACACUUCCUACAGAUAUCACAUUUUAGGAUUGCUGUUUUGAUGUCUCUGUGCAUACCUGGCCAAUAGAACAACUGCUUGGCUCUCAUGAAACUGGCCUGAAUCCCAGAAUGCCCCCCCAAUUGGGAGUCAUGUAAGGUGUUGAUCAGCUUUUUCCUUAUCUCCCCUCCUGAUCCCACUACUACCCUUCCUUUAAACUUCAGUAUACCAUUCUGAUAGCUGUGAUUGGCAAUCAGGUCUGGUUUAAGUAGAACUUCCCUGAUGAUAUUCUGUGCCCAGUCAUCUCCUUGGUAGCUACUAAUCACCUCCUUGAUCCAUUCUGGUACUAUAGUGGUUAUUGCAGUGCACUCCAAGCCUGAGUUUCCCCUCCUGGAAAGGCCAUCAGCUACCACGUUCUCCUUUCCCUUCCUGUAGUGGAUCUCAUAACUCAUCCCCAUGAGCUUAGUUAACCACUUCUGCUGCAGGGGUGUGGUGAUCCGUUGUUCCAGCAAGUACUUUAAACUCUGAUGAUCAGUGUUGAUGAUGAAGUGUUGGCCCUCCAAGUAAUGUCUCCAUUUUGAGACUGCUGUAACUAAAGCUAGUAGCUCCUUUUCAUAAAUAGAUAGCCCCAUAUUCCUAGGCCCCAAACCUUGACUGAUAUAGGCUAAAGGUCUUCUGUUCUGCAUUAAUACUGCCCCUAUCCCACUGUAACAGGCGUCAGUUUCUACUACAAAUGGUUGGUUGAAGUCAGGUAGAGCCAGGACAGGUGUGUCACACAUGGCCCUUUUGAGCUUCUGAAAUGCCUCAUCUGCUUCUGGUCCCCAAUGGAAGCUGUCCUUCUUCAGUAGUGCAGUCAAUGGUUUAGCUAUACCACCAUAUCCCCUAACAAAUCUCCUAUAGUACCCUGUCAGGCCUAGGAACCCUCUCAGCUGUUUCACAUUUCCUGGUGUAGGCCAAUUCACCAUACCUUCAAUCUUCUCAGGGUCAGCUUUUACUCCUUCAGCAGAUAUGAUGUGUCCCAGGUACUCCACCUGUUUUUGGCCAAAGGCACAUUUGCUCCUUUUGGCAUACAGUUGGUGUUUCCUGAGGAUGUCUAGGACUUCUGUAACAUGCUUCAAAUGUUCCUGCAAACUUGAGCUAUAUAUCAAGAUAUCAUCAAAGAAUACAAGCACAAAUUUCCUUAGCUGCUUUUGAAAGACAUGGUUCAUCAGACUCUGGAAAGUAGCAGGGGCAUUGGUGAGCCCAAAUGGCAUCACCUUGAACUCGUAGAGCCCCUGAUGAGUUCUAAAUGCAGUCUUGGGAAUGUCUGCUGCCUUCACCCUGAUCUGGAAGUAGCCUGCCCUCAAAUCUAUCUUGGUGAAAUAUUUGGAACCUGUCAACUCAUCCAAAAGUUCAUCAAUAAGGGGUAUAGGGUAUUUAUUUUUGACUGUCAGCUCAUUUAAUUGCCUAUAAUCAACACAGAAUCUCCAGGUGCCAUCCUUCUUUUUUACCAGAAGUACAGGGGAUGCAAAGGGGCUAUUACUGUGCUGAAUGAUACCAUUUCCCAACAUUUCUUGCACCAGCUUCUCAAUCUCAGUCUUUUGAAUAUAGGGACACCUGUAUGGUCUGAUCUGGAAAGGUUUAGACCCCUCUUUAAGGGUAAUGGAAUGAUCAUGACCCCUCUCAGGGGGCAGCCCUUGAGGUUCUUUGAAUACCUCCUCAAAAUCCUGCAGUACCUUUUCCACCUCUGGGGGUGUAGUAGCAUUGGCCUGUACCUCCUCCUGGACUGCACUGAGUUGAGCCAUAAUUCCAUAGGCCUGUUUCCUGGCCCACUUAUGUAGUCUACUCCCUUUGAUCAACCUUAGCUGCACCUGAUCCCUCUCCCCUUUCAGUUCCACCUGCUGUUUCCCUUUCCUGAACUUCACACUAAGCCCCUUGAAGUCAAACUCCAUAGGACUGAAUCUGGCCAGCCAGUCUACACCCAGCACCAUAUCACAUCCUCCUAGCUUCAGUGUAUUGAACUGGUGCUGGAAUUCAUAGCCUUGCAUUUUCCACACUACAGGUUUAGCUAGGCUGUUGGACUGUACCUUUUCCCCAUUAGCUACCUUAACAACUAGGGGUGGACCACUACUAACCAGUUUCAGAUUGCUAGCUAGUUGUGCAUCCAGGAAACAGUGAGUGCUACCACUGUCAAUAAGUGCAGUGAUAGUUCUCCCUUUUACUAACCCCUUCAAUUUAAUAGUUUGGUGUUCACUACCUCCUGCUAGAGCAUUGAUGGAGAUUUCCAUAUGUUCAUCCCCAAUUUUGCUUUCAAUGCAAUCACAGAAAACUUCAGGUUCAGUCUCUCUUCCUUCCUCACUAGCUACCUGUUUCUCAUUGUCAUCAUGUACUAGCAGAAGAUGGAUGUGGGAUUGUUUACAAGUAUGGCCAAGUGUGUAAGGUUCAGCACAUUUAUAACAUAGUCCUUUCUCCCUCCUGAGAUUGAACUCACUAGGGGUGAUCUUUUUGAACUGGUUAGUGUUGCUGUUUGGGGUUCUGUAGGUGUCUGUGGGGUUUUUAUCUGAGGAUCUGGAUGGGGUGGGGUUCCAUUUGUUAUGGCUCUGUGGGUGGAAAGGGGUUCUGUGUGUCUGGGGGCUGUUAGGUAGGGGUUUGUGAAACUUUUGCAUAGCUUUCAGGUUCUUUUCUUGUAGCUUGGCUGCUUCUAUUGCAUCUGACAGGGUUGCAGGUUUGGCCAUUUUAACCAUAUUGACUAUUUCUUCCUUUAGACCACUUAGGAAACAUGCUUUAUAGUAGGAAUCUGCCAAAUGAGGGAGGGAAGGCAUUACCAGUGCUUUGAGUAGCUCGAACUUUUCCAGGUAGUCUGCUAUGGAUCCUUCCUGCCUAAGCUUGUUGAAUUCUUCAAUAGCUUCUUCUGGUGUACCCUCCCCAAACCUUUUACACAAAGCAGUAGCCAGUUCUGUCCAUGGAAUGGUUCCCCUGCCACUGAAUACUCCAUGGAACCAGGUAUCAGCUCUGUCCCUCAGGUAUAGCUCAGCAAUCUCAGAUUUCAUGUUCUCCUCCACUCCAUUGAUCUUGAAGAACUUAUUAGCCUUACGGAUCCAUUCCCUGGGAUUAUCUCCUGUGAAGUUAGGUAACUCCACUUUAGGCAUUCUGGAGUAGGUUCUGGUCUCCCUCCAAUCUGAUCUGUCAUAGCCUUCCUCCUGUGUUCCUUCCUUCUUAGGUCCUUCAAUGGAGCUACUACUUUCUGCCUCCUUGUUCUUGUCAUUGAAUUUUGCCAUCAUCUGAGCCAUCAUAGCCAUCAUACUUUCAUAUUUUUGGUCUAGAUUUUUGAGAGUCUUCUCUGUGCUUUCUUGCCUAUGUCCCAACACCUUGACCACACUGCCUAGCUCAGAGAUAUCUUUUUUUAACACCUCCUCCUGAGAUUUUGUCAUCCCAAUGGCUCGUAGCUAAGCUCUGAUACCACUGUUAUGGACCAGAAACCAGAGAAGCCAGAACUAAUGCGGAAAUCAGAAGGAACAAGCUUGAAUGAAUAAAAUCAGUUAAUGAAGAAUCAAUGAAUUAGUGAACGAAUGAACUUCAACUUUCAUUAAUUGAAUCUGGAAAACCAAUUACAAGAACAGAAAUAAUGGAUUUAGCCAAGAAGGGGAAAGAUUGAAGGAAUUGAAAAAGAAAAGAGAGGGAAAUUGGCAGAGCCAAUUUCUGUUUACAAACAAUGGAAAUAAUAUGACAAAAAUCUGUCUAACUCUCGGAUUCUUCAGCCUUUUAUGGCACUUCCAGACUAACUAACUUCUAAACUAGCUAAUCAGGUGAGGCCACGUGGAAGUUCUGGAAUCAUCAGCUCCACUUGUGCCAAACAGAAGCAUAAUUCUGUUAUAACAGAUAGAAGGCGUGAUUUGUAAGUCACGCCUUACUUCCUCAAGUUGCGUGGCUGCGCCUUUCACACAAACUGGAACACGCCUCUCUCCUUCUUCCAGCUGGAACACGCCUUUCCUGUAUUCUAGAUCACGACUUCUGUAUUUUUCCUCAUACUCCAUGACAAAUUAACUCCAACCUUCAAAAUAGACCAGUUCACCAUUUUUUUUCUCUCUUCCUCAGGUAAGUCGAGACCAGUUCACUGAUUAAACUGAUGAAGGUGGCUUUUUGACACUGGCGAGUUAGAGAUCUGUAGCAGCCCGAAAAGUGUUAAACGAAGGUUCAGAAACAGGAACACCCAACUGGGAGGAAAUUAUCGUGCUUUGCACGGUGGAUAGCUGCAAGAUAAAUUGCUAAAAAUAUUUCAUCCAAUUGUUUUUUUUUUUUUUUUAAAUGAUGCCCUACGUUGUUGUCAACUGUCAAUUAUCACAUAUGGUUUUAUGGCUAACCCUGUUUAACUUUCUGAAGAUUACAUUUAAACCCCCCGUAUUGCCCAAAAGGCCAAUAUAAAGCUGGGAAGGGUGGGGCUAGCUAUUUAGCAAUCAGCUCAGAAAAUUAAGGAGCAAGAAUGGUGUUGAGCUAGAAGCAAGAAGCUCUGGUGAAGGAGUCGUGGGAGCUGCUGAAACAAGAUAUUCCUCUACAUGGUUUUCGUAUAUCUACAUCGUAAGUUUGCACCACCAGUUUCCGACCAAUUCGUUUGCUUUGCAGAAUUUAAACUUUCUACACACACACACACACAGAGACAGAGAUAUGGAGUAGUACAGAAGAGGUUGCUUGUAUCUACGUCUAGCUCUGUGUAGUUAAGAAAAUGGUUGAACGAGUUUGAAUCGAAUUGAGCACCUGAAACAUUUGCAAACUGAAAAUAGCUUAUUUAAAUCAUUAGCACUAUCUAAAAUCACUAUUUUAGGCUCGUGAUAGCUGAAUAUUGUGUCUCUUUCUUCCUUGAAUAAUUUCUUUUCUCUUGCCAAUUUCACGGUUAAUAUCUUGUUGCUACAUGGUUAAGGAUCCUGGAGAAAGCACCAGAGGCAAAGAACAUGUUCUCAUAUCUAAGGGACACCGAUGAUCCACAGAACAAUCCCAAGAUCUGGGCACAUGCUGCCAAGGUUUUCAAGAUGGUGUGUUGGCUCAAUUCAUUUUCUGUUGUCAUUUUCGUAAAUUUUGCCCGACUUUGCGAAAUGGCUAAAUAGAUAUUACCAUAAACAAUAAUAAUAAAUUUAUGUUGUCAUUUCUUGUCUUCCACCAUCCCUAUAAACAACGAGUGUUCAAUUGUUCAUCAACCUGGCGUAUGCUACUACCACAACAGGAAAGGUCGUUUUUAAACUGAAAAAAAUAAACAUUGGGUCGUGUCUAUCUUCCAUGAUUUGUUGGUAUUCUAUUUUUAUACUUCAUCAAUUUUAAAAGCACCAUAACUUUAAUACUUUUGGCUCUGAAUCUUCUUCUUUGUUACUAGUAUUUUUUUUUCUCUGAAGAGCUAUACCCUUUAACAAUUUUUUUCAUUAUCUCGUUGAUGAUGGUCUCCACUUUUUCCUCUACAGGUAUGAUGGACUAUAUGGGUGCGCAAUGCACUUAUAUGAUCCGAUGGUGAUUCAGUUCGAUCAAUUUUCUGUGGUUCUGUUGGAUUAUCCUCUAGAAUAGGAGUAGAUAGAUGAUGACAAUUGAUAAAAAAAAAAAAAAGAGUAUGAUGGACUAUAUUGUUUAUUCUCCUAUUGUGAACUGUUGAUCCAAAUCUGACAAAGACCACCAAUUACACUCAUGCAUAAUUAUAUUUCAGGCAUCUCUAUCUAUCGAUAUUAAAAUUCAAAAGAGAAGCAUUAAGCAAUGAUUAACAUGGACAUGUACAAAUUUAACGGGUUGUCAUUCUUGGGGAGAUUAGAAAACCAGUAAAGCAAUACGAGUAAUUAUUGUUUAUGGUUUAGUUUACAUGUGGAUACCAAAAUUAAUUGGUGAAGAUAUUCCACGUACUUGAAAGCACUUGCAGUGCUUGGAAGCUAGAUCUCAAGAUCCUGCAAAUUGUUGGGAUCUGACAAGGUUGUAUUGUACACGAGAUCAGAUUUGCGAAUCAGUAGUGCAGCUGCGUGAGAAGGGCAAAGUGGUGUUUGCCGAUACUACUGUCAAGUGGUUGGGAUCUGUUCAUCUCCAAAAGGGAGUUCUUAGAUUCCAUUUUGAGGUACCACUAGUUCUAAAGCUCUGUCCUAAUAGUGGUGUCUCUUGAAUUUUGAUGGAGUGUAACUGAUAGAUAUAUUAUAUGCUAAUGUGGAAAUACAAAAUCCAUUCUUGAUCAUAAUUUAACAAGCAAACAUGUAGGAAUCACUUCAUUCAAAGUUUUUAUUACGAAGCAAUUAAUAAAGAAAGUAAUAAAUUUGUCAAUUUUACUUGAGACAUAGGUUGUGAAAGAAGCAUUCCUGGAAACAAUCCAAGAGGGCGUGGGAGAAAACUGGAGCGAGGAAAUGAGGAAUGCCUUGGCAGCAGCAAUUCAAGGUGAGAUGCAGGCAGAGGUUCGUUAACGUCCAGAUGUAAAAUCUAUGCAAUGACCAGAAAUGACCAGAAAUGCUAUGUAAAAUCUCGCAAGGGUUUGAGUUGAAAAUAAAGUCAGUGAACUUGACCCUAACAAAGUAAGAUUUCCUCAUCUAGCAUAAUACCUAAGGCAAAAGAGUUAAUCUUAGAGAUUAUAUGAUUCUUAUCACUUCUAACUAAACAAAAGGAGCACAUUUGAAACACCACUCUUAAUUGAAGAAUAUCUUCCAUCAAAAUCUGUUGUUGGCAAGAGUGUGGUAUCUGUUUAGUUAAAAUUAUUGCAUGAAGUAAAUUUGUAUUUGUUGAUUUGAGUUGCAAAUUUUGAUUGUUUUAUAAGCAAAUUAUGCAUUUUUUCUGGGUUUAUUGUUUAUUGUUUAAAUAAAAUUUUUGGAUAUUUUAAAAAAAUAUUAUGGUUGUUAUCUAAUUGUAAUUUUUUUACCAUCUUUUUCUUAUAAGAGUUAUUAUUUUAGUUUUUCUUUCAUGCUUUUUGUUAAUUUCGUCCUGAGCCUUUGUGUUUUUUCUGGAGCAAAUAGUUGUAUGUCAGUAUGGCCAUUAUCUUUUUGCUAUUUUUGCUUGCGAAAUGUUGGCAAAAGACAAAUUUGAAUUGCUCUUGGAAACUUCGUUUUUGAGUGAACAAAUAGCUCAAGGACAGAAUUUAAACCUUCCAACGCAAACCAAAGGAAGUUUACAAUGAAAAAAGUAAUAGACAUGUCCAAAAAGGCACCAAAUAGCUGAUCAACAAAACAAUAUAACAGGCAAAACUUAAGACAGUGACUUAAAGCUUAGAGAUAAGUAAAAAUAAGAUAAAAACAAAAGAAGAAGCAACAGGCAAGAAACCAAACAGCAACAAAGAUUGAAUGUAAUGUACACGCUAUGUAUAAUAUAUAGUGAUGUACAUACUAAAGAUGCAUAAAGAAAACAAAAGAAAGGCGGGAAGAAAAAGUGGAAAACCUGAAGAAGCAGAUUGAAGUUAAAAAACCAAUGCAGAUGAAGAGAAAAGAGCAAAUGUCUUCUGGCGCUCUUUUUUCCCCCGCCGCAGUAAAACCGAAACCAAAUAUUAGGGUUGAGUGAUAAGCAAAUCCCUAAUUGGUCCGUGGAACUUGAACCUGGAGAUUGGGCUUUUCCUUUGCCAAUGGGUUGGGAGUUGCCGAAUGGCAGUAUUGGGUAGAUUUAAGCUCAAGCCGAGGUCCACGCGGGUACCAUUUCAAUGUGCGACUUCUUUGACGUUGUUCUAAUCCCUCCUCUUCUUUGUUACUAACACUUGAAUGAAGGCCCUACCAGGACUCAAAUAAGGAACUUGCAAAAAAAAGGACUCAAAUAAGGAGGACUCAUGGACAGCUCGGUUGGUCUCAACAAGCCUCCUUAAGAGCUGGUGUUCAGUGUCCGCAAAGGUUCGAAUCCAGUGAUUAUCGUGUUCAGGAGGAUGGGGCCUCUCCUCCAGGGUCGGAAUGGGAUUAGUCGGUCCCCGUAAGAAUUGACCCGAACACCUACUCCGUAAUAAAAAAAAAAAUGAGGAUGUAGUGAAAAGGGUGCCGUAUCGGUUCUAAUCUAGCACUACCGACAUACAUUACGAAAUAUAGCCAACGACUGAUUGCGCGCAGAACUUGAAUGCAAAUUUAUGCACAGAAUCAUGACUAAACUAGGGCUUGUUCUCGGUUGUUUUAAAUUUUACAAAAUCUGAUUAUAGAGAAUAAUCAGAAUUAGCAAAAAAUACUCUUUAAAUGAUUAUAGUUUUUAGCUUUUAUUGAUUUAAAAAAUCGAUAAUCAAAAUGCAAAAAAAUUGAGAACAUCAUAAAAAUUGAUUAUCUAAAAUCAGUAUCUGUCAUCAACCGAGGACAAGCCCUUAUUCAAUUACUUGGUGACGUAGAUAGUACUCAUAUUAAUUGGCAGUUUGCAAGGUCUUCCAGCUAAGUUAUUGCGAUCCUAUAGUCAUAUAAUCUUUUUUUAAAAAAAAAAAAAAAUUUUUUUGCUGCAAUGAAAAUUCACCAGCAUAUGUGAUGAUAUAUAUCUUUGUGAAAGCCCCAAUGGGCCACCAAGCCAAGGAACGAAAGAUCUUAAUUGAAGUGGGGAAUGGGAGUGGACGCGGAAUGGUAAAAAAAAAAAAAUUGCUGCAAUGAAAAUUCACCAGCGUAUGUGAUGAUAUAUAUCUUUGUGAAAGAACCCCAAUGGCCACCAAACCAAGGAAGUUAGGGCUGCAAACGAACCGAGCGGUUUGGCUCGCGAGCGCCUCGAGUCAAGUUCAAGCUGACUCGAGCUCAAAAUGUUAAAUAUUAAGCUCGUUAGGCUCGCGAGCUCGAGUAUAUAUAUAUAUAUAUUAUUUUAAUAGUAAAAUUACAUAUAUCCUUAAUAUUUUAUUAUUUAUUAAGAAAAAAAUAUUAUUUUAUUUAUUUUUUAUUUUUCCGAGCUCGACCUCGAGUUCGGCUCGAAUCGAGUCAAACUCGAGCUCGAGUUUUAAAUUGUUAGCUCGUCGAGUUCGAGUUCGACUUCGAGUUCAACAAAAAUAAGUCAAGACUCGACUCGAUUAGGUCAAAAUUCGACUCAACUCGACUCGUUUACAGCCCUACAAGGAACGAAAGAUUUUAAUUGAAGUGGGGAAUGGGAGUGGACGCGGAAUGGUAAACAGACUUAAUCUUGGACGCUCAUCUAAAAGAACUUCAGGGGGUCAUUUUGUAAACCACAAGAGCAAAUAAACACUCCAAUUUUCAACUGAUAAUAAGAUACAAAGCAAAUUUGAAGCAGGGAUUGGAUUAGCCACUACAACCGAAGGCGCCUACACGGUGAAAUCGAUUUGUACCUUAGAUCUGCACGGUGAAAUUAUAAUUCGUUUUCUGAAACUCUGCAUAGUAUAUAUUGGCUUUUUCUUUUUUAGCUUUCAUACUCGAGAGAAUGAUAUUGACAAAAUACGGACGAAACUAAUUUAUGUACCUUGGAUUGGCGCAGCAACUACCGUGAAAUGGCGAGCCAGCGGCCAAGGAGUAGGCCCAAGCAAGGUGGUCGCGCGACUGGACUACCAUACAUUUACAUUAUUAUAAAUAAAUAAAGAAGUCCGUAUUGUCUCUAGUUUGAUUCAACUUUAAGACUUUGAAUCUUCAAACUGUCCAAGGCUGAAUUACUGAAUUACGGAAAUUCAGGCUUCAGAGUUUCAGUGUGGACGUAUUCAGUAAAUAAAUUUCUGUAUAUAUAUAUAUAUGGCCACCACCAAAGUAUUUAAUGAUAGGUGACAUGAGAGGUCAAGGAUUCAAACAUUAUUUCUUAUCAUUUGCCAAUAAAAUGUGACAUAAAAUGUGACAGGUCACUUUAAGUGGCUUUUAGACGAGUGCGUAGUGCAUUCGUUUGGGUCGAUAGAUGGUUCAAUCUCCUUCGAUUUUCUUUUGAUCCUAUGCAGGUCCCCCUUUUCAUAGUAUAGAAUAAGUGUAGAUCUAUCGCCGUGUCCGACAAAAAAAAAAAAAAAUCAGAGAUUGGCAUUCAUGCAUGCAUGUCCAAGUCCAUGAGGUCAUUCAUGAUUCAACAACCCAUAUGCAAUUGACCAUUACCAAAGGGCGGGGAUGAGCAAGGGAACCCAUUUGGUCAAGGUAGGUAGCCACCAUAAGCCCACACAAAUCUAAUCAAUCCAACAAGAAUUAGUCAUUACUCGUUACUAAUUAUGGUCUAGAAGCUAUCCUGAUGAUCUUCACAGUUUGGCCAGUGGCCUGUGGCAUUUGCUGCAUAAGAUGUUACGUGCACGUCGAUUGCUAGGCUGGGAGUGUCGAUUUCUUGCCAAAAGUUGCUGAUCAGGACCAUUAAUAAUGCACAAUUCUAUUUGCUCAAGCAACCUUCGGUGCAUGUUACAGCGAUUAGUUAAAUAAAAAAUUGAUGGACAUAUCAGCAUAAAAAUAAAAAAACAACGUCAUUUGAUACAUAUCUCUUAUUGAAUUGCCAUUCCUAAAUGGUAAUCCAUCAAUUUUAAUGUGUGUGUGUUGCGUUCUACUUUUCUACAUUUGUCAUUAGUCAGUCAAACUUAAUAAAAAUAAAAGGAAUUAGGAUUAACAAUUAACUUGUCAUUUCAUAUAUUUGAACCCCACCAGAGCAUUUCUAAUAGCAGCAUGACGUAUUAAUUCAAAUAACUAGGUCUAGUAAAGUAGCUAUUAGUAAUUAUUUCAGGUAACUUAAGCACGAGUUUAAUUAAAUAUCAUUGAGUGUAUUUGGAUAUAUAGUAAAUUAUUUACACAAAUUUAUUUUUUAAUUAUUUUUUUAUCUCACAUAUCAUAUCAAAAAAGUAUUAUAGUAUCUGUUUUAAAAAAAUUAUCCCAAAUAAUUUCUUGUCCAAGCACACUCGUGACAAUUGGAUAAGGAUUAGGAAGCUUAGUGAGACAAAAUUGCUCACAGUUUUAAGUGGAUGUAAUUGUAGACCAUGCAAUGAAUGAAAGGCAAAGGACAAAGGAUUUUUCGGCUGGGACUUGGUUGCCAUUCCCUCCCGAAACCAAACCUAAUUAUAUGUAUAUAAUAAUAUGCUGCUAGUGCUAGAUACGUUCUGAAAAGAUGUUCUACAAUUGUGGCUGCUCGUUUCUAGUCAUAGAUUUUUACUCAAAAUUUUAUGUCCUUGUUGUAAUAGGCUCUUUGACUUGAGAGGAUCGGGGCCAUCAGGCAGGGUGGGACCCAUAUGCUGUCUCUCUAGAUGCUUAGAUUUGGCUGACGUGAACAUUUCGAAAUUAAUCACGUCCAUGUAUCCUAUAACCAAUAUUUUUAAACUCAAACUCCAGAGCGAACAAAAAAGCUUUUAAUUUACGGUUUGAUUGGUUCAAUUUCAGUUCAAAGAUUUAAGAAUUUUUAUUUUAGUAUGAAAAAUUUGAUAAAAUUGAAAUAUUUAUUUUAGAACAUAAAAAUUUAAUAAAACCCAUUUUUAUUGGCCCAACUAAUUCUUAACCAAUUCAAUUGAUUCUUUGGAUUAAUCAUUGAAUCGGGUCGAAAGCAUGAUCGGUUCGUGAUUCAAUCGAUCGAACUGACUGAUUCAUCUGAUUUUCAGAACAUCACCUAUAACUUGCUCACUAGAUUAGUCAGUCAUGACACAAUUACUAGAAGACUUUAUUUAUGAAUUUCAAAAUAAUACUAUUGUCCCUUUUGUGAUUGUCUCACAAGCAUAAUAGCAAAGAACAAAGGAAUAAUACGCUAGGUAGCUCACUACAAAAAAUUCCAAGUCGUUACAAUUAUUAGGUUUAAAUGCACCGAAAGUGCUUGUAUUACUCUGCUAGUCUAUUAUAACUAAGUGUACAUCUCGAUCUUUUCUAGAUCUUGUUUAAAAUUAAAAUUAGUUUCUUAACUUGAUUUACAAGUCUAAUUUUAGUUAUAUAUAUAUAUUUUCUAAUUUUAAAUAAUCCACGUGUCACAAGUAGAUUAAAUAGUAAUUUAUUUUGUUGGUGGUAUGAAUAACACGAUCGUCAAAAAGAAGGAAAAAACAAAAGGCUCAUAAUUUAUUACUAAAUGAGUGGCAGAUAGUGAGCUAGAUAUGUCGGUAGUUAAACAGGAAGCGCCAAUCUAAAUGUUUUUUUUUUUUUUUCCCAAAGAAGUUUGACAACCAAAAAGAGAAUGGGAAUCUCAGUCAAAAAAAGUCGAAAAUUUCUAUGGCAGUCAUUGAGUAACUUUAUAGAAAGUUCUAUAAAUUGUCCAAUAGUUAAUCACAUCUUGCCAUCUAAAUAAUCAAUAGUUCUUGCCGUCCGUCAAAUUUUAAUUAAAUUCUAUCACUUAUGCCCACAUGAGAUGAUUUUUAAGCAAAACUAACAGCUUAGUUCACACAAGCUCUACCCCUGUUGUGCAUUUUAAUCAAAUAGUUAAUAGACCCAAAAUUUUGUCAUUUCUUAUCUAUUAACAUUAACCCACGCUGAAAGCCAUUAUUAACGUAUACCCAAAUCCAGUACGAGAUUAAAUCAAUAUUAAAACAAAUAAUAGAUUAACUCAAGCGACAAUUUACUAACUUUCGUAAAAUCACAAGCCAAAUGUAUGCAUAGCUUUUGAUUAAUUGUUGCAUUCAUCUUCCAUUGUAGAUUACAUGCAUGGAGUAGAGAGCACUUUCCUUUUUUUCUUUUUUGGAAUUGAAACAGAUGGAGAAUUGUUUUUUUUUUUUUUGCCCUUUUUCCUUUUUCUUUUCUUUGUGCUUUGUAAAAAAAAAUUGUAAAAUACGAAAAUUUGAAUGAUUCUUAAUUGGAAUCAAGUAUUUCUUCUUGAAAUUAAGGACACAAAAAGUCCCUAUCCGAGUUGGUUUUUGACCUCUAGUAAACUAUACCACUUCUUUCAAUGAGUUCAAACUAGGAAAAAGAAAAUAUCGUGACUGCUGGUGAUAUUAUUGUAUCGGACGGCAAUGCGGUAGAGAGAGAAAGAGGAGGUGGUGAGGUUAAGUUUGUGCUUGAUCAAAUCCACAGUGAAACAUUAGAGCAAGAAUAUUGGUACAAAACAAAGUUAGUAAUCAGAUGUAUAUAACAAUAAUGAAAAGUGGCAGACCCUUUAAUAAUAUAUUUGAAGCUUUUUACUAUUCAAUGACCAACUAAAUGUUUAGACUUGUCAACUAAUUGAUCAUUGAUCACGGUAAAGUUUGACAAGAUGCAUUAGUCUUAAGUUUACAUGUGCAUAAUGUGAAAACUGAAAAUUCCAUAAACAUAAACUUAAUUAAUACUACUUCCUUUUCAAGUCUUAGUGGGAAAUAUAUUUUAUACAUAUAUAUACACACACACACACUCACACACACGGUUUAAAGUUUCAGUUUUAUGAAGUGUAUUUAACGUACGGCCUUCAAAUGAAUUAAAAAGGGUUUUAUAAGCUAAAUAUGUUUGAUGCUUGAUAACAUCUUUAAUUACAAGAUUACACGUUCGUUAAGAACGUCUCUCGGGUUUUUGCUUUGUUUAAUAAUUAGCCAAGACUAACAUUGCCAUAUGAGAUGAACUAGAUUUAUAUCAGCAGAUCAGUAGACCUACUUAAGAACGAAUAAAAUUCCGCUUGCUGGUGAAGAAUCUUCGGUCAAGAUAGGUAAACAGGGGGGAGCUGAAAAUUGAAAAUGUCCAGUUUGGGUCCACGUAGCAUGAAGAUACUUUUCUUUUCCAGGUGCCUUGUCCUCUCCGCGGUACGACUAAACCAGGUCAACGCAGGUUGUCGCUGCAUGGGAAGAAAGGAAGAAAUAUAGUAGAAUGGAACAAGUCCAAAAGACAUGCAGAUUCAGACAACGCAAAACCCUGUUUUAGUAAAACUUCAUACUGCUUCUCCCAUUGUUUUCCUUGCCUCUAUAUAUGAUACCCAAAUCCCUAUUCAUUUCUCAUCCCACUACAAUUACCAUUCUCUAGACCUAAGGUUUUCUUGGUCCACUUUCUCCUACGUCAAUUUUCUUGCAGUGCAGGGCCUGUAACUUCACCUUAAUGCUAUUGGAACCCUUUUUCAGACUAACAAAGUCUUUGAGAGCUUAAAGUCCUUCCAAAUACAUUCGCUUAUUGGUGGACGAAUCUUUUAUCAAACAAUGGCUCCUGGUUUAAGUCUUGCAGGUGAACUUCACAGGGACGAUGAGCAAUUAGAAAGCAGAUAUCAGAAAGGAGUUCAAUAUCUCUACGAAAAUAGUAAUGGCAUCAUGAACAGAGUUCCAACAAAGUACAUAUUGCCUAUCUCAGAAAGGCCGAAUUCGAGGACCGAAGAUCAUUGCAAUGCAAGAAGCACAAAUCUCAACUUGCCUGUUAUCGAUUGUGCUGAGCUACAAGGGCCCGAUAGAUCCCAAGUUAUUCAAUCCUUAGCAAAAGCUUGCGAGGAAUACGGAUUUUUUCAGGUAGCUUUUGGGGUUUGACGUUGGUUUCAGAAAACUAUGGCGUAAACUUAACAGUACUAAUGUUUUUGGUUAACGAUGCAGUUGGUAAACCAUGGGAUAUCAAGAGAAAUCAUACAGAAUAUGAUCGAUGCAGCAAGAAGAUUUUUCGAGCUUUCUUUUGAUGAGAGAGCAAAGUACAUGUCUUCAGAUAUGUUUGCACCAGUUCGAUAUGGCACAAGUUUCAAUCAAAACAAAGAUAAAGUUUUCUGCUGGAGAGAUUUCUUAAAACUAAGCUGCACUCCCAUCUCAAAUUCUCUCGAAUAUUGGCCAUCUUCUCCUAUAGAUUUCAGGUAUGCGUUCUUUGAUAAGUUAUUUUUGUGAAAUUUCGUACUGCUAAUGAACUAAGCUAGUCCAAUAUUCAAUAAAUACAUUGUGUAUUUCAUCAGUAAAUAAGACUUAUGCAGGGACCUUUUUCAUCAACUGAAACUCCUAAUUCCCUGUCUUUGAUGCUGAUCAGAUUCUACUGUUAUAUAUACUACAAGUACUAAAAAUUCUUAUCGUUUUCUGAUUGAAGGAAGGUAGCUCUUAACUACGCCAAUCAAACUAAAUCCUUGUACCUGAUGUUAAUGGGUGCAAUUCUUGAGAGCCUAGGGUUGUUGGAGGAACCCAUGGAAGAAGCGAAUGGCAAUCCAAUUCUGAAAGAAUUCGAAGAUGGAAGCCAACUCAUGGUGUUAAAUUGCUACCCUCCGUGUCCGGAACCUGACCUAACCCUUGGAAUGCCGGCUCAUUCUGAUUAUGGCUUGCUCACACUUCUUCUCCAAGACGAGGUUAAGGGACUUCAAAUAGAGCAUCAAGGAAACUGGCUCACGGUUGAACCCGUUCCAAACUCCUUUGUUGUUAAUGUUGGUGAUCAUUUGGAGGUCCGUUCAUCUUAAUUUUAACGUGAUCAAUUUUUUUUUCCAAGUUACGUUACCAUACAGCUUGUGGAUUCAUUUGUAUGUCUGCAUUCCGCAAGAAAAAAAAAUAUCCCUUUGAAUUAAGGGCAACAAAAGGAGGUCGCAAUGGGUUGGAGGAACCCCUUGGAGAUUUGAUCAAUUGACCUUUUUCUACUAAACUACAUAUAAUUAUACUUGUAGUUCUUCACAUGGGGAAAAAAGUGUAGCGUAUUAGCUAGCAAAGAUUUCUCUAAAUUCUAAGAAUGGAGAUAAUAUUAUUUAAUGAUAGUCCAGCAUUUUAAAGAAGAUGAGAAAGAAAAAGAAAAGGCACACUCCUCGUAUUACUGGAAUACAUGAAGAAGUUGACAUGGCCUCUACACCUAAUUAAGCCUUUUAUUUACACAGGAAAACCUAAACCAAAACGCCAUUCAGCAAAAAUAGACCCGAAAUGUUUUUAGUUCAUAAGCAAUAUCUUCUUUGGGUUUGCUUUUAACAUUUUAGCAAUGAUUUCAUGUAUUUUAGUCUCAAUUUCUUGCGAAUGAAGAUUAAAUCUUGGUCUGUUUUUGGUUUGAUUGGCAGAUAUUUAGCAACGGGAAAUACAAAAGCGUGCUGCAUAGGGUUCUUGUGAAUUCCUCGAACCAUCGAAUAUCUAUUGCCUCAUUGCACAGUCUGCCUUUCGAUUGUGUGGUUCGACCAUCGCCUAAGCUCAUAGAUGAAACCAACCCCAGGCGUUAUAAGGAUACAGAUUUCGCUACAUUUCUUGAAUACAUCUCAUCCCGUGAACCCAAGACCAAGAAUUUCCUGGAAUCCAGGAAAUUGAUGUGAUACUCAGAACAAUUUCCAAUUCUCUCCAUCACUCCAAGAAAGAAAAACAGACUAAAGUUUUGAAUGUAGCGCUUGUUACGUAUUAUACAUGUGCUCAAGAUGAGAAAUUUCUUUUAAUUCCUUUUUUGAAUUGUUUAAACAGCAACGUGCAUUGGUUCUGAACUUUUCUUUGUGAUGAAGGCAGGGGAAGAAAAUGAAGGAAACAUUUUCACGACUGAUAAAGUCACGGCACUAGCUAUAAACGCUCUUCAUUUUUAGUCUCGUGCACUUCCAAUCGUCACAUAACCGAUGACUUUUCCUUUUUUUUUUUUGUAGAACAAAUGAUUUUUUUAUUUGGCUUUUUGGUGGAGGAAAUUACUCGAGAAACCCAAGUCCUCCAAAUUGACUUGACUUCUCUUCAGUGGAUUCUCUCUCCAUUUUUCACAAAUCAUAUCUAAAUAUAUAACAUGUGUCUUCAUUUAUUAAUAAAUGUUAGGAUUAGUCAAAUUUAAAAUGAUAAUGUUCAUUUCUAAUAAAUGAAAAUACAUGUCACGUAUUCAGAUUUAUAUUGUGAAAAAUGGAGAGAGAAUCCACUAGAGAGAAGCCAAAUCCCCUCCAAGUCCCAUAUCGAUCAGAAAAGGAGGAAGAGGAUGUGUAUAUAAGUUUGAACUCAUGAACUAUCAAAUAACCUAGAUUAAGCAUUUGUGAAUUUUUUUUUUUUUUAAAUGAAAGGAUAUUUUAUUAAAACUGAGAUAAAACCUGAGUACACAAAAAGGAGGAGGGCCGCCACCUUACCUCCUGAACGAAAAGCGGUUAUAAUCGGUAUAACUUGGACUAGCGUAUUUUAAUUGUGACUAAAUGCUAUAUAGGACUAAGUAUCACAUUAUAAUGUGAGGCAGCUCCAAACUUGUUCAGGACUAAGUGCCUCAUCAGAUUUAGUAUGAGUAGUGGAUAAUUUGGACUACGAGAGGUUUUAAGAGUGCAAAGGUCAAGGUCUUAAAUAGGUGAACGAGAAUAAUUUGAAUUAAUCAUUUCAAACUCGUAAAUUCAAGGUGUGAUAGGUUAUUUGUGAAGCACAGAGCUAAUCGACUUACUUAUUGAUAAUAAAUCGUUAAAAAGUGGAAUGCUUGUCUCUAACUAUUUGCUUUCACCGACUGAUAGAGUUUCCGUAUUCUUUCUUUUUUUUUUUUUGCAAAAAUAAAAUUUCUAGAUAUAUAAUUAUGUUGGCAUGGACUACAUAUACAGCCUAUUGCUGAGAUUUGCUAAAUCCUAUAAUCAUGGUGAACAUCUUGCAAUUUCUUGUGCAUCAUCAAGGAAUUAUUAAGCAUAUUGAGAUGCAAUAUGAUCAAACUCAAACCUUUUUUUUUUUCUUUUUUGAGGGAUCGAACUUAAACUAAGCCUAUUGACAUGUAUCAGUUUUAGUUCCAGUUUAGAUCAAACUUAAUAAACUAAUCGGUCUGAACAAUACUUUAUCAUUUGAUUUUACCUAUACAAAGUCUCAUUUGCGUGGUGAUAGAUAUAUACGCGCGAGUGCAUAAGGCGAGUUAACUCGUCAAGCGCAGUCAGUUUGGACCAGCAAGUUUGCAUCUAGCACUCGACAAAAGACCAUGCUACCCAAUCUCGUACUUGAACAAUGCAUAGAGCGGCAAGUUAAUAGGCCAGAAAACCCUCUAGUUUAUCGAAUUGAUACUUGGAUAAUAACAAGUGAAAUAAAUGCACGAGCAUUUAGGUCAACCAAUAGACAGGUUUAGCAUGAUCCAUAGUUUUUUUUUUUUUUUGGGGUUGAUAUUUUCCUAGAUAGUAUUUUCAGGAUAGUGUAGGCAAGAAAAUUCAUGCACUUUCUCGAUGAUUGUCUCCCUCAAACACACGCGUUAAAUAAGGGUUAGCUUUCGAGGGGGAAAAUUAGGCUGCAUCUUAAAUUCGAAAAGAAUCCCUUUAUAGCGGAUCGAUUCAUUCGCUUGUUCAGGGCCACAACAUUUGACUACAGAGGUUUUAUCAUUUAUGUCGCAAGUUUUUAUUAGUUCCAGAGUGCGCUUGCAGUCAUUCGACGGGUCUUCAGGCUCUGAUGUGGUUUCUGCUGAAGAAUCAAAGGUAUCUUUUAAUGGGAUGCUUCCAAGGAAUCAAUGUUCAGUGUUUUGAAUUUCUCACUGGAUAUAUUUCUAGAACAUGAUUUUGAAGAAGCUAAGAUGGAAUAAUGGUAAAAAUAUCUUGUUGACAAGAUAAAAAAAUAAAUAAAUAUUCAAGAGUGUCUAGAAAAGAUAGUAGUACUCCCAGCCUAGAAGAAUAUGGUUAACGGAUACAUAUUUCACGAAUUAGCCACAAGAAUUCUCAUAUUAUAGACGGUGAAAUCAAUUAACUCCUGCAUGUUGAAUAAAAUCAAUAGAAAUUUCAGAUCCUUCUAGUUAGCACCAAACUCGCCUUUAAGACUACAUAUUUCAAGUCGUUAUUGAUGAUUUUUCUUUUAAUAAGUUCUAUCAUGCAUUUUCUACAGAUCAAACUUUAGCUUGCUGUGUUAUUUAUGUCGAGACAAACUAUGACGGGCCGGAUUGAACAUUUCUUUUCAAUGCUAGACUUUCGUUGCUAUGAAUGAAUUUGUUAAAGAUUGGUAAGAGGAUCAGCUGUUUCUUCAUCCUCUUCUGCCUCUCAACUGCUUCUUUAAUUUGCUUCUUGGGAUCGCAAGUUGGUAAUUCAGGCUGAUCCAGAUAUCAAAUUCAGAAGAGAGAGGGAUUCCGGAUGCGAUUAACUUUUGCGACGGGAUAUUGUUUCUGCAUGGUUCGAGCGUACCAGCAGAACCUGAUGUUGUUAAGCAUGUUUCAAGGAUGAAAAGUAGCAUCUAUACUACCACGAUUGAAGAUCCAAUUGUUGGAUAGAAAUGUCUUUGCGGUCACCAUAUUGACCUUUGUGACUACGGACUACCAAAUAUGAACAAGAAAUGUAAUCCAACAGUACGUGAUAAGCUAGCUAGGGUUUCGUUUCUCAAAGAAAAUUACUAAUCAGACAAACUAUAACACCAAAAUGGCAUGGUUCCUUGUCAGAGCACCAUACCGUCAUCUUUCUGACAUUUUCUUACGAAAGUAAGAAUUUUUGGCAAAUAAACCUAACUCCCCACAAUAACUUCAAAAGCCGGUAACUUUUGGAGUCCUGUGAGGGACUUAUAAACCUAAACCCCAACCCCCCCAUUACCGAUGUGGGAUAGAAAACCCCACAGGGGUGCCCCGCUGCUAAGAGAUAAAGACCCCCCAAGCCCCCUGAGAAUGAGUUUUCUUUCUGACAUUUUCUUAUGAACCAUACCAUACCGUCAUCUAGGCAAGGAAACUUUUGAUUUUUGUCAGAAACUGGACCCACUUUAAAGACGUGAAAGGGAACAACCAAAAUUAAAUGGAGAGCUUUAAGGGUUUGGUUGGCCUCUUCAAGUAGCACUUUUCUACAUGAUAACUCUAAAAAAUGGGGUCUAAAUUAAUAUAAUAUAUCCCUCGUGACUUUCUGGAUGCAUUCAACUAAAAGCAAAAGAAAAUCUAUUUCAGAGAUGUAAUCUAGUUACUUUUAGCUCGAUUAAAGUCUUAAAAUAUUGGAUAUAUACUCAACAAAACGUAUUAUCUGAUCUUUCGGAGACUUGGUAAAUUGAUUAAUUGAUCUCCAUAUCUAUACAUUUUCCUCUUCAUGUUUUGCUAGGAAAAGUUUUUAUCAUCCAUGCAAUUAUCCAACUUCUUUUAUAUGGUCAAAUCAUUAACAUUUGUUGAAAAAGAAAUGUUAAAAAACACUGAUAGUGUCACGACUCGGGUCCAAAGGCUGGCCCAAGUAAUUUUUGAAUCAAAAGUCAUUGACCCAAAAUGGUUAACCCAAAUUACCUAAUAGCUCAAGGAUCCAAGUUUUUAUAUCUUUCCUUUCCUUUUUCCCACCACCGAUGUGGGAUGCCUCAUUCUCCCUGUCUUUAGGACUUUGCGUCCUCGCAAAGGACGUCAGAAUUCAAAUUAUCCACUUGGUUCAAAUUAUACGAGCUAAACUAUUCACUAGGUUCAAAUUAUACGGACUCUAGAGGUGACUCCCGUCCGACGUGAUACUUAGUCUCGCAGAUCCUAGAGGUAACCCCCGUCGAACGUGGCACUUAGCUCUUUGCACAGAAUCAUAAUCCGCUAGUCCAAGCUCAUCCCGUCGAAUGGAGCACUUAACCCCUUGCACUCCCUUGCACAGUCAAAACCAUAACCCGCUGGCUCAAUCUCACCCCACGCAGGUGGGCACUCCCUUGCAUAGUCAGAACUAGGGGUGUGCAUCGAAUUCGAAAUCGAUAAUUCGGAAGUUUGAAUUGAAAAUUUUUCGAAAUUUUGAUAUUUGAUAAUCCGACCGAAUUCGAUUUCGAAUUCACCAAUUCCAAAUUUGAAUUCGUACCGAAUUCAAUUCGGAAUUCGGUAAAUUUCGAUUUCACCGAAUUCGAAAAAAUUUAUAUAUUAUUAUAUAAUAUAAAACUUAUAAUAUUAUAUUAUAUAAUAUAAAUUUUAUAUUACAUCUAUAAAAAAUAUAUAUAUUAAAAAUGAAAUUGAAAUCGAAAUCGGAAUUCGAAUUCCGAUUUGAAUAACUCCAUUACCGAAUUCAAACCAAAUUUGAAAUAUAUGAAUUCGGAAAACCCGAAUUCGAUUCCGAUUUCCGAUUUACCGAUUUGGAAAAUUCCAAAUUCAAUUGGAAUUCGGUCGAUCAAAUUGAAAAUUUUCAAUUUUGCACACCCCUAGUCAAAACCAUAACCUGCUGGGCUUACCUCACGCAGGUGAUCCCCGUCGAACGUGGCACUUAGCUCCUUACACUUCCUUGCGUAAUCAAAUCGUAAUCCGCUGACCUAAACUCACCCUGUCGAACGGGGCUAUCGUUGGCCCAGGCUCACCCCAUCGAACGGGCAUUUAGCUCAUUGCACUUCCUUGCAUAGUCAAAAUCAUAAUCCGCUCCUCCAUACUCACCCCACGCAGGUGGUCCAAGUAUCGUUAGGGUCCAACUGUUAUGACUCGGAUCCAAGAGUUGGUCCAAGUAAUUUUUGGACCAAAAUUCAAAAAUAAUUAACCCAAAUUACCCAAUAACAGAAUUAGGGACACAAGUUCUUAUACUUUUCCUUUCCUUUUUUCCACCACCGAUGUGGGAUACUUGAGGUAGCAAGAGCUUUUGAUUAAGACUCAACUUGCCAAAAUUAUAAAAACAGGUAACAACCUCACCUAUUAUCAAAUAACCCUAAAGACAUCUGCCAGCAAAGUAGAUAUAUGCAUAGAGGAACCCCAAUCCAUAUUGAUGAAGAUCACUGCCGUUUAAAGUGUUUACAAAGCCAGGUUACCUCAUCUGUUUAGCCAUAGCAGACUCGCCUAGAGUGAAGAAUGAGAUUGUAUCCGAUACCAAAAACAGGAGGUAAAGUCACAUUCGAAACACCUUUGUCUACAACAAAAGCUGCGCCAGGCAUCAUCAACCACUCCCCAGUCCCCAUUAAUGUAAUCUAUCCUGCUUGGUAGCCACAGAUCAAAUUGACCACCUUAACAUGUCCAAGAAGCUCAGAAAGGCACACACCCACACACAGUUGCGCUUCAAUUCAUAUAACUUAGCAAAAUAGGACAAAGAAAGAAAAAAAAAACAUUACGAAAUGUAUAAUAUCGAGUAUUCAUAGUAUUUGAAAAUUAUCUCCUCCCCGUGCCCUCUUUUUGAGUACCGAAAUAUAAUGUAAUCCAACAGUGAUAAGCUAGCAUUCAAUUUCACAUAAAAUUUAAUUAAGACAAAAUAUAACACUAACAUGGCAUGGUCUCAUGUUGCAAUAUCAUGUCGCAGCUUCAACCCAACGUGCAAACUUUGAUCUUUGCCAAAAACUGAACCAGCUCAAAGAUGUCAAAACCGAAUAAUCAUAAUGGACAAAUUUGGGGGCUUGAUAUCUGGGUGCAUGCAGUAUAGAUACAGAUGAUAACUCUUAAAAGAUUGGUUCAAUAUAUAGCAAAAUAUCACCCAUGAUCGAUAUUUGCGUACGUUCAGCUAAAAGCGAAAGAAAGUCAAUUUUAGAGAUGUAAACUAGUUGAUUGAACUCGAUUAAAUUCUUAGAAUGAUGGAUAUAUACUGAAUGAAAUAGAUUAUCUCAUUCUAUCCUUCGUCUUUUUGCUCUAGGAAAAGUUUUUUUUCCCUCCCAUUUCCACAUGCUAUGCAAGAACAAUGAACAUCUUCUCCGCUAUCUAAUGCAAUUAUGCAACUUGCUGGCUCCGUAACACCCCCCCCCCCCCAAUCUUUCCAAAAUUUUUUCCCGCCAUUAUCAAUAACAACACAGUUGGAUACAUAAAUUUGGCAACAUGGGUGGGGAACUCAAAAGGAUAUGGUGUCAAUGUAGGAGAGGAAGACACGAAAUAGGAUAUGGUUGGAGGCACCCAAUCGACUAUCCAACUAGUACAAGAAGUUGUCCAAAAGGGAGGAGGAAGAAAUCUAUAAAUAGGGUCGUCCUCCAAGCAAUUCAGCACAAAGCAAAUCAAAGAGAGCAGCAGCACUGUUCAUAACUGCUGAACCCGCCAGCCAAAGUUCUCUAAACUCCAAUAGCAGUUAGCACCAAUGGCUUACAGUUAUCGUAACUUCCUCCUUCUCUUUGCAUUCCUCCUCGUUUCAACCACAACUCCAUAUCUCAUGGUCUCCUCUAUAACGGACAGAAUGUAGCUGCAAUUGUGGUGAAGGGCGUCUUGGGCUGCAACUCAACCGGAAACCCUACACCAGGCUGCCUACCCCUCGCAUCCGUACCUGUUACUUUUUCCUGGGUCUUCGUUGCCGGUUUUCCAUACUACAACUUUUCUGAUGGAUCCUUUAGUUUCCUUAUAGCUGAUUUAACAGCAGUAGCAGCCUUGCCCCAUGCAACUGUACUGGCAGAACUCACUGCGGCUGUUAACCUGAAUGCCGUGACCAAUUGUGCUGCUUUACCUUCCACAGGUUAUCUCAGGUCUCCAGUUAAUAAAAAUUCUGCAUCUACAAUCCAAGGAUCGGCCACAGGAAUUACGCUUCCUGUCGUUGUUUCAGGGUUUACUUAUUCAGCUGCCUGAUUCCUAAUGCAGCUGCUUCAGUGUUUCGUCUCUCUUGUUUAUCCAAGUUGAUGAUUUGUUUCGUUGUUUUUAUUUCAUUUUUUCUUUUGCUAUCAUCGCCAAUGUUGUGUUCUGUUACCAAUAUCUCGUUGUUUGCAUCUUGACUGAAGCGUGUAAUCGCGUUUUUAGUGAAAUCAAUAAAUUGCAAUUUCAUUAUGUAACUGGCUAGUUAGGUGAUUUUGUCAACAACAGAAUGAGUGUUUCUUCCAUACGGAGGUCCUAUUCUGGUCAAGAUUUCAAUCAUAAAAACUGUUGGCGUACUGAAUAAACACUGUGGAUGCAAAUGCAAUUCUACUAUUCCUUAUCAAGAUACUUAAAUAUUCCCCCAAGUAUCACAUCACAUCCUACCGAAAUGGGAACAAAAUAUAUAAAUAAAUAAAACCUUAUGGGAUAGCUUCAAAUCCUAAACAGUCGGUAUAUGCUCAAUACACUAGUAAUAUUCCAAAGGAUUUAUGCACUUGAACCAGAUGAAUGUCCUCCUAGUAGACUUGUAUAGGCAGAUAAGGUACUACUUUUCUGGGGUUAUCUUGAGAAUGAUAGUAUAAAAGAACCAGAAAGGAAUGAAUUCAUGCUAAGUGAUAUUAACAACGCUAUAAAACAGCCAAACGACUAUUCUUGUUAUGUGAAUCUCUAGUGACUGGUAGUUCAAGAUUUUGCAUGCAUGCAUGUAUGCCCACACUGAUAAGUGAUAACCAUCCAAGCACGUUUUCAAUGUAUGAAUGAGUUGUUCCGUUUAGUCUCCAUUUCCUGUAUAUACGACUUACCACGCUAGAAUCAGAAAAAGUGAAAGAAACACCUUAGUCGCUAAAGGAAAAGUCUGAAGUAACGAGCGUUAUGAUAACGAAACUGUUUUUACUUGAUAUAACAGGUAAAAACACUUUUAGCGACCAUUUGAUUACCUGUUAUACUGGUCAUCUAAAUAAAAUAGUACCUAAAAAUAUGGUUAGUAAGUUUUACAUUAAAAAUAGUAAGUUAACUCAAGAAAUUAGUAACUUUUAUGUCUCAAAAAGUAAAUUUGAAGAAAUAUGGAACUUACUUUUUUUUUGAAGUAGAUAACUACUCUAUAUCUAAAACUUACUUUUUGGAGAGUAAGUUUAGUUCAAAUAAUAGUAAGUUUUUAUAGACUAAUAGUAAAUAUUGUUGAUAGAAUAGUAAAUUUGGGUUAAUCAUCAAAACUUACUAGUUUAUGGCAUAAAUUUACUAUUUUACUUAAAGAAACUUAUAUGGAACAAGUAUUAGGAAGUUUAUUUGAAAUAAUGCUAAGAUUUUUUAUUAAUAAUUGAAACUUAGUAUUAUAGUUAGUAAUUACUCGUAAUGUAAAUGUAUGAUACACAAUUGUACGUAUCAUUUAUAAAUGUUAUAUGUUUUAAGCAUUUUAAAUAAACUAUGAAAACUUUUUUUUUGCAUAUGACCUUAUAAAAUAUGUAAGAAUAAUUUGUCAUAUUAUAAAUUUUGAAUUAUUUUUGAAUUUGUAAAAGGUUAAAAAGUUUGGAUGACAGUAAAAAAAAAUCUUUUGAGUUAUAUAUAGAAUUGCACUUAUCUAUACAUCACAAUUUCCAUAUAUGGACACCGAUGAAUAUAAUAAAAUGGUACGCAAUUUUCAUAUAUUAAUGCCUAUGAAUUUAAUAAAAUGGUAAAAUCUUAAUAAAUUUAUUUUCUGGGUCACAAGUAUAAAAAUUAAAGUUGUAUUAACAUAGAAUAAUCUUUGAAAAUUAUAGUAAAAUUACCCAUAUGUUAAGUUUUGUGACUUUCAAACAUACUUUGUAUCAUUUACAUUAUGGAUUUGUAUCCAUAUGUUUUCUAUCAAACUCUUUUUUUAUUGGCAAAUGGUAAGUAAAUUAUUAUAAAAGGGCAUUUUAUAAUAAUCAUAAUUUUUAAUAGAUGAAUUUUAUGUAAACUGUUAAAAUUAUGAAUUCACAAACGACUAAAUCUGACUACUUUAUGACACAUAUUAGUCUAAAUGACUAAAAAAUUACUGUAAUCAUGCACACGUUGAUUGUUGAAUUGAAAUUUCUUUUAUUACUAGUACAAGUUCUUCUAAUCAAAGCAAAAUAAAAUCAAAUAUCUUUUCCUUUUGUAUGCAAUAGUUAUGCUUAAUAGAAAAUUAUUAAACCAUUUUUACAGUACAUAAUUUCUCCUAAAAUUUGUAACAUUUACCAUGACCUCUAACCUUGACAUUGUUAUUUAAUUUACCUUCUAAAUUUAAUUUAAUUUUCUUAUAUUAAUUGUUAUACUAAAUUUAUAAUUUUUGUUAUUAUAUUAUUUCUCAUUUUGUUUAGGCUUUUACUCUUAUUAUUUCUUGUGUCUCAGAUGUAAAUUUAUUAAAACUUUAUCAUCUUAUUAUAUUCAUAGGUGUUAAUUUAUAAAAAUUUUGAUAUAUAAACAAGUAACAUUCUAUAUAUAACUAGGAAGAUUUGUUGUUAUUAUUAUCCAAACUUUCAAACUUUUCAAAAAUUGAAAAUAAUUAAAAACUUAUAAUACGACAAAAUUUUAUUACAUAUUUUACGAGAUUAUGUGAAAAGUCAAACUUUUUUCCAUAGUAUUUUAAAAUAUGUAAAUAAAUUUUUUUAAAUGUUAACUAUAAUAUUGUAUUAUACAGGUAUAUUAUGAGUACUUACUAACUAAGGUACUAAAAAUUAAUCAUUAAUAAAACAUCUUAUCGUUAUUUCAAAUAAAUUCCCUAACACUAGUUUGAAAUAUGUUUUAAAGUAAAAUAGUACAUGUGUCUCAUAAAUCAGUAAAUUUUGAUUAUUAAUCAAUUUUACCAUGUUAUCAGUAAGAAUUACUAUUUAUGUAUUAAAACUUACUAUUACAUGAAUUAAACUUACACUAUAAAAAGUAAGUUUGGGAUAUAAAGUAGUAAUUUAUUUAUUUAAAAAGUAAGUUUAAUAUUUAUUCCAAUUUACAUUUUGAAGUAUAAAAGUUACUAAUUUAUUACCGUUAACUUACUAUUUUAGAUGGAAAACUUACUUUCUUAUUUUUAAGUGUUAUCCUAUUUAGGUGGAUAGGCCUAUCAAAUAAUCAAAUGGCCGCUAAAAGUAAAUAAAAAAUAAAUCGAAAAUGGUCAUAUAAGUGUUAUCUUAUUUAUGUUUCAAAAAGUAAAUCGAAAUAAAAAUGAAAGUUACUUUUUUUAAAAAUUAAAUUACUACUCUACAUUCGAAACUUAGUUUUGUGGGGAGUAAGUUUAGUUCAAGUAAUAGUAAGUUUUUAUAGAUUAAUAGUAAAUCUUGUUGAAAGAAUAAUAAUUUGGUUAAUCAUCAAAACUUACUAGUUUGUGGCAUAAAUUUACUAUAUUACUUAAAGAAACUUAUAUGAAACAAGUAUUAAGAAGUUUAUUUAAACUAGUGCUAAGAUUUUUUUAUUAAUGGUUGAAACUUAAUAUUAUAGUUAGUAGUUGUUGGUAACAUAAAUGUAUAAUAAUGAUUGUAUGUUUCAUUCAUAAAUGUUUUGCGUUUUAAGCAUUUUAAUAAAUGUAUGCAUCAUUUAUAAAUGUUAUGUGUUUUAAUAAAUUUAUUUUCUAGGUCACAAGUAUAAAAGGUAAAGUGAUCGUAUCUAAUGUAGCGUAAUCUUUUAAAAUUAUAGUAAAUUUACCCAUAUAUUAAGUUUCGUGAGUUUCAAAUAUAUUUCGUAUCAUUCACAAUAUGGAUUUACAUGCACAUUUUUUAUGAAACUUGCUUUUAAUUGGCAAAUAGUAUGUAAAUUAUUAUAAAAUGUCAUUUUAUGAUAAUCAUAAUUUUUAUAGGUGAAUGGAAUAGGUGCAAGAUCUUGAUACUGUACUACAACACAAAUUUGGGGAUAAGUACAAGUUUCAGGCAUCGUCAUUUGAAUUUGACGAAUCUCCUAACAUUCCUAAACAACCGAAUGGGUAACUUUCAUUAAUGACGUUUUAAAGCCUAAAAAACCGUGUGCUGAGUAUUGUAUAACAUGAGUAUUUGAGUUGCUUUUCGAGUUCUGCUCAUCAAGUAAGCCAGUCCAAUUUGAAGUAAACAGCAAAAUCUACAUGCACAAGACAUUUGAUAUGAAAUUGGUAUUUCAAAAUAGGAGAAAACGGCUCAUUUUGAGCAUCAGAAUGAAUCUAACUUUUAAUAAUUGAUACUUACGCAUCAAAAUUAAGCUGGCAGGACACUAGAUAUAGCUAUCUAAGCAUGACAAGAUUACAUGGCCAAGAACUGAAUUUAGAGCACAAAGACUUUGGCUUCAGAAAUCUGAAGCAAUCAAAAGGCUAGUAACUUGAUUUGAGAAUUUGAUCACCAGCAUCAAGGGCUCUGAUAUCACUAUCAAAAGCUUCAGUUUGGAUUGACAUUUCUGGUUUACAAACCCAAGAGCACUUGGAUGCUAACAAUAUCUGAAAUUUGAUCACCAAACUUUUUUCCAAGCAAGCUGAAAUUAUUCACAUUAAAACAAGUAAUCACCAGAAAUUGCAAACUAAGGAGAUUAUGUUCAGAUUUACAAUCAAAACGCAUUAAACUACCUUCGAAGAAACUUAAAUCAUCCUAAAAGCUUUGAGCAAAGACGUGCAAAAACAUUUGUACUCUCUCAAGAAUAAAAUUCCUUAAUGGUCUUGGCUGAAAUCUGGUUCAUUCACUACAAAACCAUCACAAGAUUUGUAUUAAAAAAAGGCCACAACAACACAUAAUCAUAGCAAAUAAAUAACAUAAAACUUAGGCGUGAAGAAGGAAAAAUGUACCUGAAUUAGAACCAUCAUCAAACCAUCAUAUAAACCAUUCAUCAUAUAAACCCGUUUCUUUUCUAGGUAUUUUAUGAUUAGAACUCCAUUCUCUCUAUAUUACAAACCAUCAUCAAACUAAUUGAAAACCUCAAUUCUCAUAUAAACCAUUCAUCUGAAUUUUGUUCCAAUCAACCCAUUCAAUAGAUUUAUGUUCCAGUCUAAUCGUUAUGAUAUAGCAAUGGCAUUAACAAGCUAUUUUGACUCUCCCGAUAAGGGUUUACGUAUUAGUAAUUUUUUAGGAGGAAGAUGAGUUAUUCACAUGUCCAAAAUAUCGAAACAACCAGCAUAAUCUAAUCCUUAGUUCAAUGAAAGUCACAAAUUUGCGGGUAGGUAGAUUAGAUUAUGUUGAAUGCCUUUGGCUCUUUACAAUGAAAUUCAAAAUUUUUUCUCAUGACAGAGCAAAGACGGUGAUAUAAUUGAUUGUGUCUAUAUGUAUCAACAACCAGCAUUUGACAAUCCUUUGCUCAAAGACCACUGGAUUCCGCAGGUUUGCCCCAUGCAACACCAUUCAAAAGAAAAAUAAACAAAAAAAUGCAAAAAUAUGAAGUAUGUAUAACACCAUAAUUGAUUGAUGGUCGGAAACUGUUCUAUGAAUUUUCUCUCCUUUCCUGACUGAAGAAGAUGGAAGAUGUGAUUCUACAAAAUCUACAUGUAUCAUAGGAUGGUAAUAAGAAUUGCUUCUGCAACACAGAUUUACAAGAGUAAUAAUGGCCAAAUUUCCGUGGCAUUGCAGACGUUACAAUGGAGUAAAAAAUUCAAGAGGCUGAUAAUAAAUUUCCAUAGAAACAACAGAUUCGCAACAAUGAUUCUAGAUCAGUUCAGUUCAAUAACAUAUGCUCCAUCAAGCGUAUCAACUUAGAAUUCCAAAACGGGAGAAACCUCUCUUGCCUGAAGAAUUCAAGUUAUAAAGCUCAUGUUGAGUUACUAAUAUAUUAGUAAUUCUCACCCGCACAGAGUAGCAAUCACAACAUACAAAUUUCUCUUUGACAUUUCACCAAACAUCUUAUAUGCAUUCACAAAUUAAUCACAUUUAACUUAAACGCCUGGUCUCAAGUCCUUUCCUAGAUGUUUCACAUGGCUGUUAAACAUAUUUUACCUGUAGACAAUCAAAACUACAACCAUUUCCUAGAUGUUUCAACGGACAUUUUCGGCCCCAAAAUUGCAAUAAAAUCUUCAAAUUCUCAGCCUUGAUUUCCCAAGAAAAUCUUGACAAACAAAACAAAUGAAAUAUAAAUAAAUUACAGCAAUAUAAUCAAACGAUUUCAAGAGAACAUGAUGAUCUAACCUCGUCACUGCUAUUUUUCAUAUGCUCUUUGGCUGGCUACCACCGUCGCUAACCCUUUUGUUGUGUUUGCAUAUGGCAGCACUCAAACCCAACCGAACGAUGAGAAAGGAUAGAAGCAAAGUGUGAACUAAAGAUGAAAAUUUUGAAGUGAGAAGAUUUAUUCAAUUGUAACAAAGAGAAAGUGUGGAUCAAAGUGGAAACCUUUGCCUGGAAAUUCAAUCGUAUCAUUGGAACUGGGAACUGAAUAAGAAGAAGGUAGAUAACUUUAAAGAGAAAGGUGAUACCCAAAACCGUUUUCAGGAACCCAAAACCGUUUUUUUACUUAAAUAUGUACAUUUUUUACUUUCAGUAUUGGUAAGUUUAAUUUAAACAUAAGUAAAUUUUGUCAAAUAAUAAGUAAAUUAAAUUACUCAAAGUGUAAAUUUCUAUUUCUGACUAAAUCUUAUCUUUCAGGCAUAUACUUACUAGUUUUAAUUAAAAACUUACUAAAGUUAAUAUUAAUUAUUUUAAUAUAAUAUUUAAAAAGUCACUAAAAGAUUUGAUCUGUCACUAAAGGUAAUAGAAACCUAUAAUAGCAGGUUUCCCUAAUAUCGUUACCAUAACUAUAGGUACUGUAGCACUGUCCGUCGCUAAAAUGGCCAACUUCCAGAUCAUUUCCAUUUUGAAAAACUAACACGAAUUAAGUGUUGGGUGGGCCAGCCCAUUUGUGGGCCAACCCACAUGUACAAAGCUUGAGGGUUUCUCAAGCUUAAAAAGAGAAAACGGCAGCCGCAAGAUGUAAUGCUUUCUUCAGUGCUUGUGCGACAAAAAGAAAAAGAGCCAGCCGGCAUUCUUUUUGAGUGAGACGAAGAGAGAGAAAGGCUAGAGAGAGAGACUUCAAGGUCUUGAUUGGAGGGCGAUUCAAAACCCGAUUGAGACAAAACUUUAUACACGUGAUCCUCUCGACAAGCUCUACUCAUCUAUCGGUUCAGAUUUCAGAUUUCCUCUUCGUUUGGUAAUAUCUUUUCAAACCCACUUCUUUGACAGUUGUAAUUUUUGGGGGGUGAUUUUAUAGCAGAUUGGCUUGGUUGGUAUUGGUGAUAUUAUUGUCAUCCGAAUAUUUCGGGUAGACCUGUGUAUUCCCAUUAUUGUGAUAGUGGAAAUAUUUUUGACUGGACUAGGUCCCGUGAUUUUUUUCAAUUUGGAUUUUUCACGUAAAAAUUUUGGUGUCAUGUGCCUUUUAUUUUUUCUUGCAUUUUAUUAUCACUGCUGGUAUUAUUACUUGGUGAUUUGGUUUAUUCCUAUUUUAAUUGGUACCUGGGGAAAGAGAAAUUUAUUCUGGGCUAACUCUGAUAUUUUGUGUCUAUACUGAUACCCCUUUCCCAACGAGUGGUAUCAGAACAGUCAGGUUAGGCUGCUCAAUUGUACCUGUUAAAAUGGAUAAUUCGGAUAGUGGUUGCAUGAUAAAAUUAAAUGCUACUAAUUAUUCGAUUUGGAAGCCUAGAAUGGAAGACUAUCUGUAUUGUAGAGAUUUGUUUGAACCUGUUCUAGGGGAUAAAUGUAGACCAAGUGAUAUGAGUGAUGAAAAAUGGGCUAAUAUGCACAGGAAAACUGUUGGAAAUAUUAGAAAAUGGAUUGGUCAAAGUAUUUUUUAACAUUUUGCUAAUGACACCAGAGCUGACAUAUUAUGGAAAAGACUUGAGAGUAUGUAUGAAAGAAAGACAGGUUUGAAUAAAUCUAGUUGUCUGAAGCAGAUUACUCGAAUGAGAUAUAAGGAUGGGGAAGAUAUGACUGAACACUUGAGUAAUUUUCAGGGAUUGAUAAACCAGGCAACUACAUUAAAUUUGAAUCUGGAUGAUGAAGUGCAGGAUUUAUUAUUAUUCAGUUGACUACCGGAUAGUUGGGAAACCAUGGUGGUCUCCAUCAGUAAUUCAGCUCCGAAUGGUGUGUUGACCAUGGCUAUUGCAAAAGAGGCCGUGAUGAAUGAAGAGUUCAGGACGAAGGAACAAGGAAUUGUCUAUGAAUCCCAGGCCCUGGUGACAGAAAAGAAUGAAAGAAGAGGAAAAAGUAAAAGUAGAGGAUUCCAUAACAGGAAUAACAAAUCCAGAGGCAGAUCUGAGUCACGAAAAAAUGUUGCAUGCUAUUAUUGUAAAAAGAAUGGGCAUUAUAUGAAGGAGUGCAGAAUCCUAGAACGGGAUCAGGCCGAGAAAAAGGGUAAGGCGAAGGAAAAAGAUGAUGAGGACACUACAGCAGUUGUGGCAGCUCAUGAUGACAUGUUUGUGUUCUGUGAUGAUGGUCAGGUGAAUAUUAUUCACUAUGACAGUGACUGGGUAGUUGAUUCAGGUGCAUCCUACCAUGUUACUCCUCACAGGCAUUUCUUCUCAACCUACACUGAAGGAGAUUUCGGAUGUGUUAGGAUGGGAAAUGAGGUCUCAUGCAAAAUUGUUGACAUGGGAGACAUCUACUUAGACACAGAUAUCGGGUGUCAGCUAAUAUUGAGAAAUGUUCGACAUGUUCCUGAUAUUCGACUUAACCUUAUUUCUACAGGAAAACUUGACGAUGAGGGCUACUAUAACUCGCAAGGUAGAGGCAAAUGAAAACUCAGCAAAGAAAAUCUCGUUGUUGCCAGAGAAAAGAAGCACAGUACCCUCUACGUGAUGCAAGCCAAGUUGAGGAAGGGAGAAGUCAAUGCAGUUCAUGAUUCAUCAAUUGACUUGUGGCAUAGGCGACUUGGGCACAUGGGUGAAAAAGGGAUUCAAACACUUGUUCGCAAACAGUUCUUACCUGAAAUUAGAGGUAAUGCACUUAAACCUUAUGUUGACUGCAUUUAUGGGAAACAACACAGAGUUGCAUUUAAAAAUUUUCUUCCAUCUAGAAAAUUGAAUCCUUUAGAAUUGGUGCACACUGAUGUCUGCUAUAUGAAAGAUAAGUCUCUUGGUGGUGCUAUUUAUUUUGUAACCUUUAUUGAUGACUUUGCUAGAAAGGUUUAGUGUUUUGCUUUGAAAUCCAAAGAUCAGGUUUUGGAUGUGUUUAAAGACUUUCAUAGCAAAGUUGAAAGAGAAACUGGUAAGCAGUUAAAGUGUGUACGUGCUGAUAAUGGUGGUGAGUAUAGAGGACCAUUUGAAAUCUAUUGCAAGUCUCGUGGGAUCAGAUUGGAGAAGACUGUGCCAAAAACUCCUCAAGAGAAUGGAGUAGCAGAAAGGAUAAACAGAUCCAUCACUGAACGGGUCAGAUGUAUGCUCUCUAAUGCUAAAUUGCCAAAAUCCUUUUGGAGUGAGGCAAUGAGGACUGCGGUCGAUUUAAUUAAUCUUUCUCCAUCAGUUCCUCUAGAUGGUGACAUUCCAGAGAGAGUAUGGACGGGAAAAGAUAUAUCUUUUAAGCACUUGAGAGUUUUUGGUUGCCGAUAUUUGUUCAUAUUCCCAAAGAUGAAAGGUCAAAACUUGAUGUAAAAUCAAAGCAGUGCAUUUUCUUGGGUUAUGGACAUGAAGAUUUUGGUUAUAGGUUGUAUGAUCCUAUUGAGAAGAAAGUGAUCAGGAGCAGAGAUGUUGUCUUCUUUGAAGAUCAAACCAUUGAAGACAUUGAUAAAGGUGACAACUCAAAAUCCUCAGAUGACAUUCCUGCUAGCUCAAAUUCAGUUCCAGAUCCAAUUCCAGUACCUGUUGAUUUUAAUCAAGGGGGAGCUGAGACAGAGCAAAGAGAGGAUAUUAAUGACGGUGAUAAUCCUACUACUGAUGAACCUGAGCAUGAGACACCACCCACUCCACCACCGCCACCACAAGAUGAGGUUAGGAGAUCUACCAGAGAGAGGAGACCUUCUAACAGAUAUAAUCCUCAUGAAUAUGUGUUGUUGACAGAUGGAGGAGAGCCAGAGUCCUACGGUGAGGCUCUAGAGCAUGAGAGUAAAGAAGAUUGAUUGCGAGCCAUGCAAGAGGAGAUGGUGUCCCUGCAUGAGAACCACACUUAUGAGCUAGUGAAACUGCCUAAGGGCAAGAGAGCUCUGAAGAACAAAUGGGUCUACAGGUUGAAGACUCAGGAGCACAGCUCACAACCAAAGUACAAAGCAAGAUUGGUUGUGAAGAAGAAAUUUUCUCUCAUGUGGUAAAAAUGUCAUCAAUUUGAGUUGUUCUUGGUAUUGCAGCCAGUUUGAAUUUGGAGAUUGAACAACUUGAUGUGAAGACAACCUUCCUGCAUGGUGACUUGGAAGAGGAGAUCUACAUGGAGCAACCGGAGGGGUUCAAAGAAAGUGGUAAGGAAAACCUUGUAUGUCGUCUCAAGAAGAGCUUGUAUGGGUUGAAACAGGCACCGAGACAGUGGUAUAAGAAGUUUGAUUCUUUCAUGACAAACCAUGGGUACCACAGGACUACAUCUGAUCACUGUGUUUAUAUGAAAAACUUUUCAGAUGGUGAUUUUGUUAUUCUCUUGUUAUAUGUUGAUGACAUGUUGAUUGUUGAUCGUGAUACUGUGAAGAUUGACAGGUUGAAAAAGGAGUCAAGUAAAUCCUUUGCAAUGAAAGAUUUGGGUCCGGCUAGACAGAUACUGGGGAUGAAAAUCUCACGAGACAGACAAAAUGGGAAGCUUUGGUUGUCUCAAGAAAAAUACAUUGAGAAAGUGCUCAACAGGUUUAACAUGAGCAAUGUUAAGGAAGUCUCAACUCCACUUGCAGGUCGCUUUAAAUUGAAUAUCAAACAGUGUCCUACAAAUGAGAAAGACAAAGAAGACAUGAAGAAGGUUCCUUAUGCUUCGGCUGUUGGUAACUUGAUGUAUGCUACGGUUUGCACCAGGCCAGAUAUUGCUCAUGCAGUUGGAGUAGUCAGUCGGUAUCUCUCUAAUCCUGGUAAGGAGCAUUGGAAUGCUGUCAAAUGGAUUCUUAGGUAUCUCAAGGGAACUCCUAGAUUGUGUCUAUGUUUCGGCAAUGGUAAAACUAUGCUAGAUGGAUACACUGAUGCAGACAUGGCAGGUGAUCUUGAUAAUAGGAAGUCCACAUCUGGGUACUUGAUGAUUUUUACAGGGGGAGCAGUGUCAUGGCAAAGUAAGCUACAGAAGUGUAUCGCUCUUUCUAGUACGGAUGCAGAGUAUAUUGCAACCACUGAAGCAUGCAAGGAGACUCUUUGGUUGCAAAAAUUCCUUCAGGAGUUGGGUAUGAAACAAGACAAGUAUAGUCUUUACUGUGACAGUCAGAGCGCUAUUCAUUUGUGUAAGAACUCCACAUUUCACUCUCGAUCCAAACACAUUGAUGUGAGAUAUCAUUGGAUUCGGGAAGUACUGGAUUCCAAGUUGUUGACACUUGAGAAAGUGCAUACAGAUGAUAAUGGUGCUGACAUGUUUACCAAGGCAUUGCCUAAGGAGAAACUUUUAUUUUGUAGACAAGAAGCAGGUUUGGUGGAGCCCCCCAAAUGAGUUGGAGGGGGAGAUUGUUGGGUGGGCCAGCCCAUUUGUGGGCCAAACCACAUGUACAAAGCUUGAGGGUUUCUCAAGCUUAAAAAGAGAAAACGGCAGCCGCAAGAUGUAAUGCUUUCUUCAGUGCUUGUGCGACAAAAAGAAAAAGAGCCAGCCGGCAUUCUUUUUGAGUGAGACGAAGAGAGAGAAAGGCUAGAGGGAGAGACUUCAAGGUCUUGAUUGGAGGGCGAUUCAAAACCCGAUUGAGACGAAACUUUAUACACGUGAUCCUCUCGACAAGCUCUACUCAUCUAUCGAUUCAGAUUUCAGAUUUCCUCUUCGUUUAAUAACACCUUUCCAAACCCAUUUCUUUGACAGUUGUAGUUUUUGGGGGGUGAUUUUGUAGCAGAUUGGCUUGGUUGGUAUUGGUGAUAUUAUUGUCAUCCGAAUAUUUCGGGUAGACCUGUGUAUUCCCAUUAUUGUGAUAGUGGAGAUUUUUUUGACUGGACUAGGUCCUGUGGUUUUUCCCAAUUUGAAUUUUCCACGUAAAAAUCUUGGUGUCCUGUGCCUUUUAUUUUUCCUUGCAUUUUAUUAUCACUGCUGGUAUUAUUACUUGGUGAUUUGGUUUAUUCCUAUUUUAACUGGUACCUGGGGAAAGAGAAAUUUAUGCUGGACUAACUCUGAUAUUUUGUGCCUAUACUGGUACCCCUUUCCCAACAUUAAGCUUCCCUCUUUCUUGUUUCAUUUAGAAAAGUAGGUUUAAAUUGAAGUCCAUACAAGUAUAGGCAUAUAUCUUCGGACAUGUCGGCUACUUUAAGGUGAGGUAGAUGACAAUAUAAUGUCACUGGUUAAGCAGUGAAACGAAAACAAAAUAUUUGGUACUAAUUGCCGCAUUAACGUUUUCAGGUUGGGUACGUGUAAUAUUAACUAACAUGCAUCAAGUACGUUCUCUACAUCUUCACCUGAUAUGCACUCUAAACUACUCCAUCUAAAUAUGAAGACAGAUUUCCCGCAGAAGGAGUUGCAUCAAAAUAUCUACAAAAUUCCCCAAAAACUAUCCAGAAAAUUUUCAUUAAAUUUCGCAUAAAAAGUAACCAUUGUAGGUGAAGAACCAACUGUUCAGCUUUUACCUAGAAAAAUACAUCAAUCCCCUAGGAAGAACUAAACACUCCUACUUAAUUUCUACAUAGAUAUGCAAGAUUUACCCCUUGGCUUUGAUAACUGAUAAGCAUUAUGGAGAACCAAAACUCCCUGAAACGUUUAGGUAACUUGCGUGGUUCUGAAUUAGUUCAAUAAGUAUGUAAAUCGUAUGGAGAACUUUUGCAGAUACUGGAGCUACGUACGGCCACUACAAGGUAUGCAAAGAAAAGGAAUGAAGCAGAGAAUAAAGCUAUCAAAGUUUCUUUGAAGGCUAGUGCUGCUUUUUCUGCUUUAUUGGAUUGCUUGGGAUGCCACUCCACAUUUCAUAAAAUUCAAAGACAAGUUACAUUUGAAACUUACGCGGUAAUUUACCUGUCCAGCAUUAGAUAUCCGAUUACGAUAAUAGUGUAAAUAAAAGCAUGUUACAAGUUAAACAAUGAUUUGAAUUUUGCGGUACAACCCAAUGUUAAAAAAUACAGAAGUUAGUGUCAAUUGUUGUAUUAAGUGACAAGAUUACUCUCCAAAGCUAGUUUAAUAUACAUACAUAUAUACAUACAUAUAUGCAAGUUUUUAUAAAUUGAACAAUGUUUCUUCAAUCAUUGUGCCCUCAGUGUACCAAAUAUAGGGAUGGGCACAAUAUAAAUAUCAGAUAUUAUUAUCCACCCUUGAAUUAAGAAAAUUUUAGUGAAGAAAUUUUAAACUUUUGUAGACAACUAAAUGUCAGCCUCACGUCUUAUCCUAUACCCUUAGAACCCUUUUUAAUAAACUGUUCAACUUUAAUCCAGAGCAAUUCAUCAAUCACGUAAAAAGAACUAAAGACACCAAUUUAAAUAUUUACACAAAUAUGCGAGAUUUACCACUUCACCGUGAUACUUGAUACGCAUUAUAAAGAAUCAAAUCUCUCUGAAACUUUUUAUGAAACAGAUGGUUUUCAACCCUUUCGACUGCCUUGAUCCAUUUAAAUAAUUCAAGGAGCAAGUUACAGAUGAAGUGAAAUGCAAUGCAAAAGGGAAACAAAUCAAUUAUGUUCACCAAAUAAAUUUUAUCUGCCCAAUAAAAGGCAAAAAAAUAAUUUGAGAAAUCACACUGAACAAAUUACGUUGUUAUAGAGACAAUAAAUUCCGACCACAUUUCCUAUUUUUGAAGCAAAAGAACAUUGCUUAGGAAAAGGGUUGCCUUCAUUUUGGCUACUGAUGUGCAAAAGAUGACAGUCAGAACAGAGUGAAAUAGUCUCAAGGCUUAACUGGAAAACUCUGCAUCAAAGGAAUAUACGCGAUGUUCACACAUCCGAAGCCACCUCAAUUCUGGAAUUCCAACGCUUAGGUAGCUACGGCUAAGAUGCGGAAAGCAAAGGAAUGGAAUGAGGAAGAUCAGGGGAAAGCUAUCAAAGUUUAUUUGAAAGUCUAGUGCUGCUUUUUUUUGCUUUGCUGGAAUGCUUCCCAAGAAGUUAAAUCUGAAACUUGCCUGGUAAGUUGAUCAUAGUGCCAAUAGAUUUGUACAUGAUCAGCAAACAGAUUAUAAAUAGGUUACAAGCUGAACAAUGGAUGUCUACACCUUUUUUGCCUUGUAAACUGUAAAAUUUAUACUCGCUUGGCAAGUUCCAAAUGUGAACAUGCCCUGUCCUUGACUAAAAUAUUCCAUUAAAUCUUUUCAGACACUUCUGUUUUUAAUAUAAUCUUGCAGCAAAUGUCCUGACUAGCUGACAAUAACAUGAAACGUGAUCCAACAGUGAUAAGCUGUUGAGUCAUUUUUCACAGAAUAAGACAAAAUAUAAAAUCAUUACGCCAUGGUCCCUUGUCAGUUGUCACAGCAUCAUGUUAGUAUCUUUAUCCCAUCAUCGAGGUAUAGAAAACUCCGAUCUUAGCUGGAAAUUGGACCAGUUUAAAAAUGUCAAACCGAAUAACCAUAAAUACACAAUUCGGGGGUUUGUUAGCCUCUUCAAGUCAGGAAAAGCUACAUGGUCGCACAGAAUGUCGGGAUAUAUGCAUUGGGGAGAUACAGAUGCUGACUUCAGAAAUGUGGAUCCUUUUGGAGUGCGCCCUUCAACUAAAAGCGAAAAAAAGUAGAUUUUAGAGUUGUAAACUGGGUAAUUUAGCUUGAUUAUAUUCUGAAAAUAUAUUCUGAGAGACAAUCAAUGCAACAUAUUGUCUCAUCAUUCAGACACUCACUAAAAUGAUUGAUCUCCGUAUGCAUAAUUACAUACUACCCUCACAUUUUUUAGCUGCAGGAAAGGUAUUUAUUCCCUCCCAUAGUAACAUGCUAUGCAUGAACAUGAAUAUCCUCUCCUUAAUGUCAUGUAGUUCUGCAACUUGCUCACUUUAUCCCCUCUUUUUCUUCGAUUAUCAAUAGCAACAGUUGGAUACAUAAAUUGGCAACAUGGAGGGCGGUCUCAAGUGCUCAUUUAAAUAUGGUGGCAAUGUACAUAGGAUAUGAAGACACAAAAGUCUUGCAUGGAUACAGGCUCCCAAAAAUCCUUCAAGUAGUACUACUGUACUAUAUAUAGGUUCAGGGUCAUCUUCCAAGCACGUUAUUGAAAAGCAAAUCAAAGAAAGCAGCACAAGCAAAUCUGUAAAUAGGGUCUCCCUCCAUCCAUGCUUGUUUAACUUCAAAGGACAUUUAAUAAUUUCCAGUGUAUUAGCUUAGAAUUGUCCUAAAAGAAGGAAGGUUUAUGCGUGGAGAAGUACAUGCUCAAGGUAUUACAUGGAAUCUGAAGUCGUCAAACCCUAUCUCUCCGUCUUAUAAUUAUUGAACUGAACCCAUUUGAACAAAUUCAGAUCUAGCUCUUGGUUCAGUUUUCUUCCAAAAGAAGAAUCGGAAAUUUGUUCAAAUGUAGUUCAACCCCAAAAUAAAUACAACAAAGCUAAUUUUACUUGCAUAUGAUCCACAUCUCAUGUCAUUUUGGGAAGUUCACCAUGCUUCAUUUUCCAAAGAAACACACUAUCUUCAAGGCAAUUGCAUUUACAAAUCCAUUUCCAAUUCCAAAAUUUACGAACAUGGUUUUCAUUUGAAUAAAUUCUACUACACCAUAAAAUGCGGUUACAAUAGUAAAACUGUUAAAUGGAGUAAAAGAUGAGAUGAGUAAGAUCCUCGACAGUUAGGUUUAAAAAGAAAAAUUCUCGUCAAUGUCAUGUAAUAUAUUUUCAACGCGAGAUUGCUAGUCUGUUAUAUUGUCAUAUACCCUUCGUUACUCAUUUUAACUUUUAGGGGAGGGGGGGGGGGGAAGAGGGAUAUGCUUCACCUAGUACAUGCUAUAUAUGACAUAUACCCAUUAUCUUCCAUGUAAAUAAAUGCAUUAAUUUGUGCAACAUGCUGCCUCCCUCCCCCCAGAGGUCAUUACGAAUUGAAUUGAAUAGAAUAACUUGAGCUUGCCACCCAAAAAAUUAAAAUAAAUAAGAUAUGGUGGAAAUGUAGGAAACGAAGACGAGAAGGUGGAUGCACCCACGUUGAUAAGGGCUCUUAAUACUGGCACUCUUUUAAAGGAAUAUUAGAGAACACAAACACAAUGAUUGAUGAGGUGAUUUUUGGACCAACGAACCGAGUCGGUAACACAAGUACACCUGUCAAGAUAGAGACACAGUCGGAGUCUUGUCUCCCGAUCUAGUUUUGAUGCUAAAGUCAAUUAUAUAAGAAAUCGAGAGCAAAACCAAAACUAAUGAGAUUGGAGUUAUGAGCAAGGGCUAAACUAAACUGGGUUGGAGUCUCUCCUCUCCUACAAAAAAGGAAGAGAAUAUCUAUAGUAGAGAGAUCUACAGGAGGAAUGAUGGAACCGACUCCCUAUCACCUGUAGAGAGUCAGUCUAAGGUGGCGGUGUCAGAGGUAGGUCUGAACAAGUCGACGGUAACAGUCAUGUCAUCUUGACAUUUAUCAGUUGUACUUGUAAGUGUCAGAUAUCGAGUAACUAAACUUAGGGGUACAAUCGAAACGGAAUUACCUCAAGGAGACGGAGAUGAGCUACGAAGUAAAGCUAAAAAGGGGAGGUAAUCGCCUCGGUCUUUGAGCAUUAUGAAGAAGUGAACCACCUCAAAUGGCGAGGUGAGCGCCUACAGGACGGGUAGAACCUUAACGAACAAACAGAAUGACCAGAAUUAGUCAUCCGUACCAUAGUAGAUGCAUUUGGUCGUCAGUUUAGUCAACCUUACUAAAAAAAGGAAGUGGAUAAGGUUCCGAAACCAAGGAUGGAAAUGGAUGCUUACUAGUCAUUUUAUUUACCCAUAUAAAACCGCAACUUAAUAUAAAAGCCAAAGAAUGGAAGUGGAUGGUUACCAGUCAUUGUCCAUAUAAAAGCGCAACUUAAUAAUGCACAAAAAAUUAUUCACUUUAGCGAUUCAAUUUCCACAUAACAUAAAAUAAGACGAAAUAUUACUCCAAAAUGGCCCGGUCUCUUGUCAUAACAUCUUGCCCAGUUUCAACCCUCCAUACAGGAAUAGAUACUAAUUUGAUCUUUACUAGCAACCGGACCAGCUUGAAGAAAUGGAACCAAACAACCAAAAUGGACACAAUUUUUGUUAGCGUCGGAAAAGGGGCAGUACAACAGAAAAUUUGAUCUACGUAAUAGAGUCGUUAAGAUGUGCAAUUUAAUACUACUGCAAAUCGUUUUUGGAGGUAAGACAGACUCUCACAUUCGCAAAAAUGCUGAUAGCUGUAAUUGUAUCAACUUAGCCGAACUCAGCUUCUAUAUAUUGUUACCGCAGUCAUAUGAAAAUCUUCAAACCACAAACAAGGGCUAAAUAAAGAAUGAGCCUGAAAUUAACUACCAGGUAACAAGCAAAAACUAUGGCUAUUGGCUAAAUAAAGAACGAGCCUAAAAUUAUACUCACAUGAAUACCCACAAUAUUGAUUUGCUAAUCAAUAAUUGAGAUCGCUUGAGGGUACCAACCGGCUUCAAGUCCAUGUCAAGUUCUCGUCAGUUAUCUGAUAGUGGAAUUCAGCAGCAAGUUUGAUGUUCAAUCUAACAGGGUCAGGUUCCAAAAGGGGACGAUCAAACAAGGCCUUGUUUUAUUCCAGACAACCCAGCAAGUGGGGCCAAUUUUGAAAAAAGAUAGUGGUAAGAUCAAGUACUCUAUUUACUCUUUUUUUUUUUCCUUUCUUUUGGGAGAAGUUGAUCAGCUUCCAAUUAACAGAAGCCGAUCAGUCCCUCUGUUUUAUCUUGUUUGCUGUAUCACCACACUAAUAAGCUUUCGCUGAUUUGGAAGUUUAAGGGAGAAGAGAAGCGGCGAGCAGAGAUUUUACGAAUUUUUUUGGGAUUUUACAGAGGAAAUGAAAUAAUCUACACACAGAUAAACAACUAAGUUUUACUUUUAGUAGCUUAUUAAGGACAAGAGCGGCAUUUUAAAAACUUUACAAAACCUUCCUCUCUUGACAUGUAGAGGAGUUACUUUCCAUUCCUCUCUUCUAGUCUUCUUCGCAUAUCCACAAUUGCCAAACCAAAGCUGAACUCCUUGUAAGAUUUUGCUUGGAUGAGCACUGAUAACGCCAAGAUUUAUCUUAAAAUAAAAUGGGCUUGGCUUCUAAAACCCAAAGUUGUUCCGCGGGAUGAUGUCUCCUGCAGCUGUGAUGGAUAACUUCCUUCGACCCUAAUGAAUUCAAGCAUUUGUUUUCCUUUACGAGAACCGCAAGUCUUACAACUAGAGGGAGGCCUCUUACUUUAUAAAGAGCAAUUUCAUUACUUCAGACAUCAAUAAAGAAACCAUAUCAAAUCUGAUAUCAGCUUUGAAAAAAUGGAAGAUCAAGCAAGCUGCUAAUUGACUGAUGAACUCCUUUAAGUUAAUUUUGCUCGCAAAGCUGAGAAAAUUCUGCCCAUUUUACAGAAAGUCAAAAACAGUUGCACACCAGCCAUCAGCUUCUAUCUGAUGACAACCAAAAGUUGUAGUAGAUAUGCGGUCACAGGCAAACAGGACAGAGAAAAACAUAUAAAAGAAUAUAUCUUAUUUACGAAUGAAUGAAGUAGAAGAAGAUGCCAUUUGUCAUUCCAACUAUACAAUGCUGAGCAUUCCACAUAUAAUCAGAAGGACGGUGCAAACUACAACACAGAUAACAACCUGUAGAGCUCCGCAAAGGCAGCAGGCCGAUAAAUGGCUCCCUCAAACUGUUAUAACUCGGAACAAUUAAUUCCUAUUAUAUUUUUUACAGUAUAGAGUAAGCUCGGAUCACCUCAACAAUAGGUGCCCGGCAUAAUGGACACUUUCCUCCUCCU
This 98814-nucleotide long non-coding RNA is filed under the name Coffea arabica (coffee). RNAcentral describes it as "long non-coding RNA (CARA_LNC001547)". The record is from RNAcentral. Lineage: Eukaryota; Viridiplantae; Streptophyta; Magnoliopsida; Gentianales; Rubiaceae.